GUUGAAUCCUGCAAGAUUUCCGUGUGUUGUAUUCAGCUUGAAUAUUUCCAAGCCAUUCAAGAUUGCAUCAGCAUAAGUAGGUUUCAGUUCCAUGUUAGGGUGUAGUUCGAGCCACAAGUCCUGCUUGCUCUGGCUCCCUUGAGGGACCCGCACGAUGUAGUCUUUGUAAACUGGAAUGCCGUUGCCACCGCUCAUAUGGAUCACAUCUGCAUCACGCUCUGCUAUUUGAUUGUUGAUGAAUAUUAAAAAUACCUGUUGAUUUACAUUUAUGAACUCCUUUCGAGUCUCACAAAAGUGGAGUCUAAGGAGAUAAAGGAAACCAGCAUCAACUGUGAAGAUCCAUGUGAGAUUGUAAUUCAUGUUAAGACGGGGUUCAGGACCCAUUGAACGCAUAGUACUAUACACCAGAACAGGUGCGGAGUAAGCUGGCGUUUUGCCUGUGUACUUUAUCUUUACGCCUGGGAGAUAUGGAGUGUUUCCAGCUCGUCUAAAGAGAUACUCUGAAUCUUCAUUCCAUGUCCUGUACAUGCCAGCAUCUCCUGUGCUGCCGAUAUCUUGCCCCCCAACAUUCAGUCGAUAAACUGUCUCAAGCGCAGUUGUGUUAUCCAGAAAGGUGUCGACAUCGGGGCCCACAUAGGUCAGUGGAUUAUCAUCGCCACGAGCAUAGAAGUUGUCUGGCAUGGAAACGAUUUCGAUACCAUUAACGAAGGCAAAAGAUGCUGGAGACGGAAUGAAGGUUAAUUCAAGCUUCUGGUUGUCCCACACGGUGAUGAUGAACUCUUUGGUGAAGGAGUCAACUGGAGGUCUUAUAGCAGAAACUGUAAGAGAGGCACUAAAGUUGUUUAGUAGCUGGUAGGUAUUGGCACUAAGCGAAAAAUAGGAUUUGGAUAUAUCAAGAUUUGAGUAAGAAGAUGGAUAAAAGUAGAGACGCACAAAUUUUGGGCCAGGCAAGACUAGAAAUGUGUAAGUGAAUUUAGAGUGAAAAAUACGGGCUGUCUUGUAUGGGACUUGGUCGACAGAGGGGUCUUGAGUGGAGGCUUCAAACACAGAUGAGGCUUCUGGGGGAUUAGAGGCAGCAAACUUCGGCUGGGAAUCACCAUCCCAGCUGCGACCAUCUGGAGAUGACAAAUUAGAGGAUGCACCACAGUUAAGGAGUAUUAGAUCAGUGGGGCUGUAUGGCAGCAAGUAAUCUUCAGUAGCAGUAACAUAGAGGAAGAGAUGGAGGGGAGGGAGAAGGUAGAGAGCGAUGAAGAUGGACAUUAUGCUAUUUCUUUUGUGGAAUAGGUUGGAGUAAGAAAACCUAUGCAUUAAAUGCAAAGAUUUUGAUUUAAGGGAAGAUGAUCAGUGGCGUUUUUGUCUCCAUACAGUAGUAUAUUUGCUCAAGUUGAGAAUAAUCCAAUAAUAUAUUUGAAGCCCGGGGGAGUAGAAAUUCGACGAUAUGGCUAAUGGGAACAUAUUGCUCGCUGUACUUGGUCAGCUUUGGAUGGCUGCUUUCCAUUGUGUGGUUCUGAAUUCUGCCAUAAAGACGCCAUGAAUAGUCUAUGAAACUUAUUUUUCUUUUCUUUUUUCCUUGACUUUUUCAUUCUUUGAUUAAGAUCACACACACCACUUAAUUUCUUAUUUGAUUAAUAUUCUUAACGAGGUUGAAUGUAUUUCAGGUUGGUGUUCACCAUAACAAAUGCAGUAAUCACAGCUCCGAGAUUAGGAUUCAAAAGGUGCAAAGCUUCUUUUUCCUUAUGGUCACCGCCUUGAUACAAUGAUUGUCGCAAGUGCAAGUCUAUAUAAUCCUCACCGAUGCCUUCUGUCCAAUACACACACAUCUUCAUUAUAGACUGGCCUUGCUUCAGUCUUCAAUAAGAAACAUCGUUCUUGUUCCUCAUGAGUAGCCCUUUGACUCGCCUCAGAUCCAUGAAGUCUCAUUUACUUCUUUCUAUUAUUCUUCUGCAAUGAUGUCUUACUGAUAAAAUGCUCUUGUUUUUGGUUAUAAAUGAUAUAAUUUUACACAGGAACUAAUAGGAGGCUCAAAGGAUCGACCUAUUCCUUUUUGGUUCAUGAGUGUGCCUUUUUGGGCUGAGUUUAAAACCAAAAAUCUUCUCAUCUGGUAUAGUAAUCGCUUAAUUACUACAAAACUUGGUGGUAAUGAGAAAUCUUUCUUCCCAUUAAUCGAAGAAUAAUGGAUUUACCUCUCGACAUACUUGGUGCCGAAUAAAAUCAAUAGCACUAGUGAAGAAGAGGCAAGCUGUCCUCUCUUCCCUGGAGAUGGCAAUUUGUUCUCUCUCAUCCUGUUAAGCUUGGUUUCCAUACAUGAGGGGAAACUGAAUGGAGUUCUCGGUGGAUGAAAAAUAAUUGUAAUAAUAAAUGAAAUGAGAUUGAGUUUCAUUGUUGAAAAAAUCAUGCUGAAAUCACUUCAAUCCUAAGAUUAAUGAGUCGCUAUUCAAAUGGAAACCCACGCAGACAGAUAAAGAACUGACCCCUUUGUCCCCUCUUCCUCGAUCAACUACCAUGUUUGCACCGAUUGUAGUAAGUGUGCAAGGCCGAGAGUUAGGAUUGAUCGGUUUUGCACAGUUGCCAUAUAUUUGUGCAUUGCAAAUUGGUUGUCGUUCUAAACUCCUAUAGUUAAUAUAGUUACCCUGAGAGGCCAGUAGUCUCUGAUGCACUUCAGAUUCCAUAGAGAAGUCCUCUUCAUUACCUUCACCGAUUGUGGCAUUGAAAAUUGGACUCGAGUUUGCUUUUAGGAAAGGCAGCUGCAGAAGCAGAUGUGAUCACUGAAACCAGCAGGAUAGUUAAAGAGAGCCACCAGAGGAAUUCAAUACUUGCGUUAGGCCUCAUCUCUUUCUUUCUGUGCCCUUCUGUUACAGAGUUUGAAGAGCACUAAAUAAACGUCACUGCUAAGAAGGCUUCAAACUCUGGAUAUGGAGUGAAAGGCUAGCUUUUUUCCAUUUACAUGCUUUUUUACUGUGAUUUUAAUGUUGUAAACUAUUAAGAAUUAUCUCAAUUUAAUAACUUAAAUUAUUAAGUAAGAUCUUAAAAUAUAAUUUAUAUUAUUCAAGAAUAUUUGACAAAACAUCCUGCCACUUAUUUUAACUAUAUAUAUAUAUAUAUAUAUAUAUAUAUAUAUAUAUAUAUAAUCUGGAUUUUUGUUAGUGAAUUCAUCCUAAUCGGAACUUGAUAUUUCAUAUAAGGCUUCUUGAAGUUUUUUUCUUGUAUUCUGACUUUGAGCUUGAUGAUGCAAGGUUUUCUUGAAUUCAACUUUUAGUGGUGAGAAACGUAAAAAGCAUGCACAACUUUAGAACAAGCUUGAGUUUCUCUAAAUUUGGGUCCACCACCAUUUGACUUUGAUUUUUCUCAUUAAAUCUAAAGAGUAACCAAUAUCUUCAUUUAUAUCAUUCAUUAUAAUGGAGUCCCAAGAUAGCAUGAGACACCAAAGGUUGCGAUGAAAUAAAAGGAGGCAGGAAUUGAAUUCAAAGGUAUUUUUGCUGUGAACAAUUUCAAUCCUUUGUAUGAUUUUUUAGGGAGAAUCUUUCUUAUUGAAGAAAAUAUUGCCAUCAAUUGUUUGGGAACUAAGUUGGAAAAUUCUUUGGACAAUGUUUUAUCAAAUUAGAUGAACGAUGAAUGGUCAUAGGUUUUUAGAAAAAAUAAAAUAAAUUAAGCUUGUUGAUAAUCAAAAUAAAUGGAUCUUAAAGGUUGGUAGUUUUGAGAAAAUCUUUCAAGGUGCAGGGGUUUUGAUUCAUGUCUUGAAAGGUUAUUAAAACCUUUUGAAUUUUUUAUUUUGAAAAAAACAAGAUUGUUUACAUCUUGAUUAUGAAUUAUUUCAACAAAGUCAAUAUCAGCUAGAAUAAACUGAUAGAAUUGUCUUGUUUUCAACAUAUUUUCUACAUUAACUUGAAAAUAAUAGCUUCUUGACUUGAAAGGGUUAUUAUUUAUUUUUUUUGGGAGAAAAUUUGGAUGGUAAUAAACAUGAGUGAAAGUACAAGCACUAGGACAAUAACAAGAGAAAGAAAAUUAAUAGUUGAAAUAGAAUAGAGUAUAAGAAUCCUAAUUUAUAGUUUUAUUGAUGAAGAGAAAAAUCCACUAUUUCUUUUGCCUCUUUAAGAUGUUUUCAACUCUUUAAAUAAGCUCAAAAAUCAAACAAAACAAACUAGAAAACCAUAAAAUAAAGAAAAAAAUAUAUUAAAAUUCCUAAACAAACUUAAAGAAAUAAAAUUACUAUUCUCAAUAUUUGAUUUCCUAAACUAAAUAGAAAAAAUAAAAUCACCAUAAAAAAAUAUUUUUCUAAACUAAAUAAAAAAUAAUAAUAACUAAAAAAUCUUAAUUUCAUAAAAACCCAUGGCAUCAACAAUAACGUUGUUAAAGGUGCAUUUUGGGAUUGAACAAACAAGGGAGUUUGAAGAGAUUAAGAAUAAUUUAUUAUAGGUGAGCUGUUUGGAGUAGAUCAUGCUGAUGAAUAAAAACUAGCCUCACGGUAUCUUGAAUGCUUGAUGUUGUGGCUUGAAUUGGUUUUGAUGGUGUAAGAGCAUAUGAUUUCUUUUGACUUCUUGACCAGGAUGCUCAUUUUGAGCCUAGUAAAGACUCUUUGGAUAAAAGACUCUUUUACUUCUUUCAUGAAUUCAAUCUCGAAAUCAUAUUUUGAUAGAUUAUCUUGACACAAUAUUUUAAAUAUUUUUUUCAACAAUAUAUUUUAUAUAUUGAUAAUUUAUUAGUAAAAGCAAUUUUUUUCUGGAAAAUUAAUAAUUUCUGGAAAAUAUUAGAUGUACAAAAUAUUUAAUAUUUUUUUUAUAAUUAUAUAAUUUUCUUGUGGACCCAAUCAAAUACCUAAAUGAUAUUGCACUACAUGUUCUUGACUUUGAAAAUUUUGUUUGAGAAUACCACUUUAACUAAUAUAAAGGCAAGGCAUCAGUUUCAACUAAAAAAAAACUCUCUAGAUCAGGAAGUUUUAAACAUGAAAACUCUUGAGUUGAAUUUUAAGAGCAUUCACAAUUUUGAUAAUUUGAUGAUUCCAGGCAUCCCAUAAACAAUACCAGUCUUAAACAAUUUUGUUUGAUGACUUCUAAGGGUUUUUCUCAUCAAGUCUUUUGUAUAAAGGUUGACAUAUAUUUAUAAGAUUUGAAAAAAUAUCUAAAACAUAAUUGAGGCAUCCCAUAAACUUUUAAAGCUGGGUUUUAAUCUUGAUUUUAUUUAUGAAUUUAUUAGUAAAUUUUAUUGAUCAAGUGAUAAGGGUUAUUGAUCAUUGAUAUAUAUUGUACCCUAAAACAAUUAUUUUUAAUAUAUUGACAUCAUCUUUAAAGUCGAGAUAACUAAUUCAUUUUGUUUGAUAAUAUCAAGAAAUUUUUGUAAAUUGUUGAAAUGUUUGGUUAUUGGUUUUAAAAAUAAAAAAAAGACAUCAUCAAUAUAUAUAAUCAUAAAUUUUGAAUAUGGAUUAAAGAUGUUAUUUAUGAUGCUAUGAAGUUUUGAAGGAGUAUUUUUUAGUUCGAAAAACAUUAUAUCUCAUUUGUAAUGAUAAUGAAAUAAUGAAUGUUGUUUUGUAAUGAAUUUUUUUUUUAUCAAUUUAGAUUUGCUAGAAUAUUGAUUUAAUAAAAAUAUUUUGAAAAUAUUAAAGCAUUUUAAAGUCUUUUCAUAAGAUCUCUCUUGUUGUGCCUUGGAUAUCUAAUAUAUUGGAGCACUUUGUUAAGAGGCUUGUGAUUCAUGAUCAAAUGUCUUAGUGCACUUCUUUGUAUUUCAGCUUGAUUUCAGACAUAAAAAGGUGGCGUACGAUCAUGAUAAUUUACUAGGGCUUAUAAGGCACUUUUUGAGUAAUUCAUUAAUUUAAUUUUUUUUAAUAAUAUUUUAGUAUAUUUUUUAUUCAUUUGAAUUGGUCUUUCCUUUGUAGGGAUUUUCUUUUCAUUAAAACCUUUUUAAUAAGGUAACUGCACUUAUGACAUUUUUUUUUAAUCCUAAAAGGCACUAGGCAAGUUGGAACAUAAUCAUUUUCUAGAUGGUAAUGACUUUGGAAUACUGACGUGAGGUAAUUUCCAAUUAUCAUUGUACGUGAUUUGAUCUCAUUAUCAAAGUUUAGGAACUUGAAUGUUUGAAUUUUGAAAGUUAGCUUCAAUUCGAAGAGUUUAAUUUAUAGAUGAUUUUUUGAGAGCGGAGCUAUGUUUGUAUCCAUGAUUUUGUAAUAUAUUCUAUAGAUGAUGACUAUAUUUUUGGAAUCUUGAAGCAUAUCAGUUGGAGUCUUAAUAUUUAGAGUUAAAGUUUUCACUAUAAUAUCUAGGUUGAAUAAUGAGAUAGUGAAAUUUGGAUAACAAUUCAAGUAUGUAGAACCAUUAGCAAGAUUUGAUUGAAAGAUUGUAAGUAGUGAGUUUUAAAAGGUCAUAAAUUGAGGUGAUGAAUUGGUUUGACUACAAUUUGUAUGAGAGAGAGAGAGGUGAUCAUUUUUUAUUUGGUUUUUAUAAAAAAAGUAAUUAAACUAGAUUUAUAAAAAAAAAAAACAAAACUGAACCGAAACCGGUUCAAACUGACUGGUUUUGAUUUGACUCAAUUUUUGUUUGAUUGGGGUUCAGUUCGGUUUGGUUUUUCAGUUUAAAGUUUAUAAAACCAAAAUCAAACCAAACCGGUUGGGUUUUUAAAAAUUCUAAUCGGUUUUUUUCAUGGUUUGAUUUUUUUAGUUAAUUUGUUUUUUUUGUUUUCUUAGUUUAAUCAAUUUUUUGAUUUUUUUACUCACUCCUAAUCUAUACUAAACCCAUGUGAUAAAAAAUUAUCUUUCGUUAGUGUUUGGAACAAAAAAUAAGGAAAGAUAUAAUUGUUUCAGAUUGUUUGAUGAAGGCUGGUCUAGAUCAUAUAUAAUUGUCAUUACACAGUGCCGGUCUAACUUGAAAGAUGUUAAUACCCCAUUAAUUGCGACGCCUAAGCUCAUAACCAUAUCCAUGAAUUAUGAUCACCAUUAAGGAAGCGCAUAGGAACUCUUUAAUUUCUAGUUGCUUCUUAAUACAUCUUCCUGGACAUGCAUGUGAUCUAAAGGAACAAAGGGAAAUUAAAUGCUUAAGCAUGAAUGUGAUCGUUCUCUAUAUGUUCGUCUUCAAGCUUUGAAAUUUUUAUAGCCCAAUUAUUAUUAUAUUUUUAAUUUUUUUAUGUGGGAAAAGAGUAUCAAAAUUGUGGGAAAUAUUGUCGAACGUGUGCGGCGGUCGCGGCGAAAAUAACAUAGUUUUUCCAUUUUCUUAAUCUAUAAUGUAAAUCUAUCUAUAUCUAUGGGGAUACAAAAAUAUUGUCUUUUAUUGGUAGAAAAUGGAAUGGGAGUCGCCACCUAGUAUUUUGGUCACUAGGAACCCUAACUGGUCUCAGAGAUCGGGUACGGGGACUGGUUGCGUAAAGGGAAGGUAUUAGCACCCCAAAUACGCCCUACCUAAGGUAAGCUGCAUUGUUUUAUUGUCUGAUAAAAACUAAGGUAUUUUCGUGUUUUCCUAGUUGUUGGUCUGUCUAUGGUUCAAGAAAAAUCCUCCUCGGUAAGAAAGGCUUUAUCUUAUCGGGUAAAAUCCUAACCGUUCUAACGUCCAUACCAAAAUUUAUUAAUAAUAUUUAGGAAUACGUUUUACGUAUAAAUUCGUAAUCCCAAAUACUAAAAUAAAACAAAAAGAUUUUUUAGAAUUUUUGAAAUAUUGGCCUAGUUCUCAUGGCUUGAAUAAACUGGUUAUUAAAGCCAAAAUGCAUGUUAAUACAUAUAUUGUUUUGAAAAUUUUCUUUGUUGUGUGAAAAUAUGAUGUUAUAAUAUUUAUAUGUAUAUAUUGGAGAGACUAGGCCGUAUGCAUGAAAACAAAACCCUUUUUUGGAAAAUAUUUAUUUUUUGAUGUUUUAACAAAAAUCGGGUAUUUUAAUACUGGGUUUGUAUUCUUACGGUAUAAAAAUACAACCCAAUAUUAAUCCACUAUAAAAAUAUGCAGAAAAAUCAACAACAUUUUUAGGGACUUUUUAGAAUUUUUUUGAAAGCAAAAACAUUUUUUAUUUGAAAAUCUUUGAUAUUUUGACGAAAACCGGGUAUUUUUAACACUGGUUUUGUAUCUUUACGGUAUAAAAAUACAAACCAACAUUAAACCACUUUGACAAAAAUGCAGAAAAUCAACAAUAUUUUUUAAGAUUUUUCAAAAUAUAUUUUUUAAAGAAAAAAUAUACAUAUAUAUAUAUAUAUAAUAUAUAAUAUAUAUAUAAUAUAAUAAUACACACACACACACAUAUAUAUAAUUCACGUCCUGCGUGAACAGUAGGACGUGAAUUAUAUUUCACGCCUACUGUUCAUGCAGUGAACAGUAGAAGGAGGAAGAAGAAGAAAAGGAGGAAAGGAAGAAGGAGGAGGAGGAAAGGAAGAGGGGCUCACUUGGCCGAAGAGGUUGUGGCUGCUGUGAUGAGGUGGUUCAGCCGGUGGUUGCAGCGGUGGAGUUGGAGGAAGACGGCGUCGGUUUCCUGUUGCAGAGGAAGAAAGAAGAAGAAGAAAAAUCUGCAGAAAUUGGGCGAAAAUGCUGGUUUUUGGCUGACUUUGGACCUGAAUUUUUCAACCCUCAGAUCAUCAAAUCCGACUCUAUUUAUAGGCUGUGGAAGAGGGCAAUCUUGUCUACGUUGGGGAAAAAUUUCAGCCCUUGAUUCAGUUGGGAAGCAUCUCAACCGUUGGCUCAAAGUGUGCACCUCGAGCUGCCAAAUUUGGCAGCUCCAGGCUGUGAACUGCCCGAGGUGGCCACUUUGAGCCACUCACCGGAGCCGUUUAACUUUUUCGACCCGACCUGACCAUUCUCCGGGAUAAAGGGGUUUCAUGUGGACAUGUUGGUGUAUGUUGUGUCGGAUUUGGAGGCCACACGAGCCGGAAAAUGCGCCUGGAAAGCAGCCACUCAGGCAGCUUUUUGAGGAAGAAGUGAACAGUAACAGGCGACGUGUCACCUGGUUUCCCUGUGCCAUUUUUUAAAUUAGUCCUCCAGUUUUCAAUUUCUUCAAUUUGACCCCGAUCAAUCCAAUACAGCCCCCCUAUUUACGCGCCUUUUCCAAAUUGGUCCCUGGUUUCGGAUUUUCUCAAUUAAGUCCCUAAUUGCCAUUAAACUUCAAUAUUUAUGCAAUUAAGCCCCUGAUUUGACCUAAUAAAUUCCUAAAAAAUAAUUUUGGCCCCAGAACUUAAAUUUCUUUAAUUAAAGCCCAAAUUGACUUAAAAAUCAAAUUUCUUGCAAUCAAAUCCCCUAUAAAAUCAAUUAAAAAUCCAAUUAAGUCCAUAAACAUCCAAAUUUGGGCUUUUCUCCUCAAAAAUUAAAAUUUCUUAUCCAUAAGGGCUCUUAUCAUUCAAGAAUAUAUUGUCAAAAAUCCAUCUUUGUAUUUUUAACCUCCUUGACUAAUUUUUCUGACCAUUUGUUGAACGCUUCUGCCUCAUGUUAUUUUUCUAACCUCCUUUGGCUAUUUAUUUUAUUUCAUUUAUUUGGGGACCCAAAAAUGGGUUAGAACAGAUGCCCCCUCUUUAUAAUGCUUACGGAGCAAGGGUUUUGCGCAGUAAGUUUUAUAAAGAUAAACUCAAAACAGAACUCCUGAAAUUAAUCUGGUUGAAGCUUGAUUGAUCUAGAACUUGUCUUUUACAACAAUCCUCCUCAGCGCCAAAAACUAUGAUCAAAAUUUAGUCAUCUUGUGCUCCCUUCUGGAGAUCUCUUUAAACCACAACCAAAAUCCUUUCCAAUUAGGUUAAACUGAGAUCCCUUCGUUGAUCCCCUUUAACCAUAACCAAGGUCUGUGUGGUGAGACUGAAUUGAGAUUCUUUCGUCGAUCCCCUUCAACCAGAACCAAAAUCCUUUCCAAUUAGGUUAAACUGAGAUCCCUUCGUCAAUCCCCUUUAACCAUAACCAAGGAAUUUGUAGGGUUGGGCUAGACUGAGAUUCCUUUCGGCAAUCCCCUCUAACCAGAACCAAAAUCCUUUCCAAUUAGGUUAAACUGAGAUCCCUUCGCCGAUCCCCUUUAACCAUAACCAAGGAAUGUGUAGGGUUGGGUUAGACUAAGAUUCCUUUCGGCAAUCCCCUCUAACUAGAACCAAAAUCCUUUCCAAUUAGGUUAAACUGAGAUCCCUUCGCCGAUCCCCUUUAACCAUAACCAAGGAAUGUGUAGGGUUGGGUUAGACUGAGAUUCCUUUCGGCAAUCCCCUCUAACCAGAACCAAAAUCCUUUCCAAUUAGGUUAAACUGAGAUCCCUUCGCCGAUCACCUUUAAUCAUAACCAAGGAAUGUGUAUGGUUGGGCUGAACUGAGAUCCUUUCGUCGAUCCCCUUCAACCAGAACCAAAAUCCUUUGCAAUUAGGUUAAACUGAGAUCCCUUCGUCGAUCCCCUUUAACCAUAACCAAGGAAUGUGUAGGGUUGGGCUAGACUAAGAUUCCUUUCGGCAAUCCCCUCUAACCAGAACCAAAAUCCUUUCCAAUUAGGUUAAACUGAGAUCCCUUCGCCGAUCCCCUUUAACCAUAACCAAGGUGUGUGUGGUUGGGCUGAACUGAGAUCCUUUCGUCGAUCCCCUUCAACCAGAACCAAAAUCCUUUCCAAUUAGGUUAAACUGAGAUCCCUUCGCCGAUCCCCUUUAACCAUAACCAAGGUGUGUGUGGUUGGGCUGAACUGAGAUCCUUUCGUCGAUCCCCUUCAACCAGAACCAAAAUCCUUUCCAAUUAGGUUAAACUGAGAUCCCUUCGUCGAUCCCCUUUAACCAUAACCAAGGAAUGUGUAGGGUUGGGCUAGACUGAGAUUCCUUUCGGCAAUCCCCUCUAACCAAAACCAAAAUCCUUUCCAAUUAGGUUAAACUGAGAUCCCUUCGUCAAUCCCCUUUAACCAUAACCAAGGAAUGUGUAGGGUUGGGUUAGACUAAGAUUCCUUUCGGCAAUCCCCUCUAACCAGAACCAAAAUCCUUUCCAAUUAGGUUAAACUGAGAUCCCUUCGCCGAUCCCCUUUAACCAUAACCAAGGAAUGUGUAGGGUUGGGUUAGACUGAGAUUCCUUUCGGCAAUCCCCUAUAACCAGAACCAAAAUCCUUUCCAAUUAGGUUAAACUGAGAUCCCUUCGCCGAUCCCCUUUAACCAUAACCAAGGUGUGUGUGGUUGGGCUGAACUGAGAUCCUUUCGUCGAUCCCCUUCAACCAGAACCAAAAUCCUUUCCAAUUAGGUUAAACUGAGAUCCCUUCGUCGAUCCCCUUUAACCAUAACCAAGGAAUGUGUAGGGUUGGGCUAGACUGAGAUUCCUUUCGGCAAUCCCCUUUAACGAGAACCAAAAUCCUUUCCAAUUAGGUUAAACUGAGAUCCCUUCGCCGAUCCCCUUUAACCAUAACCAAGGUGUGUGUGGUUGGGCUAAACUGAGAUCCCUUUGCCGAUCCCCUUCAACCAGAACCAAAAUCCUUUCCAAUUAGGUUAAACUGAGACCCCUUCGUCCGAUUCCCUUUAACCAUCCAACCAAGGAAUGAGUAGGGUUGGGUUGACUGAGAUUCCUUUCGCAAUCCCCUCUAACCAGAACCAAAAUCCUUUCCAAUUAGGUUAAACUGAGAUCCCUUCGCCGAUCCCUUUAACCAUAACCAGGGAAUGUGUAGGUUGGGCUGAACUGAGAUCCUUUCGUCGAUCCCCUUCAACCAGAACCAAAAAUCCUUUCCAAUUAGGUUAAACUGAGAUCCCUUCGUCGAUCCCCUUAACCAUAACCAAGGAAUGUGUAGGGUUGGGCUAGACUGAGAUUCCUUUCGGCAAUCCCCUAACCAAAACCAAAAUCCUUUCCAAUUAGGUAAACUGAGAUCCCUUCGCGAUCCCCUUUAACCAUAACCAAGGUGUGUGGUUGGGCUGAACUGAGAUCCCUUCGCCGAUCCCCUUCAACCAGAACCAAAAUCCUUUCCAAUUAGGUUAAACUGAGAUCCCUUCGUCGAUCCCCUUUAACCAUAACCAAGGUGUGUGUGGUUGGGCUGAACUGAGAUCCCUUCGCCGAUCCCCUUCAACCAGAACCAAAAUCCUUUCCAAUUAGGUUAAACUGAGAUCCCUUCGCCGAUCCCCUUUAACCAUAACCAAGGUGUGUGUGGUUGGGCUGAACUGAGAUCCCUUUGCCGAUCCCCUUCAACCAGAACCAAAAUCCUUUCCAAUUAGGUUAAACUGAGAUCCCUUCGUCGAUCCCCUUUAACCAUAACCAAGGAAUGUGUAGGGUUGGGUUAGACUGAGAUUCCUUUCGGCAAUCCCCUCUAACCAGAACCAAAAUCCUUUCCAAUUAGGUUAAACUGAGAUCCCUUCGCCGAUCCCCUUUAACCAUAACCAGGGAAUGUGUAUGGUUGGGCUGAACUGAGAUCCUUUCGUCGAUCCCCUUCAACCAGAACCAAAAUCCUUUCCAAUUAGGUUAAACUGAGAUCCCUUCGUCGAUCCCCUUUAACCAUAACCAAGGAAUGUGUAGGGUUGGGCUAGACUGAGAUUCCUUUCGGCAAUCCCCUCUAACCAAAACCAAAAUCCUUUCCAAUUAGGUUAAACUGAGAUCCCUUCGCCGAUCCCCUUUAACCAUAACCAAGGUGUGUGUGGUUGGGCUGAACUGAGAUCCCUUCGCCGAUCCCCUUCAACUAGAACCAAAAUCCUUUCCAAUUAGGUUAAACUUAGAUCCCUUCGUCGAUCCCCUUUAACCAUAACCAAGGUGUGUGUGGUUGGGCUGAACUGAGAUCCCUUCGCCGAUCCCCUUCAACCAGAACCAAAAUCCUUUCCAAUUAGGUUAAACUGAGAUCCCUUCGCCGAUCCCCUUUAACCAUAACCAAGGUGUGUGUGGUUGGGCUGAACUGAGAUCCCUUUGCCGAUCCCUCAACCAGAACCAAAAUCCUUUCCAAUUAGGUUAAACUGAGAUCCCUUCGUCGAUCCCCUUUAACCAUAACCAAGGAAUGUGUAGGGUUGGGUUAGACUGAGAUUCCUUUCGGCAAUCCCUCUAACCAGAACCAAAAUCCUUUCCAAUUAGGUUAAACUGAGAUCCCUUCGCCGAUCCCCUUUAACCAUAACCAGGGAAUGUGUAGGUUGGGCUGAACUGAGAUCCUUUCGUCGAUCCCCUUCAACCAGAACAAAAUCCUUUCCAAAUUAGGUAAAUUAGAUCCCUUCGUCGAUCCCUUUAACCAUAACCAAGGAAUGUGUAGGGUUGGGCUAGACUGAGAUUCCUUUCGGCAAUCCCCUCUAACCAAAACCAAAAUCCUUUCCAAUUAGGUUAAACUGAGAUCCCUUCGCCGAUCCCCUUUAACCAUAACCAAGGUGUGUGUGGUUGGGCUGAACUGAGAUCCCUUCGCCGAUCCCCUUCAACCAGAACCAAAAUCCUUUCCAAUUAGGUUAAACUGAGAUCCCUUCGUCGAUCCCCUUUAACCAUAACCAAGUGUGUGUGGUUGGGCUGAACUGAGAUCCCUUCGCCGAUCCCCUUCAACCAGAACCAAAAUCCUUUCUAAUUAGGUUAAACUGAGAUCCCUUCGCCGAUCCCCUUUAACCAUAACCAAGGUGUGUGUGGUUGGGCUGAACUGAGAUCCCUUCGCCGAUCCCCUUCAACCAGAACCAAAAUCCUUUCCAAUUAGGUUAAACUGAGAUCCCUUCGCCGAUCCCCUUUAACCAUAACCAAGGUGUGUGUGGUUGGGCUGAACUGAGAUCCCUUUGCCGAUCCCCUUCAACCAGAACCAAAAUCCUUUCCAAUUAGGUUAAACCUGAGAUCCCUUCGUCGAUCCCCUUUAACCAUAACCAAGGAAUGUGUAGGGUUGGGUUAGACUGAGAUUCCUUUCGGCAAUCCCCUCUAACCAGAACCAAAAUCCUUUCCAAUUAGGUUAAACUGAGAUCCCUUCGCCGAUCCCCUUUAACCAUAACCAGGGAAUGUGUAUGGUUGGGCUGAACUGAGAUCCUUUCGUCGAUCCCCUUCAACCAGAACCAAAAUCCUUUCCAAUUAGGUUAAACUGAGAUGCCUUCGUCGAUCCCCUUUAACUAUAACCAAAACGAAAAUGCAUGAGUGGUCUCAUUAUGAUGGGUGACCUACCCGAAUGGAAAAGAAAAAGGAGUGGUCUCAUUCUUAUGGGUGACCUACCCAGGGGGAAGAAUUCUUAGUAAACUCCAUGCUUUUUUAAGAAAUGGUUUCAAUAUGAGGUCCCUUCUGGCGACCUUCCUUGAUGAAUGUCGAAGUACGAGAUCCCUUCUGGUGAUCUCAAAUAACUUGGAAUCCCAUCGGGCGAUUCCUUUUACCAAAGCUGAAAUAUGAGGUCCCUUCUGGCGACCUUCAUCGAAAUACGAGAUCCCUUCUGGCGAUCUCACCAAACAACUUGGAAUCCCAUCUGGCGAUUCCUUUUAUACAAAACUGAAAUUUGAGGUCCCUUCUGGCGACCUCCAUCGAAAUACGAAAUACGAGAUCCCUUCUGGCGAUCUCAACAACUUGGAAUCCAUUGGCGAUUCCUUUUUACCGAAUGCUAUCGAUGUCGUUCUUCCUGCUGGCAGGGUUUGAAAACCAUUAUCUUCUCUUCUUGUUGUUCUAGAAUCAACUCAAUGAUUCUUUCUUCGUCCAUAAUCUUGUUGGAAUGCGCUAAGAUCUCCUCCUGUAACGAUCCAAAAAACAUAUAUGCAAUGAUUUAUGAUUAGAUGCAAUGCAUGCAUUCGUACCUGGUUUUGAAACAUAGGCCCCAUCCUCUUCUAGUUCAUGAGACUCCCUCUUAACAUGAACUUGCUUUUGAAGUCGUAUGCUGGAUUCAUCUCUCGUGUUGCCUAUCAUAUUCUUGGAGAAAAGUCUUUGACUUUCUUCAAGUAGUCCUUUUCUCAAAAUGUAUGACUUGUAUUUGCCUCUUUGUCAUGCUUUUGUCAAAUGCUUUAGCUUGGUUUUCAAAUCUAUAGGCUUCAUCCAAUUUUAAACACGUAAAACUUUUCAUAAAACAUCUCGUCUUGCCCCCAGUGUAGGGGUGCGAUAUUAGUCUGGGUUUUAUAUAGAGAAGAAUUCAUUCAGCCAGUGAUAAACUUUUUUAGUGAGUGAAGAUAAUGAUUUUUUUUUUUUCAAAAUGCACAUUGUUAUAUAAACUCUAUUCUUUAAAAGACAAUUACAGAUGAUUAUAAGACCACUUAAUCAUUUAUCAUUAUCAUCAAGGUUGUAUUUAGGGUUAGCUUUUCUUAAAUUUCAUAUUAAACCAUUUUAUGAUACUUUAUUUGUAACCACUCAAACUUGUUCAAAAAAUGCAUAAACUCAUCAUUUAUUUAAAGAAAAGGUAAGCUCAAACACAAAAAUGGCUGACAUCAUGAGCCUGAUUGCCCACUAGAGAAAAAAAAGCAAAGACAAAAGCAAAUGACAAAAACAUGCUAAGGCAAAUAAAGUUGUUUUACAUUUUGAAAACUACGAGAAGUUCUUGGGUCAACCCGUUCUGAAACUUCUUCUAGUGUGUGGAAAGUCAACCGAGGCAAUGCUUCAUCUUCCUUCCCCACUUGCGUUUCCUUGUCUUCUCCUUCGAUCUCGCCUUCUUCAUUAUUGACGAUUCUUGACCAAGGUUUUCCAACCUUUAUCCCCUAUCACUUUUGUCAUGACCAGGCAAUGGAUUUGAAUGAUAUUGGGUGUGUCUUCAAAUGACACCCAUCCUAUCUUGAUGAGCUUCAACAACUUGUUCUUGAAAGUAGCACGUUUCAAGACAAUGCCCGGGAAUACCAGCAUGGUACUCGCAAGUCAACUCGGGCUUAUACCAGAUGGGGAAUGGUGGCUGUAGUGGUAAUGUAGGGAUAGGAGCUAUUUGUCCAAUGCUCAGUAGUUUGGCAUAUAUGUCCUUCAGAGGCAUGGGUAAUGGCGGUAGUUGUUCUGAAAUGUAUCUUGUGUUUGGUCUUUGGUGGUUGUUUUGGGUGUUUGACUGAUUUGCUCGAUUAGGGGAAAAAGGUUUGUUAAAGUUUAUGUGGGCCACAUGAGAGGUAGGUAUUUGUGGGUUAUAUGAAUCUGUUAUCUUGUCAUUGGACCCACCUUCGAAGUUGUUAACGGGACCUUUCAUUUUUCUUCCGAAAAAACCCUUUGUCUCCAAUGGCUCAAUUAUGCGUCCAGCUUUAAUCCCUUGCUCUAUUCUUUCCGCUAUGCGUACAACAUCAUAGAAAUGUUGAGAUGAGCUACCCAUUAAAUGCUCAUAGUAGGGUGCCUUGAAUGUAUUGGCGAACAAAGUCACCAUCUCCGUUUCUAUCAAAGGGGGUUGCACAUGCAUGGCCUCGUCCCUCCAUCUUUGCGCAUAAGCCCUUACUGAUUCUUGGCUUCUCUUUUCCAUUGACAUAAGGCUUGUUCGAUCUGGAGCAAUUUCCAAAUUGAACUUGUAUUGCUUAAGGAAAGCCUCAACUAAAUCCUUCCAUUUCUUGAUCUUGGCAUUAUCCAGCCUCAUGUACCAACUUAGCGCCGACCCCGAUAGACUGUCUUGGAAAAAGUAGAUCAGUAACUUAUCGUCAUGAAUCACCUCAGCCAUCUUAUUGCAAUAAGAUCGAAGGUGAGUGUUUGGGCAUUCCAACCCAGUGUACUUUAUAAACUCCGGUAUCCUAAAUUUUUGGUACCGUGAUGUUUGGUACCAAGCAUAUUUCAGACGCUCGCAUGGGGUCAAACCAGUCAUUUCCCUCGACUGCUCUUAACCUUUCUUCCAAGGCUGAUAUCUUGUCAUCGUUCAUAAAACCAGUGGACCUAUUAUCGGAAGGCCCCUCUACAGUGAUGUGAGCUUGAGGGGGCUGAAUGGGAAUGGCAGUGCAAAGUGCUGCCCCGUCACUGAAUCUGCCCCCAAGUUCUGAGAUACCCCCGGGACAUGAACUGACGGUGCUCCUAUAGGUGGUUGGGUAGAUGUUCCCUCCCCGUUCUUGGCUCUUAAAAGUUGCUCAAGCAGAUUGGUCAGUCGAGAAACUUCAUUUUACGGAUUCCAAUUCACUGGUAGUGCGACUCUAGGAUGCUCUCUUCUUCUCCAUUCUUGAUCUGGACCGGGUUUGGUGGACUCUGGAUGUGGGACCUAUGUUUCACGAUCUGUAAUGCAUAUGAUAACAAAAUGCGUGAUGAAAAUGUGAUGCACAAGUGAUGAUGUAUAACAUUGCAAAAAGAUACAUAACCUAAGGACAAGCUCUAUUUAUUAAGUGAGAGUGGGUAGUUUUUUCUAUCUGUCUUGAAGGUCUCAUAUCUGCCCAGUGACGUUCUUCGUAAAGACAGUAUGGGGGCGUUGCAAGGAACAGUUAAGACACGUAUGCCCACCAUUACCAAACAGGCACUCAGAUAUGAGUUGGGUGUUUCACGCAUUUAAACCCUGACCAAUAGUCUUAGGGUAAAUCGCUAAUUCCCCACUUAACUUAAAGCUUGUGUGUGCUUCUCAAAAUAAAAGCAAGUGAUGCAUGAGAUAAUUUUAUACAAUGCAUAAAUAAUACGCGUAAAAUAAAAAACAAACAUGCAAAUAAACGGAAAGGCAUAUUAACAAUAAACACACGAAAACACAAACAAAUCAGACAAAAACAAAGCUUAGUCUACAAGGUCCCCAGCGGAGUCGCGGCGAAAAUAACAUAGUUUUUCCAUUUUCUUAAAUCUACAAUGUAAAUAUAUCUAUGUCUAUGGGGAUACAAGAAAAUAUUGUCUUUUAUUGGUAGAAAAUGGAAUGGGAGUCGCCACCUAGUAUUUUGGUCACUAGGAACCCUAACUGGUCUUAGAGAUCGGGUACGGGGACUGAUUGCGUAAAGGGAAGGUAUUAGCACCCCAAAUACGCCCUACCUAAGGUAAGCUGCAUUGUUUUAUUGUCUGAUAAAAUCUAAGAUAUUUUCAUGUUUUCCUAGUUGUUGGUCUGUCUAUGGUUCAAGAAAAAUCCUCCUCGGUAAGAAGGUCUUUAUCUUAUCGUGUAUAAUCCUAACCGUUCUAACGUCUUUACCAAAACUUUAUUAAUAAUAUUUAGGAAUAUGUUUUACGUAUAAAUUCGUAAUCCCAAAUACUAAAAAGAAAACAAAAAGAUUUUUUAGAAUUUUUUGAAAUAUUGGCCUAGUUCUCAUGGCUUGAAUAAACUAGUUAUUAAAGCCAAAAUGCAUGCUAAUACAUAUAUUGUUUUGAAAAUUUUCUUUGUUGUGUGAAAAUAUGAUGUUAUAAUAUUUAUAUAUAUAUAUAUUGGAGAGACUAGGCCGUAUGCAAGAAAACAAAACAUUUUUUUGGAAAAUAUUUGUUUUUUGAUGUUUUAACAAAAAUCAGGUAUUUUAAUACUGGGUUUGUAUUCUUACGGUAUAAAAAUACAAACCAAUAUUAAUCCCUUUUGACAAAAAUAUGCAGGAAAAUCAACAAUAUUUUCAAAGAUUUUUUCAGAAUAUAUUUUUUAAAGAAAAAAAUAUACAUAUAUAUAUAUAUACAUAUAUAAUAUAAUAUAUUAUAAUAUAUAAUAUAAUAAUACACACACACACAUAUAUAUGUAAUUCACGUCCUGCAUGAAUAGUAGGACGUGAAUUAUAUUUCACUCCUACUGUUCAUGCAGUGAACAGUAGGUAAGGAGGAAGAAGAAGAAGAAAAGGAGGAAAGGAAGAGGAAGGAGGAGGAAAGGAAGAGGGGCUCACUUGGCCGAAGGGGUUGUGGCUGCUGUGAUGAGGUGGUUCAGCCGGUGGUUGCAGCGGUGGAGUUGGAGGAAGACGGCGUCGGUUUCCUGUUGCAGAGGAAGAAAGAAGAAGAAGAAAAAUCUGCGGAAAUUGGGUGAAAAUGCUGGUUUUUGGCUGACUUUGGACCCAAAUUUUUCAACCCUCAGAUCAUCAAAUCCGACUCUAUUUAUAGGCUGUGGUAGAGGGAAAUCUUGUCUAUGUUGGGUAAAAAUUUCAGCCCUUGAUUCAGUUGGGAAGCAUCUCAACCGUUGGCUCAAAGUGUGCACCUCAAGCUGCCAAAUUUGGCAGCUCCAGGCUGUGAACUGCCCGAGGUGGCCACUUUGAGCCACUCAACAGAGCCGCUUCUAACUUUUUCGACCCGACCGGACCAUUCUCCGGGAUAAAGGGGUUUCAUGUGGACAUUUCUGUGCACGUUUUGUCGGAUUUGGAGGCCACACGAGCCGGAAAAUGCGUCUGGAAAGCAGCCACUCAGGCAGCUUUUUGAGGAAGAACGUGAACAGUAACAGGCGACGUGUCACCUGGUUUCCCUGCGCCGUUUUUAAAUUAGUCCUCCAGUUUUCAAUUUCUUCAAUUUGACCUCGGAUCAAUCCAAUACAGCCCCCCUAUUUACGCGCCUUUUCCAAAUUGGUCCCUAGAUUCGGAUUUUCUCAAUUAAGCCUCUAAUUGGCCAUUAAACUUCAAUAUUUAUGCAAUUAAGCCCCUGAUUUUACCUAAUAAAAUUCUAAAAAAUAUAUUUUGGCCCUAGAACUUAAAUUUCUUUCAAUUAAAGCCCAAAUUGACUUAAAAAUCAAUUUUUCUUGCAAUCAAAUCCCCUAUAAAAUCAAUUAAAAAUCCAAUUAAGUCCAUAAACAUCCAAAUUUGGGCUUUUCUCCUCAAAAAUUAAAAUUUCUUAUCCAUAAGGGCUCUUAUCAUUCAAGAAUAUAUUGUCAAAAAUCCAUCUUUGUAUUUUUAACCUCCUUGACUAAUUUUUCUGACCAUUUCUAACCUCCUUUGGCUAUUUAUUUUAUUUCAUUUAUUUGGGGACCCAAAAAUGGGUUACAACAAAUAUAUAUUAGAAUAUUUCAUGGACUGAACUGCUCUAUGAUUGUGCAUUUAUAGCCCAAUUAUUAUUAUUUUUUUCUUUUUCCUGUUAAUUGCAUUUUGGAAUUCAUUUGAUUUGACAUAAUUUGAACUGGAAGAAUGAAUUGGGUUGGCCUUCAUUUGUUCUGUUUUAAUGUGACUGAGAGCCUUAUUUUUUUAAAUGUAUUGUCACUCAUUUAGAUACUGACUAAGUAGAGUUUGCACUCAGAUUAACAUACAGUAUUCAUUCAUUCCAUUAAGCCUUAAUGGAGUAGUGAAUGAAUAAAAUGACUUUUAUUAUAUGUUCCUUGCCUGUGGUCCUCUACUACGUGGACGCUGAACUGGAGCAUUGGAGGUUCCCCCAUUGCUCCAUUGUUGGUAUAUUUGAGCAACUAUGAAACAUGAAGCUGGCCAAUAGGUGUCUAUAAGUAGUACAUAGAUUUUACAAUAGAAACAUGGUGCAAUCAGUGUUCUAUAUGCACGAUCAAAUUUGGGGCUUCACUGUACUACCUCAGAUACUGUCAAAAUAUGCUUCUUGGAAUUCGGAAGCUUAGAUCAUCGGUUAACAUGUCUGGUGUUGGUGCUUCAUGAAAUGAUGUUACCUUUUCUCUUUCUGAACGUUAUUUCCAGGUUGGAAAUUCAAGUAAUUAGUUCAAAUCGAUCCUAGAAGAUUGUUGUUACUCAAAUUUUGACCCACCUUUUUGAUAAAAUUUUUGAAAAAUCCAAAAAUAGUGAAAAACAACAAAAAUCCAAAAAAUAUGUUUUUAAUAUAUUUUGCAUCGUUUUUAGCAUUUUCAACGUCGUCUAAAAAAAACACAAAGAAUUUUAAUUUUCAAAGGUUUUUCGAACGCGUUCGACUUUUCACGCGUCAUUUUUAAAAUCAUUAAUUUUUCUCAUAGAAUUGACGUUGAUUUUGCUCGUUUUUAAAAAUACAAGAAAAAAAAAACAAGACAAAUCAAAAUUUACAAAAAAAGAAAGUUGAGGGACCAAUUUUGAUACCCGGACAACAUUUUACCUAUAAAUAUAGGUUGAAAACUCAAAAAAAGAAGAGGGGGGGUCAUUUGGUAAUUUUGAGGAGAGAGAACACAAACCAGAAACCCUAAGAGCCUAAUUGUUUCUCCCCUCACAAAAAGAAGCCGCCGGCCACCCCCCACUUCUUCUUCCUUAUUAGCCAAACAGCCUGCACCUCACGGAGGAUUUUUUUUUGACAGACUCCACCAAAGGUUCUGCUCCCUCACCAGCACAACCCUGGACCUGGCAUCUCCCUCAGCCUAAACAGACCCGCCGUCCCCUGUUCCCUUGAUUUUUUUUCUUCUCUCGCCCAAACCAGCCACCGCAGCUCUCCUCUUCCUUCUUUCUCCUACAACCCGAUCUUCCCACGUUUCCUCACAGGACGACCCUCCAUUUUGAUUUUUCUUCUUCUCCACCUGACCAAGCCGAAAGAGGAGCGGCCCGCCCUAGAUUGAUUUUCUUCUCCUUUCUCGGCCGACAACCAAGCCCCCCCUGGUUUUGAUUUUUGGCCGGCUGCGAGAGAAGCCUUCGGCUCUCGGACCCAUAGCCUCCCAGACCCGCACGGCCAGCCUCAUCCCCACCGUCCCGCUCCUCUCUCAGUCGACAACACAGGCGCCUCCACCACCGGCCACCCGAACCAGCGUCACUGACCGUUCCCCAGCUCUGUCCGACCUCUCUCUCAGCCAUCGUGGACAGACCACCUUCUCACUCUCCUCUCAGUCGGUCGUCGCCGAAGAAGCAACACACACAGACCGGCCUUUCUCCCCCAAGCCCCGACCGAGCGCCUUCCUCCUCCACAAACGUCGUCCCAUAUAAGUCGGGCCUCUGCCAGCAGAAGAAAAGAUGAAGAAAAGGAGGGCAGAUCUGCAGAUCUAAAAGAGGAGGCAGAGGAGCAAAAAUCUGAGAAAAUUAAGAAAGAAAUUGAAACCGAUUGUGUUGUGUGUAUUUCUAGUGUUGCAGGUGAAGGCGUUCCCCACUGCCGGCGUGGGAAGGCAGAGGGGAAGAAGACACUAGUCCCCUGGUUUUUUUUUGUUUUGUUUUUAGCGGCGGCGCGUGAGCCCACGCGCCGCCAGUGGUGGUGUCGCGUUGGGCGACGCGCCGCCACUGUUCCUGCGGGUGGCAGAAGGGCAAUGCUGCAAUUUCUGGAGUUUAGGGACUAUUUUAUAAAUUAUGUAAUGUAAUUUUUAUUUAGUUUAAUUUGUUGUUAUAAUUUGUAAUGUGAUGUAUAAAAAGAACAAAAAACAAUAAUGUAAAAGAAAAGAAAAGAAAAGAAAAGAAAGAGAAAAUGAUAAUAAAAAAGAAAAGAAAAGAAAUGUUUGUGUGUGCUUGUAUGUUUUUUUUAUGUAUGUUAUUGAAUAAAAAAAAAGGAAUUUAAUUUAUAUGCACAAAUAUCUAAAGGACAGAUAAAAAUCAUGUUGAAUUUUCCAUGGAAAUGUAGAACAUGUAUCUACAUAUAGUCUUGAAAAGUAAUAACUGAUUUAUCAAAGCCUUAGAAUUGAGCUAAAAUUUUAUUUUUAAUAUCACAUCAAGUCCACAAAGCUUGAAAGUGAAUGUGGCGUGUAUUUCUGUUUAUGAAUGUUUUUUUAUUAUGAUAAAAUUGCAAGAAUAAAGAAGAAUUUAAUAUUCUGAUUUGAUCACGGAUAAAGAAUUAUGAACUUACAUGUAAGUUGUAUUUUUUAAAAUUCGAUGAAAGAACAUAAUUUUUAAAACUUCUUUAACACAUCAAGUCCACAAAGCAGCUUACCUCAGGUAGGGUGCGUUAGGGGUGCUAAUACCUUCCCUAACCACAACCAGUCCCUUACCCGCGAUCUCUGACAAGACCAGUACAUCAAGUUUCUUAGUAGCCCUCAAUGAAUUACUAGGUGGCGACUCUAAAGAACCAAAUCAGCAAAAAAGAACGAAUAAUCGCCAGCCGAUGCCGUGCGUGGAUUUUUUCGACGUGCUACAAAGAUGAAUGGUGGCUUAGAAUGCUGUGAAAAAAUCAUUCCCUUGUUCAUUUUUCAAAUUAGAAAAGACAACUUUUUGCUUGAACUUUUAGAAUAUAAAAAAUCAUACUUUCAUAGCUAGACACUUUCCAUCUAUGAUCUUUAAAUCUGAAGACAUAACAUCUGGUUUAAUGAAAGUGCUAUUAACAUGCCAAACUUUAUUAGAUUGUUGUUGUGCACUUGGGAAGAAAUAAAAUACUUGUCCUCUAUUGUUUUCAAUAGCAUAAUCAGCUUCAUAGUUUUCUACGUUGUCUUUUUACUAGUAGUACCUUUGUGAAUGUCUGGGAUUUCUGUCUUUUGCAUCUAUACCAGCACUCUUUUACUUAGUGUCCACCUCAUUUUCAAGUUCAUAAGUAGGAGGAAAGAAUGUAAAAAUAUAGCCAUUUGUUUUCUGGUUUUUUGCUGGGACUUUUAUUUAAAAUUUGACACAAGUGUUUUAUAUAUAAACAUCUCGAUUUAAUUUUUUGUUUCCUAAUCGACGAGGAAUUCCACUCACAAGUAAUAUCUGUACAUUUUUUCUCAUGUUUGGUUAAGGCUAGGAAAGUGAAACAAAAAUCAUGUUAUGCAGUAUAAAAAGGUAAUGGAAGUGACUGGUUUCACCAUCACCGGUAAAGUGUCUGUAAUGACUGGCAUGGCCUAUGGGCUACAUUAUGCUUAGAUCCGUUAAAAUCAUGUAUGUAAUGACUGGCUAUGAAUGAAGUUUUUGUAAUUUAAAAAAAAAAAAAAAAAUUCUGUGAUGUCCAAAGUACACUUAUUAUGGGCAUGAGGAAGUGUUAAUUUACAUAGUUAACAUCUGGCCUUCCGCAUGUUUUUGCUUAUUUAUUGAAGUCACAAAGUUCUUUGUUCAUCUAUGGUGACACCUGUGUAGUUUAAAGUGGGGAAAUAUCAGAGUACAGUUAUUAUAGCAUAAUUUUGAGAUACUGUUUUAGGGAUUGAGAUUUUUAUUGGCUGAGAGCUCCAUAAGGUACUUGGAUGGUCAGCCAACAUCUGGCCUCUCCUGUUUUUCAAACUUCAAUGGUAAUGACCAUAGUUCAUUUUUCAAGGCUUUGAUUAUAUAAAUUUUUCCAGGUAGUCUUAUAUAGGACCUACUAUCUACUAUCAGACCACAUGUCAACUUGACUCUGUUUGUUCUUGCUGGUAUUAUUAUUUUGCCUGUUAAUUGCAUUUGUUUUUCUAUGCAAGAUGUUUUUCAAGCAAUUGCUAUCUAUUUGUAUGUCUGCGAUAUGCUAAGUUUGAGAAUUCCUUUCUUUUCUCCAUUCAGAGCGGUUGUGUGCAAAGGAUGAAUAGAUGUGAACCUGCUAUUGAUCAAUGGUAGAGAUUUGGUUCUGAAGGUGGCUUGAUCAAGUUAUCUUUGGAGUUGGCAUUUUCACACAGGCAGAAGAAAUUUUUCUUGUAUUCCCAACCCUGAUACAAUAUUGUUGGUCUAGUCUUUGGCAUUACCGCCACUGAGGAGCGAACCUCCUAUUGAAUCUGGAUUAGUUACAGAAUUUUAAAGACUUUUUAAUCCUCCUGAGAUUCUAAGCACCGAUUUACUCUCCCUAGGAACGCAAGUUAGGAUAAAUGAGUCAGUUAGAUGCUCCACUGGUAUAUCCAUUUUUCAUUUUGCAUAGCUAGUGUAUUCUUGUAGCAAAAUAUUUUAUCCGUUGCAAUUAUAUUGUGAUUUUUCCAUUUUGAACUCGAGAAAUUUUAGUGUAGUAUCUGGAAGACCACAGAGUUACGUGCUUCGGCAGAAACAGUUGUAUACCUGAAUGAAAUCUCUUGUCAAUAAUAAGGUUUGAUUACUCUUUGGAACUCAUUUACAGUACAUGGUUCUCUAGUCACAUGCAAAAGUUGCAGGUUGUUCAAAAAUGGUGGUUAUUUUGGUUUUGGUGAUUUAAGCACUUAUUACUGCAAUAUCAGCAAUGAGGAAAAGCAACUACUGAAAAUUGCUCUUAAUGGUGAAAGCAUUAUACAUCAGGUGUUAUUUGCAGCAGUUCGCAUCUGCUUGCAUAACUGUUAUUGGCAUCCAGCUUGGUGAUGUUGGAUUCUGUUGCAGCAAAACAGUUCUUGUGCUGGGAUUCUGAUGAAUCGCGGUGUGAUUUUUGUACUUAAUGUCAGAAGGUAAUGAACAAUUUCUACUUUCAUCCAUAUUGAUAUAUUCGUCUUAUUUCAGGGAGCAAUGAACAUAAGUGGAUAAUGAGAUUUGGGAUUCAUGCUUGGAAAUGUUCUCACGUUUUGGGUUCGAAAGAUUGAAACAAUUUCUACUUUCUCUUGUUUCAUUGAAGUGAUAAACUAACUGCAACAUUAAAGGUAGGUGUGUUUGAGAAUGUGAUAAUGAUUGUGUUUUAAAUUGUUUUUUAUUUAAAAAUAUAUUAAAAUAAUAUAUAUUUUUAAAAAAUAUUUUUGAUAUCAACACAUCAAAACGAUCUGAAAAAUAUAAAAAUAUAAUUUUAAGUAAUUUUUUUCUUUCAAGUUUUGGUGGAAUGUGGUUUGAACCACAUUUCUAAAUGGGGCCUAAGUAUUCUUAAACUUUAUUUUGAGUGAUUUAGUUUUAAUUAAAGAUCAAUUGAUUUUGAUUUUUUAUGAAAAAAUUUGAUUGAAAAAAGAGAGAUCUAAAUGAAAAAGGCGUCAAACAUGGUGAUAUGCUUUAAGUUUUGAAAAUGAUCUACUUUGAUCCUCAAAUUUUAAAAAACAGAAAUUAUAUAAUUUCGAUACCUUAAUAUUUUUCAAUUUAAUUUUGGUAUGAAAAUUUAUUUUUGUUAUUUUUUAGUUCUUGAUUGAGAGUGAAGAGAGAAGUCGUUAAAUUCCAACGAUAAAUAGAGAAUCAUGUCGUUGACAUUGAUUUAGGCUACUAAAAUGGAUGAUAUUUGUGUCAAAUAGUUCUUUUGAAUUGAGAGAGUUCAUAUUAGGUGUUUUUCUUAACUUGAAAGUUCGUUAAAAAACAAAUAUGAUCUCGGGUUGAUUUUUGAUUUCAGGUUCAUUAAUGUUUUUUCAAAGGGUUUUUUUUCUUUUUUUUAAGGCUAUGAAUAAGUUUAUCAUGGUUCUUAAUGUUUUUUAUAAGUGUUUUGGGAAAAAACUUAGGCCUUGAUUUUUCGACCACCACAGUGGUUAGAAUUUGGGCAAGAUCAGACGACGUGUUGUCUGUCUAAACAGGUGAUGUGUCAUCUGAUUUUUUUUUUAAAAAAAUAAGGGUGGACAACAUAUCAUUCGCUCUAAGAGUAACAAAAAAAAGGACUUAGACGAGCCCUAAUGAAAUGGGUCAUGCCCAGAAGCACUUGACCUUUUAUUUCCCUAUUGUUUUCAAUUAAUCCUUAUUUUUAUAUGUUUUUUUGUAAAAUAAAAAAUUAAUAACAUUUAGAUUAAUACCUCUUUUCUUUUUUUAUUUUGUUUAGAUGAACUAUAUUUUGGAAAAUAAAAAAUAUUUAUUUUCAAAUAAUAUUUCUAAUAUGUGUAGUAUAUAUGUGUGUGUAUUUUAUUCAAUCAAUUUAAUGUCGUUUGAAUAAAAAAACAUUGUAAUAAACAAAAUUUAGCAACAUAUAAUUAAGUAAAUGUCAUGUCUUGCAAGAUUAAAUAUCUUGAUCUACACAUGUCUCUUGAUUUUUCUAGUUUUAUUUUUAGAUAUCAUUAAUGGCUUUUUUUAUUUAUUCAUUAGCACACAUAGUUCUCAGCUUACUUGAUUACUUGUAUGCAUAAACUUUUUUAUCUACACUUUAAUAUUUUGAAUUAUAGAAAUGCGUUGAAAAAACCUGCAUAUAUAAUGUUUUUAUAAAAAAUAAAAAUAUCUGACAUGCAAAGGAGCACAAGUCAUAUAACUACUAGUAGUACUAAAUUCAAGUUAUAAAAAAUAACAUAUAGCACAAGUAAAUUGCAUAGAUAAGACAUCAAUGACACAAACCCCUCCAUUUAUAGAUAAUGGAGCGUCAAUUCUUAAGUUUAGGGAGACACAUGGUGGCCGUAUAAGUCUAUAUUGGAUUCAAGCAAUCUGAUUCAUUCUUCAUAGUUAAUGUAUCUAGUGACUUGACAUGAAAAGCCUAAAGAGUUGGUAACUAAUAGUAGGUGAUGUAUGGUAAGCAAGGUGACCAAUAGUUGGUACUUGUAAAAGGUCCUCUUUGAUGGAUGUGGGGAUUCUCCGAUAGUAAAGUUAGUAACUUUAUAGAAAGAGAAGGUGCAAUAAUAUUUUAGAGAGAGAUACUCUGAAAAUAUAUACAUAGUAGAGAAUGAAGGAUUUAUGGUGUAUUUCUAGCUCAUGAAUCUUAUCUUUUUUGUGAAGAGGAGAGACUAAAGUGUAUUUUAACAUUAUGAUAUUUUGAGUUGUAUUCUACUUAAAAUAAUAUGUAUUUGAUCAAUAUAAAAUAGCCCGAGCUCGUGUUUCUUAGGUGUUUUCUGAUUUUGUUUUUUAUUUAGAGGAUUUUUUUUGGAUCAAUUUUGGAGAAUUUUUUAGAUUUAUUUUAUUUGUAUCCAUCAUAUUCUAUUAUCAAUUUAAAAAUUCCGAAGAUAUAGAUUAAGAAUAUAUUUUGUAUAUAACUUCCUCAUUUUCCAUUCGUAACCCAAUAACACAUCUUGAAACACUAAACUAAGGUGAACCUUCAAAUAGGAAACUAAAUUUUAUUGAAAGUUUACCCCUUUCACAAUAUCUGACACUAAACAAUGAAUAGCUUCAACAAGGAGGAUUUUUUAGGAAAAUUUAUUUAUUUUUAAUGUUUUUUCUAUUUAGUGUAAGAAGUUAAAUUUUUAUUUUUCCUAGUUUAUUUAGAAUUUUUAUUACUUUUUUUUUUCUUCAAGUUUUCUAGUUUGUUUAGGUUAGUUUUUAAGUUUAUUUAAGAAGCUGUAAACUUUUUAGUGAGGAAGACUAUAUGAACAUAAAAUAUUCAGUAAUAAAAUUAUAAAUUAGAAUUUUGUGAGAUAAUUUUAUUUGGCUUCAAUCAUGUCUUUAUAGCUUAUUGUAUUUUUUUGUUUUUAUUUUUGUUUUUUGUUAGUUGAUAUUAGAGUCCAACGAUACCAAUGGUUAUUUUCUUGCUAUGUGCUUAAAUAACCAUGACUAGAAGAUGUAGUAAAAUAAGACAUGCUCGUAUAGAAAAGGAUGAAAAGGUUUUUCUUGAGAAAGAGAUGUUUAAACGAUGGUGAUAGAAAAUAUGUAAAAACAAAUUGCAAAAUUGAAAAGAGAUUUUGAUAUGAUAUAAGACAUGCAUAAAAAAUUGCAAUAUUAACCCCUUAGUUGGCGGAGGUAAGGAGCCUAGAGUAUCUUGAGAAAAGUUACCAUGGAUUUAUAGUUAAUUUUGAGAAUUUGUUUCAAAGAUGUAAGUAAAGAAAAUAACUUCUUGAUUGGGAUGAAUAUGACAUUAAAAUUAAAUGUUUUGAUAAUUCUAGUUUCUUUGUGGACUAGAAUCAAAUACUAAAAUUUGACUAGGAUGAUGAAAAUGACGGCAAAGAAAAAGAUUUAAAUGCAAGUUUUUUUAAUUGGUGAUCUCCAUGAGAAGAUAUCAAAAUUAGAUGUGGUUAUGAAGCAUACCGUGAAGGAUGUGUGUUCAAGAAAAUUUUUAGAAUUAAUGAGGUGAAAGCUGAUGCUAUUGCAAUUCAGCUCAUGCAAGACUUCCAAGUCGUUGGCAGUAUCCAAUUCCAAUAUUAUAGACUUCAUCAAAGGUAGUUUACGAAGAAAGUACCCAUGAGACAUGAUUAUAAUAAAAAGUCGUUGUCGGCAGGGGUGGAGCUAGAAUUAUUUGUUAGGGGACUAUAAUUAAUAUAAUAAAAUAUAAUAUUUAUUUUACUUUAUUGUACAUGAGUUGUAAAAAAACCUGUAUAAUUUAGUUUUAUUCAAAGAACUUACUAUAAACAUAUAAUUAUCUUUGUAUGAGGUAAAAGGUUUGAAGAAAUACCAAUUGAGUCAAAGCAACGAAGUUAAUUUUAUCUUCAUAAUAUAUUCAUCACUUUAAUGUUAGUCUUUAUAUCUAUCAAAUAUAAACAUACAAAGUAUAUAAGAAACAUUAGCUAAAACGAAGUAUUAUUUAUGUUUGAUAAACUUUGAAAUAAAGCAAAAAAUAAUAAAGAACUAUUCUCACUAAUCAAUGCGGGUUUUUUGUAAACUGAGGCGCAUUGGAGUUGCUCAAUCAUAACUUUAACAUUACACAUUGGAGUUGGUUCACUAGGCUGCGAGUUAUCAAUCACCACCAGAAAUUCGCUAAAUACCAACGGACAUACCGACGGAAUUUUUUCUGUCGGUAUUUUUCGGCCGAAAUCACCGACGGACAAUAUUCGUCGGUAAUUAGGUCGGUAAUUACUGACCGAAAAUUCAGAAUUAAUGAAAAAAGGGCGGGCAGGUGGCGCGGAGGUUUUGGCGGGUGAUUUUUCCGACGGAAUUAAAAACUGGGGCCCGUACGCGUGAUGAGACCUGUUCACCGUCAAAAAAUACCGACGGAAUCACCGACGGAUUUGAAAUGCCAGAUCCGUACCGGUGACGUGACCGGUGCACCGUUAAAAAUACCGACGGAAUCACCGAGGGAUUUGAAUAGCAGGUCUGUGCGGUGACGUGUCGAUUGCCCAUCAGAAUUAUCGACGAUUUGGCAGACGGAGUCACCGACGGAAUCCAAACCGUCGGUAAGUCCGUCGGCAAAAGUGAAUAUAUGGCUAACCCCCCCCAUCUGCAAAAUAACCAGCCCCCCCUCGCCCCAAAACAAAAAUCUUCCUCAUCUCAGCACAACAAGUUGUAUUUCUUGAAGUUUUGUGGUCACAGCAUCCGUGUUCUGAUUUAUCGAUGGAUUUUAUUAUUUUUUGUAAGUAAUUCUAUCUUUUAAAAUUUUAACAUUUAAAUGUCAAUUUUAUUGUUUUUUUAGUAUAUGUAUUUUUUUUUUUAGUAGAUGUACAUGUUUUAUUGUUAUUUCUCAAACAAACUUGUAGUAUAUGAAUGUAUAAUUUUAUACUUGUUAUGGUUUGUUUUAGAUUUUGUAAGAUUGUAUUUGUUUGAAAAUUGUUAAAACUUAAUUUGUAGAAUUACCGAAUUACAUGUUAUGUUUUGAAAUAAUUAAGAGCUUGCUUAAUUAAUGGGUCCUUUUUAUAGAGGUUCGAUAGAAGUCAUGGAUGAUCGUUCAUGGAUGUAUCUAGAUUCACCCUAAGGAUUGCGGAGGAUGGAUUAUUGUAACGGGGUUCAGGGUUUUAUUAAUUUCGCAACAUCUAUUCCCAUAAAUUUUACUGGAGGCGGUAUUAGGUGUCCAUGCAGGAAGUGUCAAAAUAAAAAGUAUCUGCAUCCAGAUGUUGUAAUGAUGCAUCUUCUACACAAAUGGUUUGUGGAGGAUUACGAGUGUUGGUAUGCACAUGUAGAGGUAUUUGUUAGUAAUAGGAGAAUGGGAGAAACAGUGGUUGGGUCAACUUCUAGUGCUAGCAACGUGCAUGAAGCGGCAAAUGACAACACUAAUCCUUACAGAAACAUGGUUAUGGAUGCAAUGAGAAUGAAUCAAGAUAAUGUCAAUCAAUGUCCAAUCGUAGAAGAAGAACCAAUGCAGAGGCAGCUAGGUUUUUUGAUUUGUUGAAAGAUUCUGACGAACCAUUAUGGGAUGGCUGCACAAACCACAGUAAAUUAUCGGUUGUGGCACAGGUGUUCACCAUCAAGUCAGAUCACGGGUUGAGUGAGGCCGGGUAUGACAAAAUUAUUGAUUGGGCAAGAAGCAUUUUACCAGAAGGGAACAGGCUCAAAGAGAACUUCUAUGCUGCGAAGUCCAUGAUGAAACCCCUCGGUUUAGGAUACCAGAAAAUUGACAUGUGCCCUAACUUCUGCAUGUUAUACUACCUUGAAAAUGUUGUGAUGACCGAGUGCAUGACAUGGUGGCAUAUAAAAAACUUAGAUAUUUCCCGAUCACACCUAGACUGCAGAGGUUAUUUAUGUCACCAAGGACUACUGAGCACAUGACAUGGCACCAAACACACGAUGUCGUUGAUGGUGUGAUGGUGCAUCCUUCUGACGGCGAAGCAUGGAAACGCUUUAACAGUGUUCAUCCUGACUUUUCUGCUGAAUCAAGGAAUGUUCGACUUGGGUUGUGUACAGACGGGUUCAACCCAUUUGGGUCAUUUGCUGCUCCCUAUUCUUGUUGGCCGGUCAUUCUCACAGUUUAUAACUUGCCACCGGGAAUGUGUAUGAGGCCGGAGUUCAUGUUUCUAUCUACUGUCAUACCCGGUCCAAGCAGCCCGGGGCGGAAUAUAGAUGUUUGUCUUCGACCGUUGAUAGAUGAGCUGGCGCAGUUGUGGUCCUCCGGAUCUCUGACUUAUGAUAUAUCGAGGAAACAAAAUUUCCUUAUGAGGGCGGCUUUGAUGUGGACUAUCAGUGAUUUUCCAGCUUAUGGAAUGCUUUCUGGUUGGAGCACGCAUGGGAAACUCGCAUGUCCAUACUGCAUGGAAAACAACAAGGCAUUCACGCUAGCAAACGGAGGUAAAGCUUCUUUUUUUGACUGUCACCGUCGCUUCUUGCCACUUAAUCACAGGUUCAGAAAGAACAGAAAAGAUUUCUUUGUUGGUAGAGUUGAAAAAGAUGUUGCAUCCCCGCGUCUUUCUGGUGAAGAAUUGCAUCAUGUUGUAUCAGAGUACGGUGACAUUGUGUUUGGCCUUCAAUCAGGUAAGCAAAAGUUUCCUGGUUUUGGUUUGACCCAUAAUUGGGUAAAGCGAAGUAUCUUUUGGGAGCUUCCGUAUUGGAAGACUAAUCUUCUCCGCCAUAACCUUGACGUCAUGCACAUCGAAAAGAACGUGUUUGAGAAUAUUUUCAACACCGUCAUGGAUGUGAAGGGGAAGACAAAGGACAACAUGAAGGCUAGAUUGGAUAUAGCUUUAUACUGUAACCGUAAAAAUAUGGAGUUGGUUUAUGACGAGUCACGGGUUGCAAAACCAAGGGCAAGCUUCGUGUUAGAGAAAAACGCACAACUGCUAGUCUACAAAUGGCUUAAGAGUCUGCGUUUCCCGGAUGGACAUGCAUCGAACAUAUCAAGGCUUGUUAACAUAGAGGACUGCAGAUUGUAUGGAAUGAAGAGCCAUGACUGCCACGUGUUUAUGCAAACACUCAUCCCAUUAGCUUUUCGUGAUUUGUUGCCAAAGGGAAUAUGGGAUGCACUAACGGAGAUCAGUCAUUUCUUCAGAGAUAUAUGCUCCAGCAAGAUGAAUGUUGAGCACAUUGAGAUGCUUCAAACGAAUAUCAUCGAGACACUAUGCAAACUUGAGAUGAUAUUCCCUCCUUCAUUUUUUGACUCAAUGGAGCAUCUCCCUAUACAUCUACCGUUCGAGGCAAAAGCUGGAGGACCGGUCCAGUAUAGAUGGAUGUACCCAUUCGAACGGUGAGAUAUUACAGUUGCAAUGGAAUUCAUAUCUUAAAGUAUUUUCUAUGUUUUUCUUAUUUGAAAAUACUUGAAUUGUACUUCAAUGCAGGUACUUGUUUAAUCUAAAAAAAAAGGUUAAGAACAAGGCGCAUGUUGAGGCUUCGAUAUCUGAGGCCUAUAUUGUUGAAGAGAUAUCAACAUUUAUCUCGUACUAUUUCGAACCUCAUCUGAGAACAAGAAUCAAUCGCGUUCCACGGCAUGACGAUGGCGGUGAAGUGCCUUCCAGUGGGAACUUGUCAAUAUUCUCCAAUACUGGACGACCCACACCUAAAAAUGCCGUAAGAGGAAGAUAUUUGUCGGAAAUAGAAUUCAAACAAGCACACAACUAUGUUCUAUUUAACUGUGAUGAGCUGAGACCAUUUAUUCAGUAAGUCUAUAUAUGUGUAAUACUAAUUAAACUUUGUCAGUAAUAUACUGUUAAUUAUAUAUUGUAAUAUCAUACACUCAUUAUCACUUGCAGGCAACAUCGACAAUAUUUGCUCUCCAAUAACUCGCAGCUGACCGAAUCCCAGAUCUUUCAAUUACAAGAUGAACAAUUUGCCACAUGGUUCAGAACACAUGUAAGCACUAUCACAAACUCAUUCUAACGUAUGCAUGUCAUUACGAGAUUCUCGUUCAUUUACCGUGUAUUGAUGUACAUUUAAUUACAUAUAUUUACAAGGUUUAUCAAAUGGGAAGGAGUGCGCCCAAGUCAUUGUCUUCACUAAGCCUCGGCCCUGAAAGAAAAGUUAAGUGCUACAACGGGUAUUUUGUCAAUGGAUAUGUUUUCCAUACUGAAGAAUACGGGCAAGGAAGAAAGACAUACAACUGCGGUGUUUGUGUUAAGGGAUCCACAAGUAGCCAGUUAGAAGUUGACUACUAUGGUAGAUUAGAAGAGGUCGUCGAACUGCAAUAUCAUAGCGAGCAGAAUAAAGUGUUUUUAUUCAAAUGCUAUUGGUAUGACACGACGGACAGAGGAAUCAGAGUUGAUCCGCACCAUGGUCUGGUCGAAAUCAACUCAAAAGCUAGACUCCGCAACAUAAACGAUGUCUUUGUUUUCGCAAAGCAAUGUCAACAAGUUUAUUACACAUACACCCCUUCAUUUAGAAAGGAUCGUUCAAGAGUUGAUUGGUUGUCCGUUUUAAAAACGAAACCACGGGGUCGUGUCGAGGUUGUUCAGGAUGAGAACGAAGACACAAGUGUGCGAGAUGAAGUCUUUCAAGUUCGUGAGUUGGUUGAACCAUAUCGAGUUGCUCCUUCGAUUGAAUUGGAAGAAAAUUCAAAUUUUCGAGUUCUCGAUGAUAGUCUUGUUGAUAUUGACGGAGAGGAGUUGAAUGUUGUUCUCAGCUCUAGCGGACAAGCAAAUGUCGAUGAAGAAGAUGAUAUCCAUAUUGAAGAUUGCGAUGAAGAUGAUGACAAUUCAAUUGAUGAGGAAGAAGAAGAAAAUUCCGACUAAUUAUGAAAAUGAAGCCCUAUGUAAAAACAUUUGUCUCAUGUAAUUUAGAUUAUUGAUGAUGUAUUUUGUAAAACAAAAUAUUUAUUGUUUAAGCAAUGUGGUUAUUGUUUUAUGUGAUGGAGUUUAUCAGUUAAGUUUUGCAGGAAGGUAAACAGGCAAUACAAAGACAACCUUUCCUGCAUAAUGCAAAUCACCGACGUCCAUACCGACGGACACCAUCCGUCGGUAUCUCACAGAGAGUUCGAAAAUAUUUACAACAAAAUGCCACAAUCACCGACGUCCAUACCGACGGACAACCAUCCGUCGGUAUCUCACAGAGAGUUCGAAAAUAUUUACAACAAAAUGCCACAAUCACCGACGUCCAUACCGACGGAAACCAUCCGUCGGUAUCUCACAGAGAGUUCGAAAAUAUUUACAACAAAAUGCCACAAUCACCGACGUAUACCGACGGAAACCAUCCGUCGGUAUCUCACAGAGCUCGAAAAUAUUUAACAAACCACCACAUCGACGAUUACCGACGGCUAGGUCCGUCGGUAAUUUGUCGGUCACAUAUUACCGACAGAAAUACCGACGGACCGCGCGAUUUCCAAAGUGUGUUAAUUAAUGCGCCUCUGAACUUGUCAGAUUACCGACGGAAUCACCGACGGACUGCGAAAAUAUGGAGGGCUUUUAAAAAUUCGGGGCGAAAUUCAAAAAUACCGACGGAUUUUUGACCUGUUACCGACGGAAUUUUACCUUUUACCGACGGAUAUUAAUUCCGUCGGUGAUUCCGUCGGUAAAAUUGCCUAUAAGUUCCAGCCCCGCCGCUUCGCCUCAUUUUUUCUUCUCUCCCCGCCGCUUCGCUUCUCCUCCUUUUUCACCUCAGAUUUUUCAUUUUUUCCCCUCAAUCCUUAAACACUUUCACCUUUAAUCUCUAGCAAGAUUUGGUGUUGUAAAUCUUCAUCAUAUUAAAAGGUAUGUGUUUUUUUUAAUUUAUUUUAUUUUAUUUUAUUUUUAGUUGUUUUUAUUUUUGUUGUUUUGGUGUUUUUUGUUGCAAUGUAGAUAAAGUUUUGAAUUUGACACAUUAUUAAGGUAUGUAUAUUUCGUUCCUUUUUGAUGUAGGUUUUUAAUUUUUUAAUUUUUUGUUGUUGUGUUGUUAGAAUUGUUAUUAGUUAAUUUAACUUAGAAUUAGUUAAAGUUGAAUAUUUGAAUUUUUUUGAAUUUUUUGAAUUUGUUGAAUAUUUGUUAAUUUAAUUGUUAGUCUAAUAUUUUUUUUAAUUAUUGAAUAUUUUUGUUGUUUGUUGUUAGAAUUGUUAUUAGUUAAUUUAACUUAGAAUUAGUUAAAGUUGAAUAUUUGAAUUUUUUUGAAUUUGUUGAAUAUUUGUUAAUUUAAUUUUAAUCUAUAUUUUUUUUUAAUUUAUUGAAUAUAAUUUAUUGUUGUAUUGCCAUAUAAUUAUUGAUUAAUUUAUUGAAUUAAUAUUGUUAAUGUUGAAUUUACCUUAGAAUUAAUAAUUGCGUUUGUUGGAAUAAUUAUCGAUUUCAAUUUAAUUUAUUUACUUUUAAUUUAUUUUUAGUUGUUUUAUUUUUGUUAUUUUGUUGUUUUGGUGUUUUUUUUGAUAAUGUAGAUAAAGUUUUGAAUUUGUCACAUUAUUAAGGUAUGUAUAUUUCGUUCCUUUUAUUCAUGUAGGUUUUUUUUUUGAAUUUUUUGAAUAUUUUUUAUUGUUUUGUUGUCAUAAUUAUAAUGAUUAAUUUGUUUAAUUAUAAUUGUUAAUGUUGAAUUGUAAUGAUUAAUUUGUUGAAUUAUAAUUUGUUGAAUUUAUUGAAUUUAUUUUUUGUCAUAUUUUUUUAUUGUUUUGAAUAUAAUUAUUGAUUAAUUUGUUGAAUUAUAAUUGUUAAUGUUGAAUUAAAAUGAUUAAUUUGUUGAAUUAUAAUUUGUUGAAUUUAUUGAAUUUAUUUUUUGUCAUAUUUUUUAUUGUUUUGAAUAUAAUUAUUGAUUAAUUUGUUGAAUUAUAAUUGUUAAUGUUGAAUUAAAAUGAUUAAUUUGUUGAAUUUAUUGAAUUUAUUUUUUGUCAUAUUUUUUAUUGUUUUGAAUAUAAUUAUUGAUUAAUUUGUGAAUUGUAAUUGUUAACGUUGAAUUUAUCUUAGGAUUAAUAGUUGAAUAUGUUGGAAUAAUUAGUAUAGAUUGGUUCGAUUGGUUGUGGCUAUUGUUAACAUUUGCAGGUUUGUGGAUUUGGGUAGUAUCCAGUAUAGGGGAGGUGCUGCCGAUUUUUUUUAACUUUUGAAUUUUAUUAUACAAUUAUUAAUAUAAAAUUGUUUAGAUGCGCAAAAUGAAAACCAGAGUUGGUCGUCCAGUCGAAUCAAGUUCGUCUAGCAGCGAUGAUGAUGUUUCCUUAGGUGCCUCUCAAGAAGAGGCACCUACACCACCUGCGCCGUCAACCGAUGCUGCCUCUUCCAGCGAUGUUUCACAUCGCAGACGCGGCGUGCCUUCGAAGCGGAAUCAAUUUACCCGCCAGUACGAGGCACAGUGGAAGGACGAUCUUUCAAUUUAAGUUUGUUAAGGUUUUAGUUUUUUUUAUAUAUAUAAAAAACAAAUUUAAAACAUAAUUUAUGAAGUAAUCACAAAUUAAUUUCAUUUCUUUUCAGGUUCACAAACAUUGAGGCCGCCCGAGUAAUAUCAUCGGCGUUUAAAGCGUCGAUGGAGAUUCCAUUGUUUCAAUGGAGUCAGAUAUCCAGACAUCCUGAAUGGAUGCCUCAAAUCAAUGCAUGGUUUCGUAGAUUUGAGGUUCAUGUUAAUAUAUAAUUUUCAGCUUAUUUCUAAUAAAUUCAAGUUAUAAUUGUAAAUAAAUUAUUAACAUUUUAAAAAAUUAUUUUUUUACAUACAGCAUCGAUUCUGCUAGGACGAUGAACAUGACACUAUUGUGAGGAGGGUGCGGCAAUUAGGUAACAUCGAAAACAAUACGACUUUUUUUUACAUAAUUAUUUAUGUUUCGAAAUGUAAUUUUUUCGUGCGUGAAUUAGGUUGCGUGAUUUUUGGUAUGACACCCAGAAAAAAGCAAAAAAAACAGCGAGGGAUAAGGGGUUCCAAGGCUGGAACGAUGUUGCGGUUUGGAGGGAUUUCAAACCAAUAUACAUCCCGGAAGAUAUAUGGCCAUACUAUCUUCAGCACGUGACGUCUGAGCGGUUCACUCGACGCUCACAGUCCGGUGCUGGCAACCGGAAUCGGCCAAUUCAUGGCUCGGUGACAACGCACACCGGCGGCUUCGUUCUGUUUUCUGCACAUGCGAAACGAAUGGUAAGAUUAACUUAAAUGAAAUAUAUCAUUCAAUUAAUUUGUUGUUAAUACAUUUUUUUCAUUAUAGGCUACGUCUCUUGGACGUGAGCCGAGCCCUAUAGAGCUGUUUGUGGAGACGCACGUGCGAAGUCAUGACCGCCAAAAGGGGACGCAACAGUUCGUUGAUAACCGUGCUCAACAUUUUGUAGUAUGUUUGUUCAACCAUUUUAUUUUGUUUUGUAAGUUAUUAUUAUGUUUAUUGAAUUGAAUAUGAUGAUUUUUUUUCAGGAGACCUAUAAUAAUCGGUUGAGGGAGAGAUACGGGGACGAUCCAUCGACCCAUCCGAAAUUCGAUCCGGAUUUGUGGAUGGAGGCUGGAUCGUCAGGUGGACCCGAUAAAAAUCGGGUUUACGGGCUCUCCAACACUACCGCGACCAACUUGUGGUCGACCGGUACUGCUUCAACCGCUGGGAGCUCCCAAUCUGUAUCGAGCUCCCAAUCUAAGGAGUUUGUGGCCUUGCAGCAAAGGUGCGACCACCUAUCAGAGGCAUACACACAACUCAAAGAAGAGCAAAGAUUGGCGAACGAACAACACAGAGCAGAGUCUGAACAACAAAGAGCGGCCUAUGAAGAGCUUCCACAAAUGGUCAUGAACAUGACACAAGGUGGAACAUGUGCGCCUAAUCCUUUUUGGCCGCCUAACCCCCAUCCUCCUCCUCCUCCUCCUCCUCCACCUUUAUAUUAAUUUUUAAUUAACAUUAUUUACAUUUAAAAAUUUGUUUAAUGUUUUUUUGAAACACAUUCAUUUUGUAAUGAAUAUUAUUUCACUUUGAGUUUUUGUUGCUUAAUAUAAAUUUUAUUUGCAUAAUUGGUUUGUAUUACCAUUAAUUUAUAUCAUUUUUUCAAAAUAAUUAAAAAAAAAUUAAAAAAAAAAAUUACACAGGGAUUUACCGACGGAAUAACUCCGUCGGCAUUAGACAGUGUCCGUCACCGUCACUGACCAUCACUGACGGAACAAAUCUGUCGGUAUAAAUUUCCCGAUGUAUUUACCGACGGAAAUAUUCCGUCGGUAUAUUUAUAACACCUACGGAAAAUAUUCCGUCGGUAUAUUCCAAGCGGGAAACUUUUUUUUUUGGCGCGCACGGUCCGUCGGUAAAAGUUUUUUUUGUAUUUCUGACCGAUAUAGCGACGGAAUGUGGAAUCACCGACAAAAGGUAUUCCGACGGGAGUAUUCCGUCGGUAAUAUAGUCGGUAAAUGCUUUACCGACGAAAUUUCUAUCACACACCGACGAAAUAUUUCCGUCGGUAAAACUGUGAAAUCUUGUAGUGAAUAUUUUUUUUGAAAAAAAAAAUGAAAUUCUUCUUAUUUUGUUCAUGGUUCAACCUAAAAUCAAAACAUAUAUCAUGAGAAAAAAUUGAUAAUUUUGGUGAUUCUGUUAAAAACAAAACAUAAAAAAAUCAAAGUAUAAUCAAAACAAACCAAUGAAAUAUAUCUAAUUAAUUAAAAAAAAAACACUAUAACAAGAAUUCAAAAAACAAUUGGUAAAAUUAGCAGAUCUAAGAAAAAAAUAAAGCAAUUAUUAACAAAAACAUCUCAAAAAAAAAAAAUAUAAAAUAUUAACAAACAUCUCAAAAUAAAUUAAAUUAAGUUACCUUAUUUUGUUUAAUGAAAAUAAAUUAAUUGAUGGCUCUAUUUCAAUUUUUUCGUUGAAAAAUUUUACUUAUGAUUUAUAUUUAUAUUUUUGUUUUUGACCGGCUGCAAAAUUUAUUGUGGAAAAUAAUGAAUUUAUAUUUACAGGAUUUAUAUUAGGGUAUGUAAAUUAAUUUUUUUAAAUCAAAUUAAAAAAUCACACUUAAUUACAGUAAAAAACUUUUGUAGAAUAAAAAACCUCAUCCACACUUAAUUACUAAUCUAUACGUCUCUUUCCCUUCUCUCUAUCACUCUUGCCUGCAACAACUGUUAACACGAGACUUGAAAUUCAAGUCAAGUGGUGUCCAUCAUCCCAUUUUUCCAAGGGCGGUACCCUAAAGACGUGAUUAUAAUAAAAAGUCUAUAUUUCCUGAAAAAUAGAAAAGAAAAACACUACAAAGCUGAGAAAGGCAGACAACAUCGAUUGUCAAAAUCUGAAGGAUACUCAAAUGAGUUUCGGAAAUAUUGAGGAGGGUGCAGGAAAACCUGAAAAUGUACGAGAGAACACAACCCCAUCACGGGUUGCUGUAAUGUGAUAGAAUUAUGGAAUGAAAAACAGAUUGGAAUGAGCAAUAACUAUUACUUGAUUUUUCUAUUUUCUGGUUGUGUAAUUAUCAAUCUGUAAGUGUUUGUUUGGAAUGCUAGGAAUAGCAAUCUAAUGCAUGAGAAUAGCGCAGAGCAGCUCAAAAUCUAAUUAAAUUUAUGUUUAGUGGAGACUAUGAAUGAUAAGGUAUAUCUGGGGGCACUGUAUGUGUCUGGAUCUGAUUUUUCACAGAAAAUUCGACUGAGGAAAAUCAAUAUCUAUGAGCAAUGCAAACCCUUAAUAGUCUGAAUUAAUGUGUUUCUACACCAUCUGUUUCUUGGGACUGACCGCAUGCUAACCUUAAGUUUGCAUAACAUCAAGCUACAACAAUAUAAUGGAUAUAUGCAAAACACAAGCUCAGGAUUCUACAGUGGCACCAGUUCCACUUAUAACAAAUUGAAGCUACUGUUUAUAUAUAUAGACAUGAUCUAAUGCUAGCAAGCUGCGAAUCAUAUAUUUUAAGCAGUCCACAUUGAGAAAUGAUUUCAAUCUCAUCUUGCCUUUGGGUCAAUUAUUUCAGAAAACACACCCCUUGCUCUUUGAUCUGGAUCACUUUGGGUGACACUUUCACGAGUGCUAACAGUGCUCCUUGAAUGUGACUCCGCUCCACUAAACAUGUCAUCGUCAUCAGUGGUCAUGACAUCUUGAUGUGGUGAAAAUGAGCUUUUAUUUUCCAUAUUGAUCCCGUCUACACUGUUGGCAUUUUUCUCAGCAGAUUGUUGAAGCUGCAAUGCAAAUUCAAGGCCCCAAACGACAUCACCCAUUUUAGGGCGUUCAAUUCCUGAAACAUGUAAGCAACUGUUAGCAAUCUCUGCAAACUUAUUUAAAGAGACAGGGGAAACCUCGCCCUUUAAAUGUGGAUCCACGAUCUGAUCAAGGGUUCCUCUUUGGUAACACUUUCUUGCCCAGUCAGCUAAGCUUGCUUGAUCUUUCGGUGAACUUGGAAUCACUGGUGGCCUUGCACAUAGCACCUCAAACAAAACCACACCGAAUGAAUAAACAUCAGAUUUCUCUGUCAGGUGUUGCCUACGGUAGUACUCUGGAUCCACAUAUCCAAUGCUACCUCUAACUACAGUGCUAACAUGGGUUUGGGAUGUACUAGUGGGACCCAAUCUGGACAGCCCAAAAUCUGAAACCUUAGCCACCCAAUUCUCAUCUAACAAUAUGUUUGUUGACUUCACAUCACGGUGAAUGAUUGUGUGCUUUGCUCCUGAAUGAAGAUAAUGCAACCCUUUAGCAGCACCGAUGCAUAUUUCUAGCCUUUGCUUCCAUGGAAGAGGAGAGUUCUUUGUUUUGUAUAGAUGUUCUCUAAGAGUGCCUCUUGACAUGUAAUCGUAUACAAGAAUCAUCUCGCCAUGAUCAUCACAGUAUCCAAUCAGUGACACUAGAUGGAGGUGGCGCAGAUUGGAUAACAUCUCAAUCUCUGUCUGGAACUCACGUGUCCCUUGCUUUGAUGAUGACUCUAGUCGUUUGAUGGCUACUGCGAUGAAACCGUAUUCAAUGUAUCCUUUAUACACAGUACCAAACCCCCCUGAACCAAUAAUAUUUUGAUCAUCAAAGUUUCCUGUUGCUUCGUUGAUUUCGAAAAAUGUAAACCGUCGGCAAAGAUCAGUAGGCAGUGAUGAAGAGAUUGUAGUCGUGGACCUAGAUGUUUGUGAUAUUAGAGUCCAGGAGGAUUUUUCCUCACUCUUGCUAGGGUCCUUGACUCGCUUCUGCUUGAAAGCAAAGAAAUAAAGAAUAAGAGAGCAAGCAAAUACUGCACCUAUGGAACCUCCAACGAUGGCUAUAACCGUAAGUAUUGAUGAUCUUUUGCCCGUUCUUCUGUCUUGUAGACUUGGAUGUUGUUCUGCUGGUGGAGGAGCCACUGUUGGCUCAGGGUUGAAUCCUGCAAGAUUUCCUGUGUUGUAUUCAGCUUGAAUAUUUCCAAGCCAUUCAAGAUUGCAUCAGCAUAAGUAGGUUUCAGUUCCAUGUUAGGGUGUAGUUCGAGCCACAAGCCCUGCUUGCUCUGGCUCCCUGAGGGACCGCACGAUGUAGUCUUUGUAAACUGGAAUGCCGUUGCCACCGCUCAUAUGGAUCACAUCUGCAUCAUCUGCUGUUUGAUUGUUGAUGAAUAUUAAAAAUACCUGUGAUUUUCAUUUUGAACUCCAUUCGAGUCUCACAAAAGUGGAGCCUAAGGAGAUAAUGAAACCAGCAUCAACUGGGAAGAUCCAUGUGAGAUUGUAAUUCAUGUUAAGAAUGGUUCAGGACCCAUUGAACGCAUAGUACUAUAUACCAUAACAGGUGCGGAGUAAGCUGGCGUUUUGGUUGUGUACUUUAUCUUGACGCCUGGGAGAUAUGGAUGUUUCCAGCUUUUCCAAAGAGAUACUCUGAAUCUUGAUGCCAUGUCCUGUACAUUCCAGUCUUGUCUCCAGUGCUGCUGAUAUCUUGCCCCCCAACAUUCAGUCGAUAAACUGUCUCAAGCGCAGUUGUGUUACCCAGAUAGAAGGUGGGCGUGCCCACAUAGGUCAGUGGAUUAUCAUCGCCACGAGCAUAGAAGCUGUCUGGCAUGGAAACGAUUUCGAUACCAUUAACGAAGGCAAAAGAUGCUGGAGACGGAUGAAGGUUAAUUCAAGCUUCUGGUUGUCCCACACGGUGAUGAUGAACUCUUUGGUGAAGUAGUCAACUGGAGGUCUUAUAGCAGAAACUGUAAGAGAGGCACUAAAGUUGUUUAGUAGCUUGUAGUUGUUGGCACUAAGCGAAAAAUAGGAUUUGGAUAUGUCAAGAUUUGAGUAAGAAGCUGGAUAAAAGUAGAGACGCACAAAUUUUGGGCCAGGCAAGACUGGAAAUGUGUAAGUGAAUUAGAGUGAAAAAUACGGGCUGUCAUGUAUGGGACUUGGUCGACAGAGGGGUCUUGAGUGGAGGCUUCAAACACAGAUGAGGCUUCUGGGGGGUUAGAGGCAGCAAACUUAGACUGGGAAUCACCAUCCCAGCUGCGACCAUCUGGAGAUGACAAAUUAGAGGAUGCACCACAGUUAAGGAGUAUUAGAUCAGUGGGUCUGUAUGGCAGCAAGUAAUCUUCAGUAGCAGUAGCAUAGAGGAAGAGAUGGAGGGGAGGGAGAAGGUAGAGAAAGAUGAAGAUGGACAUUACUAUGCUAGUUCUUUGGUGGAGUAAAUUGGAGUAAGAAAAAAUAUCUAUUAAAUGCAAAGAUUUUGAUUUAAGGGAAGAUGAUCAAUGGUGUCGCUGUCUCCAUACAGUAACAUUUUUGCUCAGGUUGAGAAUAAUCCAAUAAUAUAUUUGAGGCCCGUCGGAGAAGAAAAUUCGACGAUAUGGCUAAUGGGACAUAUUGGUCAGCUUUGGAUGGCUGCUUCCCGUUGUGUGGUUCUGAAUUCCGCAAUAAAGCCGCAAUGAACAAUCUAAUUUCAACAAAGGAUCGGAGUUGAGUGGAUGUGAUCCUCCUCCAUGUGUUGUAUUCUUUCUCUAUCUCUAAAUAAAAUGAACCUCUCCCGUGAAUGUAGGCGGUUUUGCCGAACCGCGUUAAAUAUUGUGCCAGUGUGCUUGCCCUCCGUUGAGCAAAUAUCAAUACAUCACCGGUCGGAUUUCCCAACAAUUGGUAUCAGAGCUGAUGGUUUAAAGUGGUGUUUGAUUUUUGCUCAAAAAAUGAAAGUUGUCAAAAUUGUGUUUUGACCAAACCACCGUGUAGAGGAGGAAGAGACGAAGCCACUGUUGAAAAAUGUGUUGAAAUCGGACGUCGGACAUGGCUGCGCGUGCCGUCACGCAUCGGCGGGGUGGCUGGCCACGUGCGCAGCAGCGCGCCUCGUCACACGUGUCUUCUUCGCCUGGAUGGGUUGACCCGACCCGAAUACCAGACGACCAGACCCACGUGGCUGACCCGGAUAAGGAUGACAUCAGCAUGACAUAAUUAUGAUGUCAUCAUGCACAGUAGCAUGGCCCAGGAUGACAUCAACAUGAUGUAAUGGUGGCGUCAUCAUGCACAGUCAGCAUGCCAUGUCAGCACAGUGAGCCGAGCCGAAUUGGAGCUGAGCCAAGCCACGAGCCGAGGGAUAGGAUUAUGUGUAGCUGAGUCUACGUGCAAUCGGAUCUGAGAUUGAAUGUGAGCCGUUGAUCAAGCCAGAAUUGUUUUGAUCAAAGCUUAGUCGUCUGAAGUGUGAUUUGGAUGAUUCAAGACAUGUUUCCAGCUAAUUUGAACAUUCCGGAUGCAAUGGUACGGUCCGAUCGUUGAGAUAUGAGACCGAAAAUGACGGUGGUGAAUUAUUAAAGAGAGAUUGCCCGAUCAGGAGGCAUCUGAGGGUCUUGAUGGAGGUCGAUGGAGAUGAUGAAGAAGAAGGUGCACAUGUUUUCCCAAUUACAUGUGCUGAACUAUUAAAUGGGAAAAUGUAAUGCCUUGAUGGAAGGCAAAAUUGGGACACUCUGGACACCCGGUUAUGUGGACAAUUGAGGUGGAGAGUGAAAAUUGACGAAGACCAAUCUUGACGAAUCUAAGCACUGUAGUCUCGCAGAUGUUGAGAAAUCAGGUAUAAAACCUGAUACCAGAUCACUUGUAAAGGAAAGCCGCAACAAAGCUAGCAAAUGGUUGUAUAUACGGAAAGACAGUACGAUGGAUAGAUAUGGCCUAAGAAGUUCUGUCUAGGAGAUUGGGUUUUAAGGGACCGUGUGACCCCUCCAAUCUUUCCUGGGAACUUGCUUAGUGGAAGGAUUAUCCAUACGGUACUAUUUUCGUAUAUGUAACAGUUUGUAAUGAAAUUGUUGAAGACUAGCAGGAUGACGGCACAAGGGGAACAGUUGGGUUCCGUAUGAUCAAGGAUCUGAUGGAGUGGUGAUUUCUUCAAAGAAGCUAGUUUCGGUGACUGUGAUUUCUCGAGGGAAGAAUUGAUGAAGACGCUGAUAAUGGAAGAGAAAUAUAGCAAGGGGAUAAAGAUUGACACCCUAUUUUGAAUUGGACAAGUGUUGUGUCAAGAUGAGCUGCUGUCAAACAUAAGCAAGGAAUAGGGAGAAAUCUAGAGAACAGAAAUUGCACGAGAGCACACGGAGAUUGUGCAGGAGUACCCGUAGGAUCCAACAAGGUACUGUAAUGAGACAACAGGUACAAGGAGAAGAAGAGUUCCCAGAUGAAGCUAAAAGCAGAGACUGUGUAUAAUAGGAAGUCUCUUAUGCUCUUGAUGAAGACAACAGGCGAAGACCUUUCCAAUGCAUGCAAGGAUGGAAAGAUGAGUUGUUGUAGAGGCACCUAAUUGAGGGGAUGCAAACGCCUGUGAUAAAAGGCAACGGUUUAUGAAAGGCAAAGACACCAAAGAGAGUUGGUGUAGGUGGAGCUGUUAAGCGCAAUGAUGAAAGGCGUAGAAGCUCCAAACAUAGAAAUCGAGGUGGAGGAUUGGGAGGAGUAUACCGCAAGUUUCUCUUUCUAUGUAGUUAGUGGCAGUAAUCUCUCUCAAGUCCACAUGGUGGUAGAGAAUUUUGGAGCCACUUUGAAGCAUCUCAGCUGAAGGAGGAUGCGACCGCCUAUGAAAAGGCGAAGACACCUUAGAGAGAAGGUGUGGGCCAUGUAAGCCCAAGAUCAGACGCCCAUGACAACGGGCGAAGACACCUUAGAUAAGGUGUGUGGGCCAUGAUAGGAGCCCCAGAUUCAGAUCGCCCCAUGACAACGGGCGAAGACACCUAAGAUAAGGUGUGAGGGCCGUGAUAGGAGCCCCAGUUCAGACCGCCCCAUGACAACCGGCGAAGACACCUUAGAGAAGGUGUGAGGGCCAUGAGAGGAGCCCCAGUUCAGACCGCCUUAUGACAACAGGCAAAGACACCUUAAAAAAGGUGUGAGGGCCGUGAUAGGAGCCCCAUUUCAGACCGCCGCAUGACGACAAGUGGAGACACCCAAGGAGAAGGUGUGUGGGCCACGAUAUGAGCCUAGUUCAGAACGCCCCAGAGCCAAUGUGAUGGCUAGAUAUGAGUGGACAGGUGUAUAGCCAAUGAAGUGGCUAUGAUGAGUAUGGAGACAAAUGCAGGAUUGACUUCAUGGAUAUUGCCCCCAUGCUAAAGAUCAAUGAGCUAGAAGACAUUUGCCUUGGACAAUAAGUGGAUGACUUAUGGAGCAUUAAGACGCGACUGCUAUGAAGGAGUAGAGGGCAUGUGCAGGUUCCUGGAACAAGUUGACUCUUGUCAAAGUGGUGAGCUCGGUGUAGACAUUGUAAUACUCACAGUAUCAAGACAGAUAUGGAUCAACCUUUAAUGGGUUGCCCCCAUAGGUAAAGGUGGAAAGCUACCUGGACUCUUGAGACUAAGAGUGAGAGACUCAUGGAGAAGUAAGGCGUUGUUUCUAGGGUGGAACAGAGGGCAGCGCAACUCCUGGAUGAGUAGACUCUUGGAAGAGUGGUGAGCUCGUGAUCAUAUUGAGAUACUCAGAUAAUGACUGUCGCACUUGGAAAUAUCCGUUUGAGGGGGUGUUCUAAGCCUUGGUGUGAGGCUUGAUAAAUCAUUCAGGACCGAGCAUGGUUGAUACACUCGAAGGGGAAUGAUGUGUCCCAGAGACAAGCGUUAACACUCUUCAGAUGUGAUGUGGGAGACCAUCUGGUUGCAGUGAUCCUUUUGUGUGAGAAAAGGUGUGCUUUGGUGACUCUGGUGAUUGAAAGGUUUGGCGAGUACCUGUAAACUUGGCCACAGACGCUCUCGGAAUGGUAAGCUUGGAAGAGCUGCAGGAUGCAAGAUUGUGCUGAAGAAGCAAGAGGACAAUUGCCCAUAUAAAUGUCAAAGGGGGUGAUUGUUGGGAUAUUGUCAUUAUUGGGCAACAUGUGCAGCCUACCCUAUAAAGAGUAGGGUUACCAUUUGUCAAUGGUAGUUGCACCCACCAUUGAUAAAUGUAUCAACCCAUGUGCAACUAUUGUUGUUGAAGAAGAACAGCCACCAUCCUUGCCUAUAAAUAGACAGCAAGAGAGCAGAACAAUUGAGAGAGGGAUUGUGAGAAUGUAGAGAGUGUGAAGAGAGAAAGAAAGAGAAGGGCUGCCACCAGCAGCCCUGCUGCCUUAUGCAGCUACUGCCCUAUGCAACAAUGAGAGAUGGGAGUUGACUGGAUGUGAUCCUUCUCCAUGUGUUGUAUUCUUUCUCUAUCUCUAAAUAAAAUGAACCUCUCCCGUGGAUGUAGGCGAUUUUGCCGAAUCAUGUUAAAUAUUGUGUUAGUGUGCUUGCCUUCCGUUGAGCAAAGAUCAGUACAUCACCGGUCGGAUUUCCCAACAGUUAUACUCAUCGAAAACAUGAGUAAAAAAAAAAAAGAAGGGUUCAGACAGUUGCACCCACCAAAGGUUGAGAUGAAAUAAAAAGAGGCAGGAAUUGAAUUCAAAGGUAUUUUUGCUGUAAACAAUUCCAAUCCUUUGUAUGAUUUUUUAGGGAGAAUCUCACUUAUUGAAGAAAAAUAUUGCCAUCAAUUGUUUGACAACUAAGUUGGAAAAUUCUUUGGAAAUGUUUUGAGAAAAUCUUUCAAGGUGCAGGGGUUUUGAUUCAUCUCUUGAAAGGUUAAAACCUUUUGAAUUUUUAUUUUUGAAAAAACAACAUUGUUUACAUCUUGAUUAUGAGUUAUUUCAACAAAGUCAAUAUCAACCAAAAUAAACUCAUAGAAUUUGUUUUGUUUUCAACAUAUUUUCUAAAAUAACUUAUGAAAAUAAUAGCUUCUUGACUUGAAAGGGUUAAAGCUUUUUUUAGGGAAAAUUUGGAGGGUAAUUAACACAAGUGAAAGAACAAGCAAUGGGACAAUAGCGAGAAAAAGAAAAUUAAUAGUUGAAAUAGAGUAGAGCACAAGAAUUCUAAUUUAUAGUUUUAUUGAUGAAGAGAAAAAUUCACUAUUUCUUUUGCCUCUUUAAGAUGUUUUCAACUUUUUAAAUAAUCUAAAAAAUCAAACUAAUCAAACAAGAAAACCCUAAAAUAAAGAUAAAAAAUAUUAAAAUUCCUAAACAAACUUAGAGAAAUAAAAUUACUAUUCUCAAUAUUUAAUUUCCUAAACUAAGUAGAAAAAAUAAAAUCACCGAAAAUAUUUUCCUAAACUACAUAGAAAAUAAUAAUAACUAAGAAAUUUUAAUUUCAUAAAAACCCUUGGCAUCAACAAUAAUGUUGUAAAAGGUGUAUUAAUUUUGGGAUUGAACAAACUAGGGAUUUUGGAGAGAUUAAGAAUAAUUUAUAGGUGAGGUGUUUGGACUAGAUCAUGCUGAUGAAAGGAUUCAAAAUUGAUUAUUUAAGAUACUAGCCUGAAGAAGGUCAAACCCUCCUUGAAAUAAAUAUCUUGAACGCUUGAUGUUGUGGCUUGAAUUGGUCUUGAUGGUGUAAGAGCAUAUGAUUAUUUUGACUUAUUUUGAGCCUAGUAAAGACUCUUUGGAUAAAAGACUCUUUGGAUAAAAGACUCUUUGGAUAAAAGACUCUUUUACUUCUUUCAUUAAUUCAAUCUCGAAAUCAUAUUUUAAUAGAUUAUCUUGUUACCUGGCAAAAAUUUGUUUUGACACAAUAUUUUGAAUAUUUUUUUCAACAACUUAUUUUACAUAUUGACAAUUUAUUUGUAAAAGAAAUUUCUGGAAAAUAAAUCAUCUUGAAAAUAUUAGAUGUAUAAAAUAAUUAAUAAAAUUUUAUUUUUGAUAGUUGAAUAAUUUUCUUGAGGAUCCAACCAAAUACCUAAAUGAUAUUGCAAUAUAUGUUAUUGACUUUGAAAAUUUUGUUUGAGAAUACCACUAUAACUAAUAUCAAAGGCAUCGGUUUCAACUAUAAAAAAGGCCUCUAGAUCAUAAAGUCUUGAACAUGAAAACUCUUGACUUGACUUUUAAGAGUAUUCACAAUUUUGAUCAUUUGAUGAUUGAUUUUAGACAGGAGGGUUUUUCUUAAGUCUUUUGUACAAAGGUUGACAUAUAGUUCUAUGAUUUGGAAAAAUAUCUAAAACAUAAUCGAGGCAUCCCAUAAACUUUUAAAGCUAGGUUUUACCCUUGAUCUUAUUUAUGAAUUUAAUGGUAAAUUUUAUUAUAGUGACAAGGGUUAUUGAUAAAUUAUAAUUUUUAAGGUUGAGAAAACUAAUCUAUUUUGUUUGAUAAUAUUAAGAAACAUUUGUAAGUUGUUCAAAUGUUUGGUUAUUAGUUUUAAAAAUAAAAGAACAUCAUCUAUGUAUAUAAUCAUAAUUUUGAAUAUAGAUUAAAGAUGUCAUUCAUGAUGCUCUGAAGUUUUGAAGGAGUAAUUUUUAGUUCAAAAGACAUUAUAUCUCAUUUGUAAUGACCAAAUAAAAUAAUGAAUGUUGUUUUAUAAUGAUUUUUUUAAUCAAUUUAGACUUGUUAGAAUCUUGAUUUCAUAUCAAUUUUUGAAUAUAUUGAAGAAUUUUAAAGUCUUCUGAUAAGAUCUCUCUUAUUGUGUAUUGGAUAUCUAAUAUAUUGGAGCACUUUGUUGAGAGGCUUGUGAUUUAUGACAUGUCUUAGUGCAUGAUUAGUACUUAAAAGUGUAUUUUAUCAAUGUUUUAUAUUAUCAUUUUGUACUUGAAGUAUCAAUAACUCCUUAACUAGAGCAUGUUUUAUAAUAACAAGUCUGAUAAUAUAAGAUAACUUUAAUUUAUGGUAAAUGCUCAUUUUAAAUACAGACAUAUCUCACAAUCCAAAGGAUUGAUUGCUGUGAUUAACUAUUGAAAGUGAAAAGACAAAGAAAAGGCUAAGCUUAGAAAGGAGAUGCAGAUUCAAUUCAAAUUGGAACACUGUUAAGUUAUUGGGUCAUAUCUGGAGCUACAGUUCUUGGAUUUCAGUUUGGUUUAUAUGGCUAGAAAGAUAAGAAAUAGGCUUACAAUGUUCAUGAAUAGUGAAAGACCCAAAUCUUCCGUUUUCAAAUUCAAAGUUUGGCCACAAAAGAGAAGUUAGAAUCUGUCCUACAAUCCAGCCCAAACACUGCUCAUACUUUUACCCAUAGCUGGAGUUUUAAAAGGAAAAAUGAUGUCAAAUUUGGUGGGUGGAAGGAUAAGACAAUUUUCAAAAACUUUCAUGCAGACGACCUGCUCCAAUUAUGAUGUUAGAAAUGACAUUUCAUCCAGACAAGAGCUUGAGGGAUGUCCACUACGUCCACCAGAAGCACUACUCAGUAUUUUAGCCAUAUCUCAAUCUCUAGUGAUCCAAAUGCUCUAAAAUUUUAUGGAUGGAAAGAGGAGAUGAUUGCAGACAACUUUUAUGAAGAACACUUUGCCAAAUGUUGAUUGAAUCAAUGUCAUUUCAUCCAGCCAACAUGCUUAAGUGUUGUUGUCCACCAAGUCCACUAAAUCAAUAGUUGGCCACUACAUCAAUAAUCAAUUACCAAAUGAAUAGUUCUGAAUUUUAGCCUAUAAAAGGAGACAAUUGCAAUUCAUUUAGGCAUCUUGGUUUUUAGAUCAAGAUCAUGUUCUUGCUCUCUCUUUAUAUUUUUGUAAUGCUUAAGUUUUGCUUUCAUUAAUCUCUUGUUUAUGCUUUUCAUUUUCUUUACUAUACUUAGUUAACUUAUAUCAUGUUUAUGUUCAUAUAUUGUUUAUUUAUGUUUUUCCUUUUCAUAAUGUCGAGCUAAGUUAAUUAUGUCAAGGUGAAAAGGUUUCACUAAUGGUGUUAGAAUAUGUAUAAUAUAAACUCAAUAUGGACUUCAAUGUUUAUAUCCAAGAAAGUUUGUUAUUAAUAUGUCAUAUCUUUUUAUCUUAUUAAUUCUUAAUACCUUGCUUGUUAAAUGGUUAAUCUAGAUUUGUGUUGUAUAACACUUGGUAAAUCAAAUGCUUGAUCCUUCAUAGUCUUCGGUCAACAUCAUUGUUAUGAGAUUAGCAUCAUGAAUUCCUGAUAAUAUUUAAAAGUAUGGUGUUACUAAAAUAAGAUAAUUAAUAUGAUCAUGUUAAAAAUUUAUAAUUAACUUUUACGGAUAAAUCAUCCUAUUGGAACCUCCUUUGUGUGUGGUUUCCAAUUGAGUAAUACAAAGAGUUUAUACUAUACUUAUUUCUAAUACCAUUAGUGGACCCUCUAACCUUGACAUUUGUUUGUAUUAUUGUUUAAUCCUCACAUUAAUCUUAUAUCUCAAAGAUCUCUUUAUAUAUAUAUAUAUAUAUAUAGUUAACUUUCCUGUGGAUCGACCCCGGUCUUGCUGAGUUAUUUAUAACUUUGACACUCCUUCACUUGAGAGAAGACAUCAAUCUUUUGGUCAUGUCAGUGCACUUCUUUCUAUUUCAGCUUGAUUCCAGACAUAAAAAGGUGGCACAUAACCAUGAUGAUUUACUAGGGCUUAUAAGACACUUUUUGAUUAAUUUAAGGUAAUUUCCAAUUAUCAUUGUACGUGACUUUAUCUCAUUAUCAAAGUUUAGGAACUUAAAUGUUUGAAUUUUGAGAGUUAGCUUUAAUAAGGAGAGUUUAAUUUAUAGAUGAAUUUUUGAGAGCUUUUGGAGCUAUGUUUGUAUCCAUGAUUUUGUAAUAUAUUCUAUAGAUGAUGACUAUAUUCAUGGAAUCUUGAAGCAUAUCAGUACAAGUCUUAACAAGUCUCAAUAUUUAGAGCUAAAGUUUUCACUGUAAGGACCAAAUGAAAUAAUGAAUGUUGUUUUAUAAUGAUUUUUUUUUUAUCAAUUUAAACUUGUUAGAAUCUUGAUUUCAUAUCAAUUUUUGAAUAUAUUGAAGUAUUUUAAAGUCUUCUGAUAAGAUCUCUAUUAUUAUGUAAUGGAUAUCUAAUAUAUUGGAGCACUUUGUUGAGAGGCUUGUGAUUUAUGACAUGUCUUAGUGCAUGAUUAGUACUUAAAAGUGUAUUUUAUCAAUGUUUUAUAUUAUCAUUUUGCACUUGAAGUAUCAAUAACUCCUUAACUAGAGCAUGUUUUAUAAUAACAAGUCUGAUAAUAUAAGAUAGCUUUAAUUUAUGGUAAAUGUUCAUUUUAAAUGCAGGCAUAUCUCACAAUUCAAAGGAUUGAUUGUUGUGAUUAACUAUUGAAACUGAAAGGACAAAGAAAAGGCUAAGCUUAGAAAGGAGAUGCGGAUUCAAUUCAAAUUGGAACACUGUUAAGUUAUUGGGUCAUAUGUGGAGCUAUAGUUCUUGGAUUUCAGUUUGGUUUAUAUGGCUAGAAAGAUAAGAAAUAGGCCUACAAUGUUCAUGAAUAGUGAAAGACCCAAAUCUUCCGUUUUCAAAUUCAAAGUUUGGCCAAAAAGAGAAGUCAAAAUCUGUCCUACAAUCCAGCCCAAACACUGCUCAUACUUUUACCCAUAGCUGGAGUUUUAAAAGGAAAAAUGAUGUCAAAUUUGGUGGGUGGAAGGAUAAGACAAUUUCCAACAACUUUCAUGAAGACGACCUGCUCCAAUUAUGAUGUUAAAAAUGACAUUUCAUCCAGACAAGAGCUUGAGGGUUGUCCACUACGUCCACUAGAAGCAUUACUCAGUAUUUUAGCCAUAUCUUUUUAUGGGUGGAAAGAGGAGAUGAUUGCAGACAACUUUUAUGAAGAACACUUUGCCAAAUACUGAUUGAAUUAAUGUCAUUUCAUCCAGCCAAAAUGCUUAAGUGUUGUUGUCCACCAAGUCCACUAAAUCAAUAGUUGGCCACUACAUCAAUAAUCAAUUACCAAAUGAAUAGUUCCAAAUUUUAGCUUAUAAAAGGAGGCAAUUGCCAUUCAUUUAGGCAUCUUGGUUCUUAGAUCAAUAUCAUAUUCUUGCUCUCUCUUUAUAUUUUUGUAAUGCUUAAGUUUUGCUUUCAUUAAUCUUUUGUUUAUGCUUUUCAUUUUCUUUACUAUACUUAGUUAACUUAUAUCAUGUUUAUGUUCAUAUAUUGUUUAUUUAUAUUUUUCUUUUUCAUAAUGUCGAGCUAAGUUAAUUAUAUCAAGGUGAAAAAAUUUCACUAAUGGUGUUAGAAUAUGUAUAAUAUAAACUCAAUAUGGACUUCAAUGUUUCUAUCCAAUAAAGUUUGUUAUUAAUAUGUCUUAUCUUUUUAUCUUAUUAAUUCUUAAUACCUUGCUUGUUAAAUGGUUAAUCUAGAUUUGUGUUGUAUAACACUUGAUAAAUCAAAUGCUUGAUCCUUUAUAGUCUUCAGUUAACAUCAUUGUUAUGAGAGGAACUUGAUUUGUUGUUAACAUAAGUUAGCAUUAUGAAUUCCUGAUAAUAUUUAAAAAUAUGGUGUUACUAAAAUAAGAUAAUUAAUAUGAUCAUGUUAAAAAUUUAUAAUUAACUUUUAAGGAUAAAUCAUCCUAUUGGAACCUCUUUUGUGUGUGGUUCCCAAUUGAAUAAUAAAAAGAGUUUAUACUAUACUUAUUUCUAAUACCAUUAGUGGACCCUCUAACCUUGACAUCUGUUUGUAUUAUUAUUUAAUCCUCACAUUAAUCUCAUAUCUCAAAGAUCUCUUUUAUAUAUAUAUAUAGUUAAUCUUCUUGUGGAUCGACCCCGGUCUUGCCGAGUUAUUUAUUACUUUGAACAAUCUUUUGGUCAUGUCAGUGCACUUCUUUCUAUUUCAGCUUGAUUCCAGACAUAAAAAGGUGGCACACAACUGUCGCACUCGACAUCGCGGCGGCCUUAAAAAUUAAUUCUCGAUUAUGGAAAAAGAACAGAUUUCUGACAUCUUAUUCUUUAAUGGGGAAUGAUCUUGUUUAAGGAGUCGCCACCUAGUAUUAUGGUCACUAGGAACCCUAACUGGUCAACAGAGAUUCUAUGGUUCGGGACUGGUUACAUAAAAGGGAAGAUAUUAUCACCCCUUAAACGUCAUGCCUAAGGCAGGCUGCAUUGCUGGUUUCGUCUUAAAUUGCUAAAUGUUUAUUAAUUUAUGUUAUGAAAAUUUUCUUAUAAUAUUCCUGACUCUGGCGCCAGUGAAUAUUUAACUACGAAUAUUUCCAACUCUGGCGUUGGUAAAUAUUACGUAGCUAUAAAAAUAAAUUUAAAUCAAUAUUUUUUUUAUUCCUGACUCUGGCGCCAGUGAAUAAAUAAAUAAUAAUACAUUUAUUUUUUUUGAAUGCACAUAUUUCUUUUUUUUUUCUAGCUAAAUAAAAUUGAAUAAACAAAUAAAAAUAAUAUAAAUUUAAACCGGUAUUUUUAUUCCUGACUCUGGCGCCAGUGAAUAAAUAAAUAAUAAUACAUUUAUUUUUUUGAAUGCACAUAUUUCUUAUGUUUUUUCUAGCUAAAUAAAAUUGAAUAAAAAAAUAAAAAUAAUAUAAAUUUAAACCGGUAUUUUUAUUCCUGACUCUGACGUUAGUGAAUAAACUAAUAAAUUUACAUUAUUUUUAUUCUCGCAUACACAUUUUUUUUUUCUGUAUUUUUUUUAUCAUUUUUUAUUUUUUUAUUUAUAUAUAUUUUUGGGCUGGGCCCAGCCCAUCAUAUGUUUUUGGGCUGGGCCCAGCUCAGCCCCAGUGACCCGGCUGGGCAAUAAAAAAAAUAAAGGCACGCGUGACUUGUUCACGCGUGCCCGAACACUGGUGAAGGUAAUUAAAUUACCUUCACACAGUGUUCUUGUAACAUUGAAUUGCUUUUUUUGAAUGAAGAUGCAAAGGGACGAAGUCAUACCUGCUUCUGGAGACGAUGAAGAAGGCUGCGAUGCUGGUGGCUGCUGCUUUCGUUCGACUGCUUUCUCUUCUCUCCCCGUUGUGCUCACUGUCUUCCUUUUUCUUUUCUUUUUUUGUUUCCCUGAUAUGUUGGAGGGGAUGAGACGAAGCUGCGGGUGAUUAGUGCACUGUGUUCUUUUUUGUCUGUGUCUCCUUGGUUUCCCAGUCCAGUGCGCUUCCCUCUGUUCGUUCUCCCUGUUUUGUUAUCUGCCUCUCUAUUUUUUUUGUCUCCGAUUCUCGGCCCCUGUUCCCUCUGGUUUCGGUCUCUGCUUCGUCCUCCUGUGGUGUUUCUUUUCUUUGAGAUCGUAUGAUUUUUUUCUGGUUUCUCCUGUUUCUUUUUUUUUUUUCUGGGUUUUGCUCUGUUUUUGCUUGCGUUUUUGGGUUUCUCUUUCGUUUUUAUGCUGGGUUGAUUUCUGCCUUCGUUCCUUGUUCUUAACUUUGCUUUUUCUGGGUUUUCUCCUCUGCCUCUGGUUUGUGUUUUUUGCUUCCUUUUAUAGAGACAACCGAUUGACCCCCCCCUAACCAUCUUCAAGAUUACAGGCGAGAGACGUGGUCCACGAUUUGGAUCGAAACUGUUGCAGAUCUUCAGCCUAUGGAAUCGGGAUGGAGAAGAUGACCAUGGCUGCUCCACCAGCAACGGCAGCGUUUUGGCAGCAAGAGAUAUUUUCAAUUUGACCCCUGAACUUUGGAAAUUCUGCAAUUGAACCCCUAAGCAAAUAAAAAUUUCUUUUAAUUUUGCCCUUUUGGAUAAAUUUCAAUUAAAUCCCUAAAUUGGUGCACUGUUUACAAAACAGUCCUUAAUUCCUGGAUUAUUCAAUUUGAUCCUUAAUUAAUUCUUUCAAUUUUGCCUUUUUUGGAUAAAUUUUAAUUAAGUCCCUGAAUUUAUUUAAUUAAUUAAAUCAAAGUUUAAUUAAGUCCACAAACUUAUUAAUUCUUUUAAUUUCAUUCAUUAAACUAAUCUAAAUUUUAAGUAAAUUUCCAAACUUAUUAAUUCUUCAAUUUUUGACUAAUUUAUUCUCAAAUCUGAUAAUUUUAUCCUUAAACUUCAAAAUUUAUUGUCUUAACUUCAUUGUCAACUAUAUUUAAUUUUUAUUAUUUGUUUAAAAAUUAUGUUAUGACAAUAACCAUGAUGAUUUACUAGGACCUAUAAGACACUUUUUGAUUAAUUUGAAGUAAUUUCCAAUUAUCAUUGUACGUGACUUUAUCUCAUUAUCAAAGUUUAGGAACUUGAAUGUUUGAAUUUUGAGAGUUAGCUUUAAUAAGGAGAGUUUAAUUUAUAGAUGAAUUUUUGAGAGCUCUAUGUUUGUAUCCAUGAUUUUGUAAUAUAUUCUAUAGAUGAUGACUAUAUUUAUGGAAUCUUGAAGCAUAUCAAUAGGAGUCUUAACAAGUCUCAAUAUUUAGAGCUAAAGUUUUCACUAUAAUAUCUAGGUUGAAUAAUGAGAUAGUGAAAUUUGGAUAACAAUUCAAGUAUGUAGAACCAUUAGCAAGAUUUGAUUGAAAGAUUGUAAGGAGUGAGUUUGAAGAGGUCAUAAAUUUAUGGUCUCUUGAAAACAUGAGUAUGGGAGAGUCUAAUCCGAGAUACUACAAUAUAAAUUAGACGGUGAUCAUUUUUAGUUUGGUUUGUUUUUAAAAAUCAAAACCGGUUCAAACUUUGAAAUUUUUAUAUAUGUUCGUUCUAUGUAUAUUUGUUUUCAAGCUUUGAAAUUUUUAUAGCUCAAUUAUUAUAAUUUUUUUAAAUUUUUUUAUGUGGGAAAAGAGUAUCAAAAUUGUGGGAAAUAUAUAUUAGAAUAUUUCAUGGACUGCACUGCUCUAUGAUUGUGCAUUUAUAGCCCAAUUAUUAUUAUUUUUUCUUUUUCCUGUUGAUUGCAUUUUGGAAUCCAUUUGAUUAGACAUAAUUUGAACUGGAAGAAUGAAUUGGGUUCACCUUCAUUUGUUCUGUUUUAAUGUGACUGAGAGCCUUAUUUUUUAAAAUGUAUUGUCACUCAUUUAGAUACUGGCUAAGUAGAGUUUGCAGUCAGAUUAACAUACAGCAUGCAUUCAUUCCAUUAAGCCCUAAUGGAGUGAAUGAAUAAAAUGACUUCUAUUAAAUGUUCCUCUACUACUUGGAUGCUGAACUGGAUAUUGGAGGUUCCCACAUUGCCCAUUGUUGGUAAUUUAGCACUCUGAAACAGAAGCUAGUCAAUAGGCGUCUAUAAGUUGUACAGAGAUUUUACAAUAGAAACUAUUCAAGUAAGAUUUUGGUGCAAUCAGUGUUCUAUAUGCACGAACAAAUUUGGGGCUUCACUGUACUACCUCAGAUACUCUCAAAAAAUGCUUCUUGGAAUUCGGAAGUUUAGACGAUCAUCGGUUGAAAUGAUGUUACCGUUUCUCUUUCUGAACGUUAUUUCCAGGUUGGAAAUUCAAGUAAUUAGUUCAAAUCCUAGAAGAUGAGUGGUGGCUUAGAAUGCUGUGAAAAAAUCGUUCCCUUAUUCAUUUUUCAAAAUAGAAAAGACAUAACUUUUUGCUUGAACUUCUAGAAUAUAAAAAAAUCUUACUUUUAUAUCUAGACACUUUCCAUCUAUGAUCUUUAAAUCUGAAGACAUAUCAUCGAUCUGGUUUUAAGAAAGUGCUAUUAACAUACCAAACUUUAUUAGAUUGUUGUUGUGCACUUAGGAAGAAAUAAAAUACUUGUCCUCCUUUAUUGUUUUCAAUAGCAUGAUCAGCUUCAUAGUUUUCUACGUUGUCUUUUUUACUAGAAGUACCUUCGUGAAUGUUGGGAAUUUCUGUCUUUUGCAUCUAUACCAGCACUCUUUUACUUGGUGUCCACCUCAUUUUCAAGUUCAUAAGUAGGAGGAAUGAAUGUAAAAAUAUAGCCAUUUUUUUUUCUGGUUUUUUGCUGGGAUUUUUAUUUAAAAUUUGACACAAGUGUUUAUAUAUAAACAUUUUGAUUUUUUUGUUUCCUAAUCGACGAGGAAUUCCACUCACAAGUAAUAUCUGUACAUUUUUUCUCAUGUUUGGUUAAGGCUAGGAAAGUGAAACAAAAAUCAUGUUAUGCUGUAUAAAAAGGUAAUGUAAGUGACUGGUUUCACCAUCACCGGUAAAGUGUCUGUAAUGACUGGUAUGGCCUGUGGGCUACAUUAUGCUUAGAUCCGUUAAAAUCAUGUAUGUAAUGACUGGCUAUGAAUGAGGUUUUUGUAAUUUUUAAAAAAUAAUAAUAAAUUCUGUGAUGUCCAAAGUACACUUAUUAUGGGCUUGAGGAAGUAUUAAUUUAUAUAGUUAACAUCUGGCCUUCCUCAUGUUUUUGCUUAUUUAUUGAAGUCACAAAGUUCUUUGUUCAUCUAUGGUGACACCUGUGUAGUUUAAAGUAAGGGCCUAUCAGAGUACACAGUUGUUAUAGCAUAAUUUUGAGAUACUUUCUUAGGGAUCGAUUGAGAUUUUUAUUGGCUGAGAACUCCCUAUAAGGUACUUGGAUGGUCAGCCAACAAUUUAGUGAUAUUUGACCGAGGCCUCUCCUGUUUUUGAAACUUCAAUGGUAAUGACCAUAGUUCAUUUUUCAACGCUUUGAUUAUAUAAAUUUUUUCCGGCUAGUCUUAUAGAGGACCUACUAUCUACUAUCUGACCACAUGUCAGCUUGACUCUGUUUGUUGCUGGUAUUAUUAUUUUGCUUGUUGAUUGCAUUUGUUUUUCUAUGCAAGAUGUUUUUCAAGCAAUUGCUAUCUAUUUGUAUGUCUGAAAUAUGCUAAGUUUGAGAAUUCCUUUCUUUUCUCCAUUCAGAGCGGUUGUGUGCAAAGGAUGAAUAGAUGUGAACCUGCUAUUGAUCAAUGGUAGAGAUUCGGUUCUGAAGGUGGCUUGAUCAAGUUAUCUUUGGAGUUGGCAUUUUUACACAGGCAGAUGAAAUUUUUGUUGUAUGCCACUGAGGAGCGAACCUCCUAUUGAAUCUGGAUUAGUUACAGAAUUUUAAAGACUUUUUAAUCCGCCUGAGAUUCUAAGCACCGAUUCUUUUACUCUCCCUAGGAACGCAAGGUUAGGAUAAAUGAGUCAGUUAGAUGCUCCACUGGUAUAUCCAUUUUUCAUUUUGCAUAGCUAGUGUAUGCUUGCAGCAAAAUAUUUUAUCCGUUGCAAUUAUAUUGUGAUUUUUCCAUUUUGAACUCGAGAAAUUUUAGUGUAGUAUCUGGAAGACCACAGAGUUACGUGCUUCGGCAGAAACAGUUGUAUACCUGAAUGAAAUCUCUUUUCAAUAAUAAGGUUUGAUUACUCUUUGGAACUCAUUUCCAGUGCAUGGUUCUCUAGUUACAUGCAAAAGUUGCAGGUUGUUUAAAAAUGGUGGUUAUUUUGGUUUUGGUGAUUUAAGCACUCAUUACUGCAAUAUCAGCAAUGAGAAAAAGCAACUACUGAAAAUUGCUCUUAAUGGUGAAAGCAUUAUGCAUCAGGCUUCCUCGGAGUGAAGGCUAGCCAUAGAUGCUUUUGUUUACUGAAGGUGUUAUUUGCAGCAGUUGCAUCUGCCUGCAUAACUGUUACUGGCUUCCAGCUUGGAUAAUUAGAUGGUGAUGUUGGAUUCUGUUGCAGCAAAACAGUUCUUGUGCUGGGAUUCUGAUGAAUCGCGGUGUGAUUUUUGUACUUAAUGUCAGAAGGUAAUGCAUAUCAUCCAUAUUGAGUUAUUCAUCUUCUUUAGGGAGCAAUGAACAUAAGUGGAUAAUGAGAUUUGGGAUUCAUGCUUGGAAAUGUUCUCACGUUUUGGGUUCGAAGGAUUGAAACAAUCUGCACAUUUCUUCUUUCUCUUGGUUCUUUGAAGUGAUAAACUAACUGUAAUAUUAAAUGUGUGAAAAUGAUUGCGGUUCAAAGUGCUUUUGGUUUAAAAAUACAUUAAAAUAAUAUAUUUUUUUAAAAAAAUAUUUUUGAUAUCAGGAUAUCAAAACGAUUUGAAAAUAUAAAAAAAAUAAUUUUAAGCAAUUUUUGUUUCUUUCAAAUUUUGGUGGAACGUGGUUUGAACCGCAUUUCUAAAUGGGGUCUAAGUAUAAAACUAAAAGGUAUGAGUUUUUCACCAUGCAUGAUCUUACUAUUCAUUUUCUCAUGUAUUACUGUCAAUGAACUGUAAAAACUUUUUGUUUUUUCAAUUUGGUUCUUAAACUUCAUUUUGAGCGAUUUAGUCCUCAUUAAAGGCCAAUUGAUUUUGAUUUCUUAUGAAAAAAAUAAGAUUGAAAGAAGAGAGAUCUAAAUGAAAAAGGCAUCAAACAUGAUGACAUGCUUUAAGUUUUGAAAAUGAUGCACUUUGGUCCUCAAAUUUAAAAAAACACAGAUUAUAUAAUUUUGAUACCUUAAUAUUUUUCAAUUUAAGUUUGGUAUGAAAGUUUAUUUUUGUUAUUUUUUUAGUCCAAGGUUAAGAGUGGAGAGAGAAGUCGCUGGAUUCCAACGGUAGAGAGAGAAUCAUGUCGUUGGCAUUGAUUUAGACUAUUAAAACGGAUGAUAUUUGUGUCAAAUAACUUUUUUGAAUUGAGAGAAAUGCGUUGAAAAAACCUGCAUAUAUAAUGUUUUUAUAGAAAAUAAAAAUAUUUGACCUGUAAAGGAGCACAAGUCAUAUAACUACUAGUAGUACUAAAUUGAAGUGAUAAAAAAUAAUAUAAAGCACAAGUAAAUUGCAUAGAUAAGUCAUCAAUGACACAAACCCCUCCAUAUAUAGAUAAUUGAGCAUCGAUUCUUAAGUUUAGGGAGACACAUGGUGGCCAUGUAAGUCUAUACUGGAUCCAUGCGCUUGCAAGUAAUGAUGGAUUCUCAUGAGUCCUAGAAUUCAACAUGCUUAAGAAUAUAACGGACGUGUUGGAUAAUUUGUUGAUUUCUUAGUUCAAGUAAUCUGAUCCAUUCUUCAUAGUUAAUGUAUCUAGUGACUUGAUAUGAAAAGCCUAAAGGGUUGGUAACUAGUAGCAGGUGAUGUCUGGCAAGCCAGGUGACUGGUAGUUGGUACCUAUAAAAGGUCCUCUUUGAUGGAUUUGGAGAUUCUUCGAUAGUAAAGUUAGUAACUUUAUAGAGAGAGAAGAAGCAAUAAUAUUUUAGAGAGAGAUACUCUGAAAAUAUAUACAUAGUAGAGAAUGAAGAUAUUGUGAACCUUUGACUUGAAGGAUUUAUGGUGUAUUUAUAGCUCAUGAAUCUUAUCCUUUUUGUGGAGAGGAGGGACUGAAGUGUAAUUUCAAUAUUAUAAUAUUUUGAGUUGUAUUCUACUUAAAAUAAUACGUAUUUGAUCAAUAUAAAAUAUUGAGAGACUUGUAUGGGGUCCAGAAAAAAUUCUCUAACGAAUGUUGGGCUUGGGCAGGGUGCACGAGCCUAUUGGAGGUGAAAGUGGGUUCAAGAGCACUACUUAGACCCAAACAUACUGGGCUUGGUAUGACAACUUGUGCCCAUGAGGGCUAUAAGGUGCGCGCCCAUGAGGGCUAUGGGGUGUCUGCCCAGCAUCACCUAGGCGUACGCCUUACAUUGGUGUACACCUAUUGGGGUGCAUUAGGUGUACAUGCAUGUACUGUGCAGACGCCUAAUACAUUGUAUAGUGCCCAUGCACUUGGCGUCCAUAUGCCUAUGCAGGGAGCAUGCUCUUGGUGUGUGAUAGCUCGAGCUCGUGUUUCUUGGAUGUUUUUUGAGCUUUUUUUUUUACGAUUUUUUUUGGAUCAAUUUUGGAGAAUUUUUUAGAUUUAUUUUAUUUGUAUCCAUCAGAUUCUAUUAUCAAUUUAAAAAUUUUGAAGUGAUAGAUUAAGAAUAUAUAUUGUAUAUAAGUUCCUCAUUUUCCAUUCCUAACCCAAUAACACAUCUUGAAACACUAAACUGGCGUGAACCUUAAAAUAGAAAACUAAAUUUUAUUGAAAGUUUACCCCUUUCACAAUAUCUGACAAAGCAAUGGAUAGCUUCUACAAAGAGGAUUUUUUAGGAAAAUUUAUUUAUUUUCUUAUUAUUUUUACUAUUUUUUCUAUUUAGUGUAAGAAGUUAAAUUUUAUGUUAAUAUUUUUAUUUUUUCUAGUUUAUUUAGAAUUUUUAUUACUUUUGUUUUUUGUAUUUUUAGGUUUUCUAGUUUGUUUAGGUUAGUUUUUAGGUUUAUCUAAGAAGUUGUAAACCUCUUAGUGAAAAAGGCUAUAAGAACAUAAAAUAUUCAGUAAUAAAAUUAUAAAUUAGGAUUUUGCGAGAUAGUUUUAUUUGGCUUCAAUUAUGUAUUUAUAGCUUAUUGUUUUUUUUUUUGUUUCUAGUUAGUUGAUAUUAAUUACAGUCCAACGAUACCAAUUGUUAUUUGCUUGUUAUGUGCUUAAAUAACUAUGACUGGAAGGGGUAGUAGAAUAAGACAUGCUCGUAUAGGAGUGGAUGAAGAGGUUCCCCUUGAGAAAGAGAUGUUUAAAAGAUGGUGAUAGAAGACAUGCAACGAUAAAUUGCAAAAUUGAAAAGAGAUUUUGGGAUGAUAUAAGACAUGCAUAAAAAAUUGCAAUAUUAACCCAUUAGUUGGAAGAGGUAAGGAGCCUAGGGUAUCUUGAGAAAAGUGAUCAUGGAUCUAUUGUUAAUUUUGAGAACUUGUUUAAAAGACAGUAAGCAAAUAAAAUAACUUGUUGAUUGGGAUGAAUAUGAUAUUGAAUCUAAAAUUUUUGAUAACUCUAGUUUCUUAGUGGACUAGAAUCAAAUACUAAAAUUUGACGAGGAUAAUGAAAAUGACGGCAAAGGAAAAGAUUUAAAGGCAAAUUUUUUAAUUAGUGAUCUCCACGAGAAGAAAUCAAAAUUAGAUGUGUGUUUAAGAAAAAUUUUAGAAUUAAUGAGGUGAAAGCUGAUGCUAUUGCAAUUCAGCUCAUGCAAGACUUACAAGUCGUUGGCAGUAUCCAAUUCGAAUAUUAUAGACUUCGUCUAAGGUAGUUUACAAAGAAAGUACCCUUAAGACGUGAUUAUAAUAAAAAGUCUAUAUUUCCUGAAAAACAGAAAAGAAAAACACUACAAAGCUGAGAAAGGCAGACAAUAUCGAUUGUCAAAAUCUGAAGGAUACUCAAAUGAGUUUCGGAAAUAUUGAGGAGGGUGUAGGAAAACCUGAAAAUGUACGAGAGAACACAACCCCAUCAUGGGUUGCUGUAAUAUGAUAGAAUGGAAUGAAAAACAUAUUGGAAUGAGCAAUAACUAUUACUUGAUUUUUCUAUUUUCUGGUUGUGUAAUUAUCAAUCUGUAAGUGUUACAUAUUGAUCCCGUCUACACUGGCAUUUUUCUCAGCAGAUUGUUGAAGCUGCAAUGCAAAUUCAAGGCCCCAAACGACAUCACCCAUUUUAGGGCGUUCAAUUCCUUGACCAUGUAAGCAACUGUUAGCAAUCUCUGCAAAGUUAUUUAAAGAGACAGGGGAAACCUCGCCCUUUAAAUGUGGAUCCACGAUCUGAUCAAGGGUUCCUCUUUGGUAACAUUUUCGUGCCCAGUCAGCUAAGCUUGCUUGAUCUUUCGGUGAACCUGGAAUCACUGGUGGCCUUGCACAUAGCACCUCAAACAAAACCACACCGAAUGAAUAAACAUCAGAUUUCUCUGUCAGGUGUUGCCUACGGUAGUACUCUGGAUCCACAUAUCCAAAGCUACCUCUAACUCCAGUGCUAACAUGGGUUUGGGAUGUACUAGUGGGACCUAAUCUGGACAGCCCAAAAUCUGAAACCUUAGCCACCCAAUUCUCAUCUAACAAUAUGUUUGUUGACUUCACAUCACGGUGAAUGAUUGUGUGCUUUGCUCCUGAAUGAAGAUAAUGCAACCCUUUAGCAGCACCGAUGCAUAUUUCUAGCCUUUGCUUCCAUGGAAGAGGAGAGUUCUUUGUUUUGUAUAGAUGUUCUCUAAGAGUGCCUCUUGACAUGUAAUCGUAUACAAGGAUCAUCUCGCCAUGAUCAUCACAGUAUCCAAUCAGUGACACUAGAUGAAGGUGGCGCAGAUUGGAUAACAUCUCAAUCUCUGUCUGGAACUCACGUGUCCCUUGCUUUGAUGAUGAAUCUAGUCGUUUGAUGGCUACUGCGAUGAAACCGUAUUCAAUGUAUCCUUUAUACACAGUACCAAAUCCCCCUGAACCAAUAAUAUUUUGAUCAUCAAAGUUUCCUGUUGCUUCGUUGAUUUCGAAAAAUGUAAACCGUCGGCAAAGAUCAGUAGGUAGUGAUGAAGAGAUUGUAGUCGUGGACCUAGAUGUUUGUGAUAUUAUAGUACAGGAGGAUUUUUCCUCACUCUUGCUAGGGUCCUCGACUCGCUUCUGCUUGAAAGCAAAGAAAUAAAGAAUAAGAGAGCAAGCAAAUACUGCACCUAUGGAACCUCCAACGAUGGCUAUAACCGUAAGUAUUGAUGAUCUUUUGCCCGUUCUUCUGUCUUGUAGACUUGGAUGUUGUUCUGCUGGUGGAGGAGCCACUGUUGGCUCAGGGUUGAAUCCUGCAAGAUUUCCGCCUGUUCUAUUCAGCUUGAAUAUUUCCAAGCCAUUCAAGAUUGCAUCAGCGUAAGUAGGUUUCAGUUCCAUGUUAGGGUGUAGUUCGAGCCACAAGCCCUGCUUGCUCUGGCUCCCUGGAGGGACCCGCACCAUGUAGUCUUUGUAAACUGGAAUGCCGUUGCCACCGCUCAUAUGGAUCACAUCUGCAUCAUCCUGUGCUGUUUGAUUGUUGAUGAAUAUUAAAAAUACCUGUUGAUUUUCAUUUUUGAACUCCAUUCGAGUCUCACAAAAGUGGAGCCUAAGGAGAUAAAGGAAACCAGCAUCAACUGGGAAGAUCCAUGUGAGAUUGUAAUUCAUGUUAAGACGUGGUUCAGGACCCAUAGAACGCAUAGUACUAUAUACCAUAACAGGUGCCGAGUAAGCUGGCGUUUUGGUUGUGUACUUUAUCAUAACGCCUGGGAGAUAUGGAAUGUUUCCAGCUUGUCUAAAGAGAUACUCUGAAUCUUGAUGCCAUGUCCUGUACAUUCCAGUGUCUCCAGUGCUGCUGAUAUCUUGCCCCCCAACAUUCAGUCGAUAAACUGUCUCAAGCGCAGUUGUGUUAUACAGAAAGGUGUGGACAUCGGGGCCCACAUAGGUCAGUGGAUUAUCAUCGCCACGAGCAUAGAAGCUGUCUGGCAUGGAAACGAUUUCGAUACCAUUAAUGAAGGCAAAAGAUGCUGGAGACGGAAUGAAGGUUAAUUCAAGCUUCUGGUUGUCCCACACGGUGAUGAUGAACUCUUUGGUGAAGUAGUCAACUGGAGGUCUUAUAGCAGAAAUUAACUGUAAGAGAGGCACUAAAGUUGUUUAGUAGCUUGUAGUUGUUGGCACUAAGCGAAAAAUAGGAUUUGGAUAUGUCAAGAUUUGAGUAAGAAGCUGGAUAAAAGUAGAGACGCACAAAUUUUGGGCCAGGCAAGACUGGAAAUGUGUAAGUGAAUUUAGAGUGAAAAAUACGGGCUGUCAUGUAUGGGACUUGGUCGACAGAGGGGUCUUGAGUGGAGGCUUCAAACACAGAUGAGGCUUCUGGGGGGUUAGAGGCAGCAAACUUAGACUGGGAAUCACCAUCCCAGCUGCGACCAUCUGGAGAUGACAAAUUAGAGGAUGCACCACAGUUAAGGAGUAUUAGAUCAGUGGGGCUGUAUGGCAGCAAGUAAUCUUCAGUAGCAGUACCAUAGAGGAAGAGAUGGAGGGGAGGGAGAAGGUAGAGAAAGAUGAAGAUGGACAUUACUAUGCUAGUUCUUUGGUGGAGUAAAUUGGAGUAAGAAAAAAUAUCUAUUAAAUGCAAAGAUUUUGAUUUAAGGGAAGAUAAUCAAUGGUGUCGCUGUCUCCAUACAGUAACAUUUUUGCUCAGGUUGAGAAUAAUCCAAUAAUAUAUUUGAGACCCGUCGGAGAAGAAAAUUCGACGAUAUGGCUAAUGGGACAUAUUGGUCAGCUUUGGAUGGCUGCUUCCCGUUGUGUGGUUCUGAAUUCCGCAAUAAAGCCGCAAUGAACAAUCUAAUUUCAACAAAGGAUCGACCUAUUCCUUUUUGGUUCAUGAGUGUGCCUUUUUGGGCUGAGCUUAUAACCAAAAAUCUUCUCAUCUGGUAUAGUAAUCGCUUACUGCAAAACUUGGUGGUAAUGAGAAAUCUUUCUUCCCCUUAAUCGAAGAAUAAUGGAUUUACCUCUUGAUAUAUCUGGGACAUAUUUGGUAUCUAUUAGAAAAUAAUAUAAAUUAUAUAUUGAAAUUUUAUUUAAAAAUUUAAGUAAUUGGGUUGAGAUGGUUCUUUGAUAUGAUAUCAGAGUCUUAAUGACAAAACAUGCAUGAGAUUAAAUCUCAUCAUUCUCAUCUAUUUGAUAAAAAUUAAGCACAAGGUAAUGUGAGCCUAUGCAAGUUUAAAGCUCAAAAGACUUUCACUUGAAAGAGUGUGUUAGAGAAUAAUAUAAAUUAUAUCUUGAAACCUCACCUAAAAAUUUAAGCUAUUGGAUUGAGAUAGUUAUUUAACAGUACAUAAUAAAAUCAAUAGCAACAGUGAAGAAGAGGCAAGCUGUCCUCUCUUCCCUGGAGAUGGUAAUUUGCUCUCUCUCAUCCUGUUAAGCUUGAUUUCCAUACAUGAGGGGAAACUGAAUGGAGUUCUCGGUGGAUGAAAAAUAAUUGGAAUAAUAAAUGAAAUGAAAUUGAGUUUCAUUGUUGAAAAAAUCAUGCUGAAAUCACUUCAAUCCUAAGGAAAAUACAAGUCUUCUACAAUGAUCAGGUCUAGCAAAUGUUCUUAUCUUGUACAAACACGACACCUAAUGCAAACCUGUGAACAUUCCAAGAUCUUUUUUUAAACUUCAUUGCUUGCAAUAGAUCAAGGAAGCUUCGCCAUUAAUUAGUGCACGAGAAAGACAAUCACUAGAUAUCGUAUCAACAUAGCAAUUGCUUGCUAUUUUCUUCAAUUAUAAAUCAUUAUAAAGUAUAUACAAAUUUUAUUGUUAUUGUUGGGAUAUUGCCAUUAUUGGGCAACAUGUGCAGCCUACCCUAUAAAGAGUAGGGUUACCAUUUGUCAAUGGUAGUUGCACCCACCAUUGAUAAAUGUAUCAACCCAUGUGCAACUGUUGUUGUUGAAGAAGAACAACCACCAUCCUUGCCUAUAAAUAGACAACAAGAGAGCAGAACAAUUGAGAGAGGGAUUGUGAGAAUGUAGAGAGUGUGAAGAGAGAAAGAAAGAGAAGGGCUGCCACCAGCAGCCCUGCUGCCUUAUGCAGCAAUGAGAGAUGAGAGUUGAGUGGAUGUGAUCCUCCUCCAUGUGUUGUAUUCUUUCUCUAUCUCUAAAUAAAAUGAACCUCUCCCAUGGAUGUAGGCGGUUUUGCCGAACCACGUUAAAUAUUGUGUCAGUGUGCUUGCCCUCCGUUGAGCAAAGAUCAGUACAUCACUGGUCGGAUUUCCCAACAAUUGGUAUCAGAGCUGAUGGUUUAAAGUGGUGUUUGAUUUUUGCUCAAAAAAUGAAAGUUGUCAAAAUUGUGUUUUGACCAUACCACCGUGUAGAGGAGGAAGAGACGAAGCCACUGUUGAAAACUGCGUUGAAAUCGGACGUCGGACAUGGCCGCACGUGCCGUCACGCGCCAGCGUCACACGUGUCUUCUUCGCCCGGAUGGGCUGACCCGACCCGAAUACCAGACGACCCGACCCACGUGGCUGACUCGGAUAAGGAUGACAUCAGUAUGCCGUAAUUAUGACGUCAUCAUGCACAGUAGCAUGGCCCAGGAUGACAUCAACAUGAUGUAAUGGUGGCGUCAUCAUGCACAGUUAGCACAUUGGACCCACUAACACGUCAUCAGCCGUGAGCCGAGCUGAUCCGAGCGGCGAGCCGAGGGAUAGGAUUCUGUGCAGCUGAGUCUAUGUGCAAUCGGAUCUGAGAUUGAAUCUGAGCCGUUGAUCAAGCCAGAAUUGUUUUGAUCAAAGCUUAGCCGUCUGAAGUGCGAUUUGGACGAUUCAAGACAUGUUUCCAGCUAAUUUGAUCAUUCCAGAUGCAAUGGUACGGUCCGAUCAUUGAGAUUUGAGACCGAAAAUGGCGGUGGUGAAUUAUUAAAGAGAGAUUGCCCGAUCAGGAGGCAUCUGAGGGUCUUGAUGGAGGUCGAUGAAGAUGAUGAAGAAGAAGGUGCACAUGUUUUCCCAAUUAUAUGUGUUGAACUAUUAAAUGGGAAAAUGUAAUGCCUUGAUGGAAGGCAAAAUUAGGACACUCUGGACACCCAGUUAUGUGGACAAUUAGAGGUGGAGAGUGAAAAUUGACGAAGACCAAUCUUGACGAAUCUAAGCACUGGUAGUCUCGCUAGAUGUUGAGAAAUCAGGUAUAAAACCAAGAUACCCAGAUCACUUGUAAAGGAAAGCCGCAACAAAGCUAGCAAAUGGUUGUAUAUACGGAAAGACAGUACGAUGGAUAGAUAUGGCCUAAGAAGUUAUGUCUAGGAGAUUAGGUUUUAAGUGGGACCGUUGUGACCCCUCCAAUCUUUCCUGGGAACUUGCUUAGUGGAAGGAUUAUCCAUAUGGUACUAUUUUCGUAUAUGUAACAGUUUGUAAUGAAAUUUUUGAAGACUAGCAGGAUGACGCCACAAGGGGAACAAUUGGGUUCCGUAUGAUCAAGGAUCUGAUGGAGUAGUGAUUUCUUCAAAGAAGCUAGAUUCGGUGACUGUGAUUUCUCGAGGGGAGAAUUGAUGAAGACCCUGAUAAUGGAAGAGAAAUACAGCAAGGGGAUAAAGAUUGGCACCCUAUUUUGACUUGGACAAGUGUUGUGACAGGAUCAGCUGCUAUCAAACAUAAGCAAGGAAUAUGGAGAAAUCUGGAGAACAGAAAUUGCACGAGAGCACACGAAGAUUAUGCAGGAGUACCCGUAGGAUCCAACGAGGUACUGUAAUGAGAAGUUUAUUAUGUUGUUGUUGAAGAAGAACAACCACCAUCUUUGCCUAUAAAUAGACAACAAGAGAGUAGAACAAUUGAGAGAGGGAUUGUGAGAAUGUAGAGAGUGUGAAGAGAGAAAGAAAGAGAAGGGUUGCCACCAGCAGCCCUGCUGCCUUAUGCAGCUGCUGCCCAAUGCAGCUGCUGCCCUAUGCAGCAAUGAGAGAUGGGAGUUGAGUGGAUGUGAUCCUCCUCCAUGUGUUGUAUUCUUUCUCUAUCUCUAAAUAAAAUGAACCUCUCCCAUGGAUGUAGGUGAUUUUACCGAACCAUGUUAAAUAUUGUGUUAGUGUGCUUGCCUUCCGUUGAGCAAAGAUCAGUACAUCAUCGGUCGAAUUUCCCAACAGUUAUACUCAUCAAAAACAUGAGUAAAAAGAAAGAAGAAGGGUUCAGACAGUCACCCUACACGUAGAGCAAACUGAUCCACCCAUCUUGGUGGAGCUCACAUAGACGGAUUGGGUCACCUUGCGCUUUAUAGGUCGCUGUUGAAAUCGAAACCCACGCAGACAGAUAAAGAACCGACCCCUUUGUCCCCUCUUCCUCGAUCAACUACCAUGUUUGCAUCGAUUGUAGCAAGUGCAAGGCCGAGAGUUACCAUUGAUCGGUUUUGCACAGUUGCCAUAUAUUUGUGCAUUGCAAAUUGGUUGUCGUUCUAAACUCUUAGGCCAUGUUUGUUUCCUAAAAAGUAGUUUUUGGGAAAUAAUUUUCCAGACUUUCUUAUGUUUGUUUACUAUUAGAAAAGUUGGUCAAAUGAAAACACUUUCCGGUCAACGGAAAACACUUUUUAGUCAAAGAAAAUUUUAGCUUGGUUUUCAGGAAAGUGUUUUCCAUUUUAGCGGUGUUUAUUUUCUGAAAAGUGGUUUCCAGGAAAUCACUUUCCAAACUUUCUUGUGUUUGUUUGCCAUUAGAAACGUUGGUCAACAGAAAAUACUUUCCAGUGAAAGGAAAAUUUGACUUGGUUUUCAGGAAAGUGUCUUCGUGGAAAAUUUGGGCGGAAAACACGUUCCGAAAGUUGUGAAAAAUUUAGAAAUGUCAUUAUUUGCUGAUUAUAUCAAAUUUGAUCCUUAAACUUUUGAUUGCUAUAUAUAUUUUGUUUUGAAUAUUUAUUUUUCAAUUUCAUCUCUUAAAAUUUUUAUUUUAUAUUAACUUUGGUCCUUAUUUUUAUAAUUGCUAUUUUCUUUUUCCUUAUCAUUUUUUUAUUGAAAUUUUUUAUCUAUCAAAUUUGGUCCUCAUUCUUUUGAUUGUUACUUAAUUUUUUAGAUUUGAUCGAUAUUAUUUUGAUUAUUAUUUAUUUUAUUUGAGAUAAUUUAUGAAAUUAUAUUUAUUUUUUCAAUUUCAUUCAACUUUUUAAUUUAUAAGAUUUGUUCCUCGUUAUUUUAAUAAACUUGAGAAAAAUAAAAUAUUAAUAAGUUAUUUUCCAACUCAUUUUCCAUGACAUAACCAAACACUGGAAAAUGUUUUCCAACUUAUUUUCCAUUACACUACCAAAUAUCGGAAAAUACUUUCUCGGAAUUCACUUUCCGAAAAGAAACUACUUUCCAACAAACAAACGGGCCUUAUAGUUAAUAUAGUUACCUUGAGAGGCCAGUAGUCUCUGAUGCACUUCAGAUUCCAUAGAGAACUCCUCUUCAUUACCUUCACCGAUUGUGGCAUUGAAAAUUGGACUCGAGUUUGCUUUCAAGAAAGGCAGCUGCAGAAGCAGAUGUGAUCACCAAAACAAGCAGGAUAGUUAAAGAGAGCCACCAGAGGAAUUCAAUACUUACGUUAGGCCUCGUCUCUUUCUGUCUGUACCCUUCUGUUACAGAGUUUGAAGAGCACUAAAUAAACGUCACUGCGAAGAAUGCUUCGAACUCUGGAUAUGGAGUGAAAGGCUAGCUUUUUUCCAUUGACUUGCUUUUUUUGUGAAGACUUAGGUCUUCACAUGAAUGUGAUUUUGAUGUUUUAUACUAUCUUAAUCUAAUAAUUUAAAUUAUUAGAUAAAAUUAUAAAAUAUGAUAUAUAUUGUUCAAGAAUAUUUGACAAAACAUCCAGCCACUUAUAUAUAUAUAUAUAUAUAUAUAUAUAAGAUCAGGACCAUAAUCUGGAUUUUCGUUAGUGAAUUCAUCCUCAUCGGAACUUGAUAUUUCAUAUAAGGCUUCUUGGAGUUUUUUCUUGUAUUCUGACGUUGAGCUUGAUGAUGCAAGGUUUUCUUGAAUUCAACUUUUAGAGGUGAGAAACGUAAAUUGCCUUCUUGAGAUAGAGUUGAUGGGUAUGCUUGCAGCUAUGGAAUUUGAUGUGAUGAGAUUAUUGCCAAGCAUGCACAAUUUCAGAACAAGCUUGAGCUUCUCUGAAUUUGGGUCCACCAUUUGACUUUGAUUUUUCUCAUGAGAUCUAAAGAGUAACCAAUAUCUUUAUUUACAUCAUUCAUUAUAAUGGAGUCCCAAGAUAGCAUGAGACACCAAAGGUUGAGAUGAAAUAAAAAGAGGUAGGAAUUGAAUUCAAAGGUAUUUUUACUGUAAGCAAUUCCAAUCCUUUGUAUGAUUUUUUAGGGAGAAUCUCACUUAUUGAAGAAAAAUAUUGCCAUCAAUUGUUUGACAACUAAGUUGGAAAAUUCUUUGGAAAUGUUUUGAGAAAAUCUUUCAAGGUGCAGGGUUUUGAUUCAUCUCUUGAAAGGUUAAAACCUUUUGAAUUUUUAUUUUUGAAAAAACAAGAUUGUUUACAUCUUGAUUAUGAGUUAUUUCAACAAAGUCAAUAUCAACCAAAAUAAACUCAUAGAAUUGUUUUGUUUUCAACAUAUUUUCUAAAAUAACUUGAAAAUAAUAGCUUCUUGACUUGAAAGGCUUAAAGCUUUUUUUAGGAAAAAUUUGGAGGGUAAUUAACACAAGUGAAAGUACAAGCAAUGGGACAAUAGCGAGAAAAAGAAAAUUAAUAGUUGAAAUAGAGUAGAGCACAUGAAUUCUAAUUUAUAGUUUUAUUGAUGAAGAGAAAAAUUCACUAUUUCUUUUGCCUCUUUAUGAUGUUUUCAACUUUUUAAAUAAGCUAAAAAAAUCAAACUAAUCAAACUAGAAAACCCUAAAAUAAAGAAAAAAAAUAUUAAAAUUCCUAAACAAACUUAGAGAAAUAAAAUUACUAUUCUCAAUAUUUAAUUUCCUAAACUAAAUAGAAAAAAUAAAAUCACCGAAAAUAUUUUCCUAAACUACAUAGAAAAUAAUAAUAACUAAGAAAUUUUAAUUUCAUAAAAACCCUUGGCAUCAACAAUAAUGUUGUAAAAGGUGUAUUAAUUUUGGGAUUGAACAAACAAGGGAGUUUGGAGAGAUUAAGAAUAAUUUAUAGGUGAGGUGUUUGGACUAGAUCAUGCUGAUGAAAGGAUUCAAAAUUGAUUAUUUAAGACACUAGCCCCAAGGAGGUCAAACCCUCCCUGAAAUAAAUUAAUAUCUUGAAUGCUUGAUGUUGUGGUUUGAAUUGGUCUUGAUGGUGUAAGAGCAUAUGAUUAUUUUGACUUAUUUUGAGCCUAGUAAAGACUCUUUGGAUAAAAGACUCUUUUACUUCUUUCAUUAAUUCAAUCUCCAAAUCAUAUUUUAAUAAAUUAUCUUGUUACCUGGCAAAACUUUGUUUUGACACAAUAUUUUGAAUAUUUUUUUCAACAACUUAUUUUACAUAUUGACAAUUUAUUUGUAAAAGAAAUUUCUGGAAAAUAAAUCAUCUUGAAAAUAUUAGAUGUAUAAAAUAAUUAAUAAAAUUUUCUUUUUGAUAGUUGAAUAAUUUUCUUGAGGAUCCAACCAAAUACCUAAAUGAUAUUGCACUAUAUGUUAUUGACUUUGAAAAUUUUGUUUGAGAAUACCACUGUAACUAAUAUCAAAGGCAUCGGUUUCAACUAUAAAAAAGGCCUCUAGAUCAUAAAGUCUUAAACAUGAAAACUCUUGACUUGACUUUUAAGAGUAUUCACAAUUUUGAUCAUUUGAUGAUUGAUUUUAGACAGGAGGGUUUUUCUUAAGUCUUUUGUACAAAGGUUGACAUAUAGUUCUAUGAUUUGGAAAAAUAUCUAAAACAUAAUCGAGGCAUCCCAUAAACUUUUAAAGCUAGGUUUUACCCUUGAUCUUAUUUAUGAAUUUAAUGGUAAAUUUUAUUAUAGUGACAAGGGUUAUUGAUAAAUUAUAAUUUUUAAGGUUGAGAAAACUAAUCUAUUUUGUUUGAUAAUAUUAAGAAACGUUUGUAAGUUGUUGAAAUGUUUGGUUAUUAGUUUUAAAAAUAAAAGAACAUCAUCUAUGUAUAUAAUCAUAAUUUUGAAUAUAGAUUAAAGAUGUCAUUCAUGAUGCUCUGAAGUUUUGAAGGAGUAAUUUUUAGUUCGAAAGACAUUAUAUCUCAUUUGUAAUGACCAAAUGAAAUAAUGAAUGUUGUUUUAUAAUGAUUUUUUUAAUCAAUUUAGACUUGUUAGAAUCUUGAUUUCAUAUCAAUUUUUGAAUAUAUUGAAGAAUUUUAAAGUCUUCUGAUAAGAUCUCUCUUAUUGUGUAUUGGAUAUCUAAUAUAUUGGAGCACUUUGUUGAGAGGCUUGUGAUUUAUGACAUGUAUUAGUGCAUGAUUAGUACUUAAAAGUGUAUUUUAUCAAUGUUUUAUAUUAUCAUUUUGUACUUGAAGUAUCAAUAACUCCUUAACUAGAGCAUGUUUUAUAAUAACAAGUCUGAUAAUAUAAGAUAACUUUAAUUUAUGGUAAAUGCUCAUUUUAAAUACAGACAUAUCUCACAAUUCAAAGGAUUGAUUGCUGUGAUUAACUAUUGAAAGUGAAAAGACAAAGAAAAGGCUAAGCUUAGAAAGGAGAUGCAGAUUCAAUUCAAAUUGGAACACUGUUAAGUUAUUGGGUCAUAUCUGGAGCUACAGUUCUUGGAUUUCAGUUUGGUUUAUAUGGCUAGAAAAAUAAGAAAUAGGCUUACAAUGUUCAUGAAUAGUGAAAGACCCAAAUCUUCCGUUUUCAAAUUCAAAGUUUGGCCACAAAAGAGAAGUCAGAAUCUGUCAUACAAUCCAGCCCAAACACUUCUCAUACUUUUACCCAUAGCUGGAGUUUUAAAAGGAAAAAUGAUGUCAAAUUUGGUGGCUAGAAGGAUAAGACAAUUUCCAAAAACUUUCAUGAAGACGACCUGCUCCAAUUCUGAUGUUAGAAAUGACAUUUCAUCCAGACAAGAGCUUGAGGGCUGUCCAUUACGUCCACCAGAAGCACUACUCAAUAUUUUAGCCAUAUCUCAAUCUCUAGUGAUCCAAAUGCUCUAAAAUUUUAUGGAUGGAAAGAUGAGAUGAUUGCAGACAACUUUUAUGAAGAACACUUUGCCAAAUGUUGAUUGAAUCAAUGUCAUUUCAUCCAGCCAAAAUGCUUAAGUGUUAUUGUCCACCAAGUCCACUAAAUCAAUAGUUGGCCACUACAUCAAUAAUCAAUUACCAAAUGAAUAGUUCCGAAUUUUAGCCUAUAAAAGGAGACAAUUGCAAUUCAUUUAGGCAUCUUGGUUCUUAGAUCAAGAUCAUGUUCUUGCUCUCUCUUUAAAUUUUUGUAAUGCUUAAGUUUUGCUUUCAUUAAUCUCUUGUUUAUGCUUUUCAUUUUCUUUACUAUACUUAGUUAACUUAUAUCAUGUUUAUGUUCAUAUAUUGUUUAUUUAUGUUUUUAUUUUUCAUAAUGUCGAGCUAAGUUAAUUAUGUCAAGGUGAAAAGGUUUCACUAAUGGUGUUAGAAUAUGUAUAAUAUAAACUCAAUAUGGACUUCAAUGUUUAUAUCCAAGAAAGUUUGUUAUUAAUAUGUCAUAUCUUUUUAUCUUAUUAAUUCUUAAUACCUUGCUUGUUAAAUGGUUAAUCUAGAUUUGUGUUGUAUAACACUUGGUAAAUCAAAUGCUUGAUCCUUCAUAGUCUUCGGUCAACAUCAUUGUUAUGAGAAGAACUUGAUUUGUUGUUAACAUAAGUUAACAUCAUGAAUUCCUGAUAAUAUUUAAAAGUAUGGUGUUACUAAAAUAAGAUAAUUAAUAUGAUCAUGUUAAAAAUUUAUAAUUAACUUUUACGGAUAAAUCAUCCGAUUGGAACCUCCUUUGUGUGUGGUUUCCAAUUGAGUAAUAAAAAGAGUUUAUACUAUACUUAUUUCUAAUACCAUUAGUGGACCCUCUAACCUUGACAUUUAUUUGUAUUAUUGUUUAAUCCUCACAUUAAUCUUAUAUCUCAAAGAUCUCUUUAUAUAUAUAUAUAGUUAACUUUCCUGUGGAUCGACCCCGGUCUUGCUGAGUUAUUUAUUACUUUGACACUCCUUCACUUGAGAGAAGACAUCAAUCUUUUUGUCAUGUCAAUGCACUUCUUUCUAUUUCAGCUUGAUUCCAGACAUAAAAAGGUGGCACAUAACCAUGAUGAUUUACUAGGGCUUAUAAGACACUUUUUGAUUAAUUUGAGGUAAUUUCCAAUUAUCAUUGUACGUGACUUUAUCUCAUUAUCAAAGUUUAGGAACUUGAAUGUUUGAAUUUUGAGAGUUAGCUUUAAUAAGGAGAGUUUAAUUUAUAGAUGAAUUUUUGAGAGGUUUUGGAGCUAUGUUUGUAUCCAUGAUUUUGUAAUAUAUUCUAUAGAUGAUGACUAUAUUCAUGGAAUCUUGAAGCAUAUCAGUACGAGUCUUAACAAGUCUCAAUAUUUAGAGCUAAGGUUUUCACUAUAAUAUCUAGGUUGAAUAAUGAGAUAGUGAAAUUUCGAUAACAAUUCAAGUAUGUAGAACCAUUAACAAGAUUUGAUUGAAAGAUUGUAAGGAGUGAGUUUGAAAAGGUCAUAAAUUUGUGGUCUCUUGAAAACAUAAGUAUGGGAGAGUCUAAUCCGAGAUGAUGAAUUGGUUUGAGUACAAUCUGUAUUAGACGGUGAUCAUUUUCGGUUUGGUUUUUUUAAAAAAACCAAAACCGGUUCAAACCGACCGGUUUCAGUUUGACUCGGUUUUUUCUGGUUUGGAUAUGUUUUUUUCGAUUUAGGUUUGGUUUGGUUUUUCAGUUUCAAACUUAUAAAACAAAAACCAAACCGAACUGGUCGGUUUUUCUGGAAAGAUAUAAUUGUUUCAAAUUGUUUGAUGAAGGCUGGUCUAGAUCAUAAAUAAUUGUCAUUACACAGUGCCGGUCUAACUUGAAAGAUGUUAAUGCCCCAUUAAUUGCGACGCCUAAGCUCAUAAACGAUAUCCAUGAAUUAUGAUGACCAUUAAGGAAGCUCAUAGGAACUCCUUAAUUUCAAGUUGCUUCUUAAUUUGUCUUCUUGGACAUGCAUGUGAUCUAAAGGAACAAAGGGAAAUUAAAUGCUUAAGCAUGAAUGUGAUCGUUCUAUAUAUGUUCGUCUUCAAGCUUUGAAAUUUUUAUAGCUCAAUUAUUAUAAUUUUUUUUAAUUUUUUUAUGUGGGAAAAGAGUAUCAAAAUUGUGGGAAAUAUAUAUUAGAAUAUUUCAUGGACUGCACUGCUCUAUGAUUGUGCAUUUAUAACCCAAUUAUUAUUAUUUUUUCUUUUUCCUGUUGAUUGCAUUUUGGAAUCCAUUUGAUUAGACAUAAUUUGAACUGGAAGAAUGAAUUGGGUUCACCUUCAUUUGUUCUGUUUUAAUGUGACUGAGAGCCUUAUUUUUUUAAAUGUAUUGUCACUCAUUUAGAUACUGGCUAAGUAGAGUUUGCAGUCAGAUUAACAUACAGUAUGCAUUCAUUCCAUUAAACCCUAAUGGAGUGAAUGAAUAAAAUGACUUUUAUUAAAUGUUCCUCUACUACUUGGAUGCUGAACUGGAGUAUUGGAGGUUCCCACAUUGCCCCAUUGUUGGUAUAUUCACCACAAGAAUUCACAGUUUUAUCGAGGGCAAUAUUCCGUCGGUGUGUGAUUGAUAGUACUUCGGUAAAUUAUUUACCGACUAAAUUACCGACAGAAUACGUCUGUCAGCUUACCUUUCAUCGGUGAUUCCACAUUCCGUCGCUUUAUUGAUCGGAAAAACAAAAAAAAUCAUUUACCGACGGUUUUACAGACGGAAUUUGCGUGCCAAAAAAAAAAAGUUUCCCGCUUCAAAAAUACCGACGGAUUUUUAUUCCAUCGGUGAUAUCACAAGUCACCGACGGUUACUUUCCGUCGGUAAAUUAGUCGGUGAAUUGUUGAAAUACCGAUAGAAUAUAUUGUCUGUCAAUUCGUCGGUAACUUGUAAUACCGACGAAAUUAUUCCAUCGGUAAAUCUGUUGGUGAGUCAUGAAAACACCGACCGAAUUUAUCUGUCUGGAAAUUUGUCGGUGAUGGUUGCGGCUACUGUCUAAUACCGACGGAUUUAUUCCGUCGGUAAAUCCCUUUAUAAUUUUUUUUCUAUUUUUUUUAAUAAUUAUUUAGAAUACAUAAUAUAAAAAGGAUAUAAAUUAAUGGUAAUAAAAACCAAUUAUGCAAAUAAAAUUUAUAUUAAGCAUCAAAAACAAAAAAUGAAAGAUAAAUAAUAUUCAUUACAAAAUGAAAUGUUUCAAAAAAACAUUAAAUGAAAUUUUAAAUGUAAAUAAUGUUUAUUAAAAAUUAAUAUAGAGGAGGAGGAGGUGGAGGACGCUGGCUGUUAGGCGGCCAAAAAGGAUUGGGUGCACAUGUUCCACCUUGUGCCAUGUUCAUGACUAUUUGACGAAGCUCUUCAUAGGUCGCUCAUUAUUGUUCAGAAUCUGCUCUGCAUUGUUCUUUGAGUUGUGUGUACGCCUCUGACAGGUGGUCGCACUUUUGCUGCAAGGCCAUGAACUCCUUAGAUUGGGAGCUCGAUACUGAUUGGGAGCUCCUGACGGUUGAAGCAGUAUGGGUCGUCCGCAAGUUGUCGGUCGUAGUGUUGGAGAGCCCGUAAACCCGAUUUUUAUCGAGUCCACUUGAUGAUCCAGCCUCCAUCCACAAAUCCGGAUCGAAUUCCGGAUGGGUCGAAGGAUCGUCCCUGUAUGUCUCCCUCAACCGAUUAUUAUAGGUCUCCUGAAAAUAAAAUAAAAAGUAAUCAUCAUAUUCAAUUCAAUAAACAUAAUAAUAACUUACAAAAUAAAAUUGUUGAACAAACAUACCACAAAAUGUUGAGCACGGCUGUCAACGAACUGUUGCACCCCCUGUUGGCGGUCUUGACUCCGCACGUGCGUCUCCACAAAUAGCUCCAUAGGGCUCGGCUCACGUCCAAGAGACAUAGCCUAUAAUGAAAAAAAUUUAUUAACAACAAAUUAAUUAAACGAUAUAUUUCAUUUAAAUUAAUCUUACCAUCCGUUUUGCAUGUGCAGCAAACGGAACGGAGCCGCCGGUGUGCGUUGUCACCGAGCCAUGAAUUGGCAGAUUCCAGUUGCCAGCACCGGACUAUGAGCAUCGUGUGAACUGCUCAGACGUCACGUGCUGAAUAUAGUGCGGCCAUAUAUCUUCCGGGAAGUAUAUCGGUUUGAAAUCCCUCCAAACCGCAACAUCGUUCCAGCCUUGGAACCCCCUAUCCCUCGCAGGUUUUUUUGCCUUUUUUUAGGCUUCGUACCAAAAAUCACGCAACCUACUUCACGCAAGCAAAAAUUACAUUUCGAAACAUAAAUUUUUUUGUAAAAAAAAAAGUUGUAUUGUUUUCGUUGUUACCUAGUUGCUGCGUGAUUUUCCUACACCCUCCUCACAACAGUGUUAUAUUCCUCGUUCCAACAUAAUCGAUUAUGUGUAUAAAAAAAUAAUUUUUAAAAAUGUUAAUAAUUUAUUUACAAUUAUAUUAAGAAUUUAUUAGAAAUAAGCUGAAAAUUAUAUAUAACACGAACCUGAAAUCUGGAAAACCAUGGAUUGAUUUGAGGCAUCCAUUCAGGAUGCCUGGUUAUCUGACUCCAAUGAAACAAUGGAUUCUCCAUCGAUGAUUUAAACACCGCUGAUAUUACUCGGGCGACCUCAAUGUUUGUGAACCUGAAAAGAAAUGAAAUUAAUUAAAUAGUGACUUCAUAAAUUAUGUUUUUAAUUUUUUUUUUUAAAAAAACUAAAACCUUAACAAACUGACAUUGAAAGAUCGUCUUUUCAUUAUGCCUUGUACUUGCAGGAAAAUCGAUUUCGCUGUGAAGGCACGCCGCUUUUGGGCUGUGAAACAACGCUGGAAGAGGCAGCAUCGGUUGACAGCACAAGUGGUGUAGGUGCCUCUUCUUGAGAGUCACCUAAGGAAAUAUCUUCCUCGCUGCUAGACGAACCUGAUGCGUCCGGACGUGAAGCUCUGGUUUUCAUUCUGUGCAUCUAACCAGUUUUAUAUAAAUAAUUAUAUAAUUAAAUUGAAAUGUUAAAAAAAAAUUCGGCAACACCUCCCCUAUACUAGAUACUACCCAAAUCCACAAACUUGCAAAUAUUAACAAUAGCCACAACCAAUUGACCCAAUCUAUACUAAUUAUUCCAACAUAUUCAAUUACAAAUCCUAAGGUCAAUUCAACAUUAACAAUUACAAUUCAACAAAUUAUUCAAUAAUUAUGCCAAUACAACAAUAAAAUAUAUUCAAUAAAUUAAAAAAUAAUUAUAAACUAAAAAUUAAAAUCAAUGGAAACAAUUAAACACAAAUUAUGCAAUAAUAGAGUAAAAUUACUACGUAUUCCAACAUAUCCAAUUACUAAUUCUAAGGUAAAUUCAACAUUAACAAUUAUAAUUCAACAAAUUAUUCAAUAAUUAUGUCAAUACAACAAUAAAAUAUAUUCAAUAAAUUAAAAAAAUAUUUUAAACUAACAAUUAAAAACAAUGAAAAUAAUUAAACACAAAUCAUGCACUAAUAGAGUAAAAUUACUAAUUAUUACAACAUAUGCAAUUACUAAUUCUAAGGUAAAUUCAACAUUAACAACAAAUAUUCAACAAAUUAACUAAUAACAAUUAUGCCAAAACAACAAUAAAAAAUUUUCAAUAAAUUUUUUUAAAAAAACUAUAGACUUUAGGGAAGAAAUAUGCAUACCUUAAUAAUGUGUUGAAACAAAAAAUUUAUCUACAUUACAAAAAAAUACAACAAAACAAAAAACAUAAAAAGCAUAAAAAUAACUAUAAAUAAAAUAAAAUAAAAUAGAAAAAACACACAUACCUUUUAAUAUGAUGAAGAUUCACAACCAAGCUUGCUAGAGAUUCAACAAAGCUUGAAGAUUUGAGAGGAAAAAAAUCAAAAUUCUAAGAACUUAUAGAAACCUUAGGUCUAUUUUCACGGGCGACAAGCCCACCCAUACUCACUCUGGUCUAUUUUCACAGGCGACCUGCCCACACUCUCACAUUGGUCUAUUUUCACGGGUGACCUGCCCUUUUUAUUGGGUUUACCUAAGAUCCCAUCUUGAGAUCUAACAAGAACAAAAAUCGGUGUGUAGCUCGAUCAACCUGAAAUCCCAUCUAGUAAUUCCCUUUAGCUAGAGCCAAGGUCUGUGCGGUUAGACUGAACUGAGAUCCCUUCGCCGAUCCCCUUCAACCAGAACCAAAAUCCUUUCCAAUUAGGUUAAACUGAGAUCCCUUUGCCGAUCCCCUUUAACCAUAACCAAGGAAUGUGUGGUUAGACUGAACUGAGAUCCCUUCGUCGAUCCAUUUCAACCAGAACCAAAAUCCUUUCCAAUUAGGUUAAACUGAGAUCCCUUUAUCGAAAAUUAACCAACCAAGGAAUAGUUAGACUGAACUGAGAUCCCUUCGUCGAUCCCCUUCAACCAGAACCAAAAUUUUGGUUAAACUGAGAUCCCUUCGUCGAUCCCCUUAACCAUAACCAAGGAAUGUGUAGGGUUGGGCUAGACUGAGAUUCCUUUCGGCAAUCCCCUCUAACCAGAACCAAAAUCCUUUCCAAUUAGGUUAAACUGAGAUCCCUUUGCUGAUCCCCUUUAACCAUAACCAAGGAAUUAUGUAGGGUUGGGCUAGACUGAGAUUCCUUUCGGCAAUCCCCUCUAACCAGAACCAAAAUCCUUUCCAAUUAGGUUAAACUGAGAUCCCUUCGUCGAUCCCCUUUAACCAUAACCAACGAAUGUGUGUAGCUCGGUCAACCUGAAACCCCAUAUAGAGAUUCCCUUUAACCAAAGCUACAUGAGAUCCCAUCUAGCGACCUCAUUCAACUGGAACAAAAGAAUGUGUAAAAAGUGGUCUCAUUAUAAUGGGUGACCUACCCAAGUGGAAAGGAGGAAGAGUGGUCUCAUUCUUAUGGGUGACCUACCCAGGGGGAAAGAAUAUGAAGUGCGGUCUUAUUAUAAUGGGUGACCUACCCAAAAUGGAAAAAAUAUAAAGUGUGGUCUCAUUGUAAUGGGUGACCUACCCAGAUGGAAAGAAUAUGAAAAAGUGCGGUCUCAUUGUCAUGGGUGACCUACCCAGAUGGAAAGAAUGUGAAGUGCGGUCUCAUUGUAAUGGGUGACCUACCCAGAUGGAAAAAAUAUCAUGAAGUGCGGUCUCAUUGUCAUAGGUGACCUACCUAGAUGGGAAAAAUAUGAAAAAUGGUCUUAUUAUGACGGGCGACCUACCUAGAUGGAAAGAAUGUGAUAUGACAAGUGUGAAAAAUAGGACUUACCUGGCGAAGUCUUGAGGGGAUGACAGAAGAUGGGCUGGAAAACUUGGUGCUUCAUGAUAAUCCCCGAUCAUAGGGUUUGAAAACUUGGUGUUUCCUGACUGCAAGAGUUGAAAACUCGAGGCUUCACGAUUGCAAGGUUGAUCUCUUCAUUUCUUUGGGAUUUUCCUAAUGGCAAGGUUCAUCCCAUCAUCCUUUUAUUCCAUGAUCAAAAUCGAUUCUUUAUUAUCAUCACCAUAGUGCUUCUUUCUUUUUUCAACAUCUUGCUGGACCUCAUUAAGGAUUUUCCUGUAACAAUUCAAAAAUAUAUGCAAAUGGUUUUUUUUUUUUUUAAGGUUAGAUGAUAUGCAUGCAUCCUUACCUGAUUUGAAAUAUAGGUCCCCCCCUCUUUGAUGCUCCAUCGUCAUAGGGUGCCCUUGUUUGUAUCCCAAAACUUUCUUUGUUCUUCCGAUACAUUGGCUCAUUCAUGUGCUAGCCAUCCACUCAGCUGUAAAUGCAGUGCCCAUCCCGAGCUGUUUUUGACAAUUACUGCUUGCAUCGUUCAUCAAGCUUGACCCUUCCCCCAAGUGUGGUACUGCUUGAUUCAUCAUGAAGGAUUUUCUCUCCUGGCUUCUUCUAAGAAUUAUCCUCUGAUUGAUUGUGUGCAUCAUGCCAAUACCCAUCAAGAUUGUUAAUCAGUCAUGAACUUGCCUCUAGUUGAAACAAUACUGUUCAAGUACAUGUUAUCAUUAGCCUUCUUGGAACUCAUUCAGUCAUCCAGUCAUGCAUCUCAUAGCUUGCACUACAAAGGCUCAUGGUUGUAUGCUCAGUGUUCUUCUUAAUAGAUUCCCUUCAACUCAGCCUCAUCAAUGAUGCUGCUUUUAUCACUCAUACUCAUGCAGUGAAGCACUCAUCUGGCUUCAAAACAAGUUAUCCCACAGUCAGUCUUCGAGGUGGGUGCCUUUCUGACAUUCAUUCAAUGCAGUUGUGUGAUAACAUCUUCCGAUAAACAUGUUUCAAAGGAUGACAAUAUGACAUUGUCCUUUAAGUGAAGCAUUGUUCCACAGUCAGUCUUGGUGGUAUGCAUCUUUUCUCCAUUCAAUUACAUUCAUCUGUGUAUCUUCAUCGAUCGCUAGCCAUGUUUCAAAAAUGAUGAUAUGAAAGUGUCCUUCAAGUACAUCUUGUUUCUCCAUUGCCGACAGGGUUCACUAAGCAUGGGCCAUUUUGGAAUGACAUUGCCCCCAGUAUGAUCUGAAUGUGCUCGUUCAUUGAUUAUCUGUCUUUGAACAUCAUUGUCUUCAGUUCACUGAUUCAUCAUUUAAUCAUUGCCUCAUAGCUGAUCUGAGCACUGCUUGUUUUUCCUUUUCAAGGUCUACUGUAUUGCCCCCAGCUGCUCAACUUUUCAAGGAGUGUCGAGGACUUCAAUGUCAUUUCUAUCAACGAUUUUGCAUACUCAAUCAAUGUUCUUCUGUGUUUGAUAAUCUUCCUUGUUCUGGAAUCAACUCUCAUAUUUCAAAGAUCAUGUCUAUUCAAAGUCUAGUUUGUUGAAAUGAAAUCAGAGAUGUCCUUUUUGAAAAUCUUUUGAAAAUCAAGCUUUUUGAUCAAAGACCCAACACACGUUAUUCGAAAUACACAGUCCUUUGAUUGUCAUGCAUUUUAAAAACAUAAAUUGACCCAAUGUAGGAUUAAAAAUGGUUUUUUCCAUGGUUCUUUGUAUCAAUUUGAAUCCUUGAUAUUGGGUAUAUCAUUUGAUAGUCUAUGAUGAGGUGACCUUUUCGUGAAUUUCAAAAGCAAGGCACUCAAGUCAACACUUAGGCUUUAUCAAGAAAGGUUGUUUCUCUUCUUAUAACUUGUUUUAUCAGCAUGCAUAAUAACCAAUAGCUUAAUUCAUGAAGUCACGACCCUUAUGGAAAAGCUCUUCAAGUUUUGAGAGCGCCAUUUAUCGGUUCAAAUUGCUUGCUUGAUUAAAAAGGGCUUUUAAAAGCAUGUAAUGCAGGCUAUGGUUCAUGGCUAUGAAAGAAAAGGAAUCUCAAAGGCUCAAAAGGUGUUUGAGGGUUUCAAAGACCUAGGAUCAACAUCAAUUAUUCAUCAACUCUUUUUUAUUGUUGUCUUUAUAGAGGAAACGACAUAUAACCUUGUUAACCUCAAAGAUCAGACUUCACUUAACAUAAGUCAUAAUGCAAAUCCACCUUUCCUUGAUGAAUAACCAACCUUAAUCAUCUGAUAACAUCAGAGGCUUUAUAAUGGACACCAAAAGUCACGUUUAUAACUUAGUCUUUUUUCUGGUAUUGAGUUUUGUUGUGCCUUUCCUUGAUUGAAAUUUCUUUUGCUCUUCAUAGACUUGAUAGGCGUUCUCCUUCCUUUAUCUUUGACUUGUAUUUAAGUGAGGGCAAAUUUCAACUUCCUUUUUUUUCAUUCUCUUUUUUUUCAUAGCCUUCCUCAAAAUUUUCUUAUAUGCCCCCAGUCUAUGUGUUUUCUUUUAUUUCUCUCUCAAUCAUUGGACCUUUGUUCUAAACCUUCCCCUUUAUCCAUUAAUUAUAUCAAUGUCUCCAACAAAUCUCUCAUCUGCCCCCAGUGUGGGGUGUGAUCCUAGUCAUGGUUUUUUUUUAAAGAAAAUACUUUACCAGGCUCAAAAUGGGACUACAAGGGAUAUAAUCUUUAGAAAGUGAAGGGAUAUCAAAGAUGGCCUUUUCUCAUUUCAAGCAAGGUCGGUUAGAACCGAUAAAUUUUGACCCAUCCAGUGUAAUGAUUGGGACUUGUAAGAAUCAUGAUUCACGAGUCCAUAACUACCGAAUCCACUACAUGUCAUUAUGCAUACUGUUAAAACUUAGCUAUAUGAUGUGUGGUUCAGUUUCAGGAGGUAUGAGUUCAAAAUUGUUUAGUCACCUCAUGUCAUUUUCAAGCAUCGAGUCAUUUCUGUAAUCAAAACACUUUUAAUCUUCAGGAUUGAUUAACCUUUAUCGCAUGUUGGAGUUUGAUCAAAAUAUUUUGUCAGAAUAAAAUGCUAAACAUCUGUUGAUUUCAAAACAACAAAGAGACAAAAGCAAGGCAUGUUUCGUUGAAGGAUGAGAUGUGAUCCCAAAACAAAAUGCAGAAUUCCAUAACAAUAUGAUUGAUUGUUCAUCACCAUUCUUGAAUCAGCUUUUCUGGCAAUAUCUGUGUUUUGCCAAGCACUUUCGAUCACAUGUCAUUUUGAAGAUGUUCGGGGGACAAUAUAGCCAAUGACACCCUCCUUCACCGACUCCACUUGUCUCUUGCUCACCAACUUUCGGACUCAAUUCUUGCAAUUCUUGCAAUUGUUCACUUGAAAUGGUUGAGGACCCCACCAUGACAUCAUAUCUCUUGUCUGGAUUAUACCACCUAGAAAACGGUGGUUGCAUGGGAUUUGUCGGAGUCUAGCAAGUCUAGAAUCUGGCAGAUGCUGGCAAAUAAACUCAUAUGACAACUAUUCAAUUGAAAUUCUUGCAACUAUUCCAUUGAAAUGGCCGAGGACCCAACCAUGACAUCACAUCUCUUGUCUUGAUUAUACCACCUAGAAAAUGGUAGUUGCAUGGGAUUUGUCAGAGUCUAGCAAAAGUCUAGAAUCUGGCAGAUUCUGGUAAAUAAACCCACAUAGCAAAGAAUGUCUAUCUUUGGCAAAGACAUUGGAGUAGUCGAUGAUACAACAAGACUUGGUUGGACCAACAUAAUUAAGGUUUUCCAUCGUCAGAUUCUUCUUUUGAUUCAUCUCUCAUCGUUUCUCUAGAAUCCUUGGCAGAACCUUCAAUCUUUCCCAUCUUGAUAGCUUGUUCAAUUUUUGGCAAUCCACACAACUUCAUGUCAAUCUUCCAAUGUUGUUGUUGUUGUUUUAGGAUUGUUGGAAACCCGUCAAUAUCUAGGUAAUCCUGGCAGUGCGCAAAAACAAAAAUGUAUGGAAUCAUAUAUUGUCAAAAUUGGAAGAGAAACUGAUGAAUCCACAACUCCUCUAUUUCCUCUUUGAUUCCUCACUGACGGUGCAACAAACAUCCACUUUUGUGUUUUAAUGCCAAUACUAGUAGGAGAAAAUUGUGGACAAUCUGAAAACCACUGCAUCCCUUCUUGGAUUUCCCAUUUACAGAUCCAUAAAUAGAUUCCUGCCGAGAGAUCUCUGCAACGGUGAAGUUUGAUGUCUGCUCCAUGUUUUUCAAACCAAAUCUGGCUCUUCAACAUGCUACAGUUUCUUCAUGCUGAAACUAAUGAGAGAAAUAUUUGUAGCAUAUGCAAUUAGUAAAUCCUCUCUUGCACUCUCAACUUGCAACAUCAUAAACAGAUUUCUGUAGAGAAAGCUCUGCCACGUUGAAGUUCGACGACUACUCAUAUUUUCAGACCAAGCCUGACUCCUCUGCCUAGUACGAUGUUUUGCUCGUGCCACUGGUGGGAAAAAAGUUUCAAAGCAUAUGAAAUUAAUACAUCCUCUUUUGUAUUUCCCAUUGGCAGAUCCAUAAAUAAAUCUCUACAAAGAGAGCUCUACCACGUAGAAGUUCAGUGUAUGAUCAUGGUUUUCGGACCAACAUCUUGUGCUGCUGACUGAAAUUGAGCUCAUAAUUAGGGUAACUUCAAAGCAGACUAAUGCACCAUGUACAGGAGGCUAGUAGUUGUUUGGUUCCAUUAGAUGAUGUGGAGGCGAUGAACACUUAACAGUGCAACUAGACAAGAACUAGAGUUGUCAUUAGUUGAUGACUGAAGGCAUUGUUGCUGUUGUUCAUGACUGAAAAGGAGAGGCAACUUCAAUUGAACGUGGACAAGCAGUGUUCCCACAGAAGACUGUGUAGACAUUCUCUUUCCAUUUGAUGCUCGACACUUGUUCGAGCAGAUCUGAGUCUAGCUACUUCACCUUUGAUGCUCUCAACCUCAAUCUGAUAAUGAGCCUCUAUCUAACACUUUUCUUCACCUCUAUCAUUUUUCUUCAAUCACGUGCAGCACAGCUUGUGCGGGGGACCUACCUUUCAACCUGGUACAUGCAUGAUAAAUGUAUGAAUAUGUAAUCUAUAUGACAAACUCGCCCUUCGAGGGGUGACAUAUGGUCGCAACUCUUGUAUGAUGAAACAAGAAUCUUGAUUCUUGCACAAACUCUACAAUGAAAAUGUUCUGAGCGACGGUCAUUGUGUCACCCAUAAGUCUGGAGUUCAAGAUGCUUCAAAAAGGGCUUGCUCGGAUGCAAAACAAUGUAUACGGAGCAUACAUCCUAAAGGUAGAUUCUAAUCUUUUUAAGUGAGACAAAAGGUAGGAUAUCAUCUUCUUCAUCGACAUUUGCUUGUCCGCUAGAGCUCAAAACAACGUUCAACUCCUCUACGUCAACAUCAACAAGACUAUCAUCGAAAACACGAAAAUUUGAAUUUUCUUCCAAUUCAAUCGAAGGAGCAACUCGAUAUGGUUCAACCAACUCACUAACUUGAAAGACUUCAUCCCACACACUUGUGUCUUCGUUCUCAUCCUAAACAACCUCGACACGACCCCGUGGUUUUGUUUUUAAAACGAACAACCAAUCAACUCUUGAUCGAUCCUUUCUAAAUGAAGGGGUGUAUGUGUAAUAAACUUGUUGACAUUACUUUGCGAAAACAAAGACAUCGUUUAUGUUGCAGAGUCUAGCUUUUGAGUUGAUUUCGACUAGACCAUGGUGUGUAUCAACUCUGAUUCCUCUGUCCGUCGUGUCAUACCAAUAGCGUUUGAAUAAAAACACUGUAUUCUGCUCGCUAUGAUAUUGUAGUUCGACGACCUCUUCUAAUCUUCCAUAGUAGUCAACUUUUAACUCACUACUUGUGGAUCCUUUAACACAAACACCACAGUUGUAUGUCUUUCUUCAUUGCCCGUAUUCUUCAGUAUGGAAAACAUAUCCAUUGACAAAAUACUUGUUAUAGCACUUAACUUUUCUUUCAGGCCCGAGGCUUAGUGAAGGCAAUGACUUAGACGCACUUCUUCCCAUUUGAUAAACCUUGUAUACAUGUAAUGUACAUCAAUAAACGGUAAAUGAACGAGAAUCUUGUAAUGACAUGCAUACGUACAGUAAUUUUGCAAGUUAGAAUGAGUUUGUGAUAGUGCUUACAUGUGUUCUAAACCAUGUGGCAAAUUGUUCAUCUUGUAAUUGAAAGAUCUGGGAGUCGGUCAGCUGCGAGUUAUUGGAGAGCAAAUAUUGUCGAUGUUGCCUGCAAGUGAUAAUGAGUGUAUGAUUUCACAAUAUAUAAUUAGCAGUAUAUUACUGACAAAGUUUAAAUAGUAUUACACAUAUAUAAACUUACUGAAUAAAUGGUCUUAACUCUUCACAGUUAAAUAGAACAUAGUUGUGUGCUUGUUUGAAUUCUAUUUCCGACAAAUAUCUUCCUCUUGUCGCACGUCAAAAACAAAUCCGUGCGCGGCAUCGACUGGCGAUUAUUCGUUCUGUUUUGCUGAUUUGGUUCUUUAGAGUCGCCACCUAGUAAUUCAUUGAGGGCUACUAGGAAACCUGAUGUACUGGACUUGUCAGAGAUCGCGGGUAAGGGACUGGUUGUGGUUAGGGAAGGUAUUAGCACCCCUAACGCACCCUACCUGAGGUAAGCUGCUUUGUGGACUUGAUGUGUUAAAGAAGUUUUAAAAAUUAUGUUCUUUCAUCGAAUUUUAGAAAAUACAACUUACAUGUAAGUUCAUAAUUCUUUAUCCGUGAUCAAAUCAGAAUAUUAAAUUCUUCUUUAUUCUUGCAAUUUUAUCAUAAUAAAAAAAACAUUCAUAAACAAAAAUACACACCACAUUCACUUUCAAGCUUUGUGGACUUGAUGUGAUAUUAAAAAUAAAAUUUUAGCCCAAUUAUAAGGCUUUGAUAAAUCAGUUAUUACUUUUCCAGACUAUUAUGUAGAUACAUGUUCUACAUUUCCAUGGAAAAUUCAACAUGAUUUUUAUCUGUCCUUUAGAUAUUUGUGCAUAUAAAAUAAAUUCCUUUUUUUUUAUUCAAUAACAUUCAAAAAAAAAAAUACAAGCACACAAACAUUUUUUUUAUUAUUAUUAUCACUUUCUCUGUCUUUUCUUUUCUUUUCUUUUACAUCCUUUUUUUUGUUCUUUUUAUACAUUACCUUACAAAUUAUAAAAACAAAUCAAACUAAAUAAAAAUGACAUUACAUAAUUUACAAUUUACAAAAACAGUCCCUAAACUCAAGAAAUUGCAUUGAAGGACACUGCCGGAACUGCCCUGAACUUGUGGCGGCGCGUCUUCCCACGUGCCACCGUCACUGGCGGCGCGUGAAUCUAGAAACAGCGGGAUCUGGUUCGGCUUCUCUCCUUCUUCCUUUCCUCGCCAGCGGUGAGCAACGCCGUCACCUGUAGAACACAAAAACGCAAGCAACAGUCUGUUUUAGUUAAUUUUUAGAUCUGUUUUCCAUCAUUAUCUGCUUCCCUUUCUUCUUUCUCCGGUCUAUUCUUGGGGAUUCACCAUCUUCUUCUCUGCUCAGGUAGUCGGGCGGCGGCUGGUUGAUGGUGGAUCUAUGGCCGGAUGUGGACGGCGCUGCUGGAGGAAGGCGUUGCUGCCUGAUUGUCGGUUGCGGUUGGUGCUGGACCUGUGGGGGCUGCCGUUGAAGGGGCUGGAAGUCAGAUCGUCUGAGAGAGAGGAGUGGUGGUUGAUUCUCCGUACCUGGCGAGAAGAAAAGGAAGUCUGAUCUGGGAGGAUCGGCCGGGGAAGCGGCUGAAGGAAGAAGAAAAACCGAAUCUAGAGGGGGGGAAACGGCGACCAGUUUUGAAAGGAAGCAGGUUCGGUUUUGGCCAGCGUUAUGAUCACGAUCGGUGAUGGGGUUCGGUGAGGAGGGGAAGAUCGGCUGUGGAGUGUGGUGGUGAGCGGCUGAAAAAAUCAAAGAAAAGGGGGCUCUGGUGAGGCCAAGAAGGAAAAAUUGAUUCGCCGGCUGUAAAAGGGAGAACCGGUUUUGGUUUGGGUGUGUCUGUGUUUGGUGCCAUGUCAUGUGCUCAGUAGUCCUUCGUGACAUGAAUAACCUCUGCAGUCUAGGUGUGAUCGGGAAAUAUCUAAGUUUUUCCCCUGCCAGUUCUGGGUUUGUAACGGGAAUACCCGCAUGUCAUGCACUCGGUCAUCUCAGCAUUUUCAAGGUAGUAUAACAUGUAGAAGUUAGGGCACAUGUCAAUUUUAUGGUAUCCUAAACCAAGGGGUUUCAUCAUGGACUUCGCAACAUAGAAGUUCUCUUUCAGCCUGUUCACUUCAGGUAAAAUGCUUCUUGCCCAAUCAAUAAUUUUUUCAUACCCGGCCUCACUCAGCCCGUGAUCUGACUUGAUGGUGAACACCUGUGCCACGGGCGACAAUUUACUGUGGUUUGUGCAGCCAUCCCAUAAUGGUUCGUCAGAAUCUUUCAACAAAUCAAAAAACCUAGCUGCCUCUGCAUUAGGUUCUUUUUCUACGAUUGGACAUUGAUUGACAUUACCUUGAUUCAUUCUCAUUGCAUCCAUAACCACAUUUCUGUAAGGAUUAGUGUUGUCAUUUCGCUUCAUGCACGUUGCUAGCACUAGAAGUUGACCCAACCACCGUUUCUCUCAUUCUCCUAUUACUAACAAAUACCUCUCCAUGUGCAUACCAACACUGGUAAUCCUCAAACCCUUUGUGUAGAAGAUGCAUCAUUACAACAUCUGGAUGCAGAUACUUUUUAUUUUGACACUUCCUGCAUGGACACCUAAUACCGCCUCCAGUAAAAUUUCUGGGAAUAGAUGUUGCGAAAUUAAUAAAACCCUGAACCCCGUUACAAUAAUCCAUCCUCCGCAAUCCUUGGGUGAAUCUAGAUACAUCCAUGAACGAUCAUCCAUGACUUCUAUCGAACCUCUAUAAAAUUAUGAUGACAUCAUGUAUUAAUUAACUAAGUUAGGUAAAUAAACUUGCAAAAAUAUUACUUUACCUCGAGAUUAUCCAACAAACCAAUCACAACUUCUCAUAAAUAUUAAAUAUUCAUUAUCAUUUAUCAACGUCCAUACAAAUUAAUAUAUAUAAAUUAACAGAAAUUACCACUCUGCAAUACCAUCGAUAAAACUUAAAAAGGACCCAUUAAGCAAGCUAUUAAUUAUUUCAAAACAGAACAUGUAAUUCGGUAAUUCCACAAAGUUUUAACAAUUUACAAACAAAUACAAUCUUACAAAAUCUAAAACAAACCAUAACAGGUAUAAAAUUAUACAUUCAUAUACUACAAGUUUGUUUGAGAAAUAACAAUAAAACAUGUACAUCUACUAACAAAAAUACAUAUACUAAAAAACAAUAAAAUUGACAUUUAAAUGUUAAAAUUUAAAUAGAUAGAAUUACUUACAAAAAUUGAUAAAAUCCGUCGGUAAAUCAGAACACGGAUGUUGUGACCACAAAAUUUCAAGAAAUACAACUUGUUGUGUUGAGAUGAGCAAGAUUUUUAUUUGGGGGCAAGGGGGGGCUGAUUAUUUGCAGAUGGGGAGAGUUAGGAUUAGGAAGAAAAAGGAGAUAUGGGGAAGGAGAGUGUCGACAGAGUGGCCAUAUAUUUACUUUUUCCGACGGCCUCAUCGACGGAAUAACACCGUCGGUGACUCCGUAGGUCAUUCCGACGGGAAAUCGACACGUCACCGCACGAACCUGCUUUUCAAAUCCCUCGGUGAUUCCGUCGGUAUUUUUUAUGGUGCAACGGUCGCGUCACCCAUACGGAUCUGCCGUUUCAAUUCUGUCGGUGAUUCCGUUGGUAUUUUGAAGUCCCAUGACACGUACUUGUCAACCAUUUUGAAUCCGUCGGUGAUUCUGUCGGAAAAAUCACCCGCCAAACCUCCACGUCAGCUACCCGCCCUUUUUUCAUUAAUUUUGAUUAUUCUGUCCGUAAUUCGGUCGGUAAUUACCAACCAAAUGACGGACAGAAUAAUUCCAUCGGUAAUUUCGACCGAAAAAUACCGACAAAAAUAUUCCUCGGGGAUUCCGUUGAUAUUAAGCGAAUUUCUGGUAGUGAUUUGAGCAACUCUGAAACAUGAAGCUAGUCAAUAGGCGUCUAUAAGUUGUACAGAGAUUUUACAAUAGAAACUAUUCAAGUAAGAUUUUGGUGCAAUCAGUAUUCUAUAUGCACGAACAAAUUUGGGGCUUCACUGUACUACCUCAGAUACUCUCAAAAAAUGCUUCUUGGAAUUCGGAAGUUUAGACGAUCAUCGGUUAACAUGUCUGGUGUUGGUGCUUCAUGAAAUGAUGUUACCGUUUCUCUUUCUGAACGUUAUUCCAGGUUGGAAAUUCAAGUAAUUAGUUCAAAUCCUAGAAGAUGAGUGGUGGCUUAGAAUGCUGUGAAAAAAUCGUUCCCCUGUUCAUUUUUCAAAUUAGAAAAGACAUAACUUUUUGCUUGAACUUCUAGAAUAUAAAAAAAUCUUACUUUUAUAUCUAGACACUUUCCAUCUAUGAUCUUUAAAUCUGAAGACAUAUCAUCUGGUUUUAAGAAAGUGCUAUUAACAUACCAAACUUUAUUAGAUUGUUGUUGUGCACUUAGGAAGAAAUAAAAUACUUGUCCUCUAUUGUUUUCAAUAGCAUGAUCAGCUUCAUAGUUUUCUACGUUGUCUUUUUACUAGAAGUACCUUCGUGAAUGUUGGGAAUUUCUGUCUUUUGCAUCUAUACCAGCACUCUUUUACUUAGUGUCCACCUCAUUUUCAAGUUCAUGUCGCUGGAUCCAGCGGUCAAGAGAAAAUCAUGUCAUUGACACUAAUUUAGACCAUCAAAAUGAUUGAUAUUUGUGUUAAAUGGUUCCUUUUAACUGAGAGAAUUCAUAUUAGGUGUUUUUCUUACCUUUAAAGUUUGUGAAAAAACAAAUAUUAUCUCAAGCUGAUUUUUGGUUUCAUGUUCAUUUCUAUUUUUUAGAGGGUUUGUUGGUUUUUUAGGCUAAAAAUAUGUUUAUCAUGGUUCUUAAGGUUUUUUAUAGGUGUUUUGGGUCAAAAUGAGUUUUGAGUAAAAAAACUUAAGCCUUGAUUUUUCAACCACUACAGUGGUUGGAAUCCGGAUAAGAUCAGACGACGCGUUGUCUGUCUCAAUAGGCAACGCAUCAUCUGAUUGUUUUAAAAAAAUAGAGGUGGACGACAUGUCAUCUGCUCUAAGUGCAGCGAAAAAAAUGGGUCCAGUUAGGUGAGCCCUAAUGAAAUGGGCCAGGCCAGGCAACACUUGACCGUUUUUUCCCUUAUUUUUUUCAAUUCAUCCUUAUUUUUAUAUGUUUUUUUGUAAAAUAAAAAAAUAUUUAUAUUUAGAUUAAUACCUCUUUUCUUUUUGUAUUUUGUUCAGAAAGUCUUUUAAAUGAUGAUUAUUUUUUUGUUAUGUUUUUAAUUUUUGAAGAGGUCUUUCUGAUUCAUUUAUAUUUUUUUUAUCGUUUAUGUAGAAGAAUUAUAUUUUUGAAAAUAAAAAAUAUUUAUUUUCAAAUAAUAUUUCUACAGAGAGGUCGCUGGAUCCAGCGAUAAAAAAGAAAAUCAUGUCGUUGACACUAAUUUAGGCCACCAAAAUGAUUGAUAUUUGUGUUAAAUGGUUCCUUUUAACUGAGAGAGUUCAUAUUAGGUGUUUUUCUUACCUUUAAAGUUUGUGAAAAAACAAAUAUUAUCUCAAGCUGAUUUUUGGUUUCAUGUUCAUUUCUAUUUUUUAGAGGGUUUGUUGGUUUUUUAGGCUAUAAAUAAGUUUAUCAUGGUUCUUAAGGUUUUUUAUAGGUGUUUUGGGUCAAAAUGAGUUUUGAGUAAAAAAACUUAAGCCUUGAUUUUUCGACCACUACAGUGGUUGGAAUCCGGAUAAGAUCAGACGACGUGUUGUCUGUCUCAAUAGGCGACGCAUCAUCUGAUUUUUUUUUUAAAAUAGGGGUGGAUGACAUGUCAUCCGCUCUAAGUGCAGCGAAAAAAAUGGGUCUAGUUAGGCGAGCCCUAAUGAAAUGGGCCAGGCCAAGCAACACUUGACCGUUUUUUUCCUUAUUUUUUUCAAUUGAUCCUUAUUUUUAUAUGUUUUUGGUAAAAUAAAAAAAUAUUUAUAUUUAGAUUAAUACCUCUAUUCUUUUUUAUUUUGUUCAGAAAGUCUUUUAAAUGAUGAUUAUUUUUUUGUUAUGUUUUUAAUUUUUGAAAAGGUCUUUCUGAUUCAUUUAUAUUUUUUUUAUCGUUUAUGUAGAAGAAUUAUAUUUUUGAAAAUAAAAAAUAUUUAUUUUCAAAUAAUAUUUCUAAUACGUGUAGCCUUGCAUAAUGUUUUUUUUUUCUUUUUAUUUUAUUCAAUCAAUCUAAUGUGUUUGUCCAUUUCUUUUAUCAAUUGAUUGAAUAAAAAUACAUUAUAAUAAUCGUGUAAAUAUCCAGUCUUGCGAUAUUAAAUAUCUUGAUCCACACAUGUAUCUUGAUUUUUCAAGUUUUAUUUUUAAGUAUUGUUAAUGACUUAUUAUUAAUUUAUUAGCACACAUAGUUCUCGGUUUACUUGAUUACAUGUAUUUUUGAUCUACACUUCAAUUUUUUGAAUUAUAGAAAUGCAUUGAAAAAACUUAUUUAUAUAAUGUUUUUAUAGAAAAUAAAAAUAUCUGAUCCGUAACGGAGCGCGGUUCAUAUAACUAGUAAAUACUAAAUUGAAGUGAUAAAAAAUAACAUAAAGCACAAGUAAAUUACAUAUACAAGUGAUCAAUGAUAGAGGCUCCUCUAUGUAUAGAUAAUGGAGCAUUGAUUCUUAAGUUUAGGGAGACACAUGGUGCCCGUGUCAGUUUAUAUUGGAUCCUGUGCUUGUAAGUAAUGAUGGAUUCUCAUGAGUCCUACUAUUUAACAUGCUUAAGAAUAAAGUUGACAUGUUGGAUAAUUGAUUGAUCUCUUAGUUCAAGUAAUCUGAUUCAUUCUUCAUAGUUAAUGUAUCUAGUGACUUGAUAUAAAAAGCCUAGUGGGUUGGUAACUGGUAGCAUGUGAUGUCUAGUAAGCUAGGUGACAGGUAACUAGUACCUAUAAAAAGUCCCAUUUGAUGGACGUGGGGAUUCUCAGAUGGUAAAGUCGAUAACUUUAUGGAAAGAGAAAGUGCAAUAAUAUUUUAAAGAGAUAUACUCUGAAAAUAUAUACAGUUAUACACAAUAGAAAAUGAAGAGAUUGUGAACCUUUAACUUGAUGGAUUCAUGGUGUAUUUAUAGCUUAUAAAUUUUAUCCUUUUAUGGAGAGGAGGGGCUGAAGUGUAAUUUCAAUAUUGUGAUAUUUUGAGUUGUAUUCCACUCAAAAUAAUAUGUAUUUGAUCAAUAUAAAAUAUCAAAAGAUGUAAGUUGGAUUUUGAAAAAUUCUCUAGUGAGUAUUGGGCUCGGAUAAGGUGCCCGAGCCCAUUGGAGGUGAAAGCAGGUUCGGGAGUACUACCUGGACUCAAACACACUAAGCUCAGGCGUGAAAACCUGUUCCCAUGAUGGCUAUAGGGUGCAUGCCCAACACCAUUUGGGCGUACACCCUACAUAGGUACACAUACAUUGGGGUGUAUUGAGCGUACAUACACUGGGCAAAUGCCCAAUGCACUGCAUAAUGCCCAUGCAUUAGACGUUCAUACGCCCAUUAAGGAGCAUGGGCUUGGGCUCCUUGCCCGAGCCCAUGUUCUUGGUGCGUGGAUAGCCCGAGCUCAUGUUCCUUGGGUGGUUUUUGAGUUUUUUUUUUCUCUUUUAGAGGAUUUCUUUGGGUCUAUUUUGAGGGAUUUUUUUGGUCAAUUUUAUUUGUAUCCAUCAGAUUCUAUUAUCAAUUUAAAAAGUCUGAAGUGAUAGAUUAAAAAUAUAUUUUGUAUAUAAGUUCCUCAUUUUCCAUUCGUAACCCAACAACACAUCUUGAAACAUUAAACUGACUUAAACCUUCAAAUAGAGAAUUGAAUUUUAAUGAAAUUUAACCUUUUUUUACAAUAUCUGACACUAAGCAACGAAUAGCUUCUAUAAAGAGGAUUUUUUAGGGAUUUUUUUUUAAUUCUUUUCUAUUUAGUGUAAGAAGUUAAAUUUUAUGUUUAAUAUUUUUAUUUUUCAUAGUUUAUUUAGAAUUUUUAUUAAUUUUUUUAUUUUUAGGUUUCUAGUUUGUUUAGGUUAGUUUUUUAAGUUUAUUUAAGGAGUUGUAAACCUCUUAGUAAGGAAAACUACAUGAACAUAAAAUAUUCAGUAAUAAAAUUAUAAUUUAGGGUUUUGUGUGACAAUUUUAUUUAACUUCAAUGAUACUAGUGGUUAUGUCUUUAUAGCUUAUUGUUUUUAUGUUUGUGUUUCCGUUUAUGUUAGUUGGUAUUAAAGUUCAAUGAUACUAGUGGUUAUUCGCUUGCUAUGUGCUAGAAUAACAAUGAUUAGAAAAUGCUAUGUGCUAAAAUAACAACUCUAAAAUAAAGAAAAUGUAAUAAAAUUUCUAAAAAAACUAAGAGAAAUAAAAUUACUUCUUUCAUGAAUUCAAUCUUGAUUUAUAAUAGAACUCAUGUUUGGAGGCACUUAGGCCUUUUCAACACAGUUAUUUUAUAAUUAUCUAUUUAGAUGGAAGGCAAUUAAGUCUUUCACCAUAUAUAAAAUUAAUUUUAAAAAAAGAUGGUUGGUAAAUGCCACUCACAUGCCAGUAAGUAGGAGGUAUUCAUGUUUUUUAGGCGAUACAUAUGGCACCUUACAAUGGUCAAAUGUCGUUGUUCGCUACAGUGUGUAAAGUAGAGCAUCAUCAUUUUCAAAGUGAUAGGGCACAUAUUCACAAUGGAGGUGAGGUUAAGCUCUGAUGAAUCUUUUUUUUCUUCUUUUUCUUUUCUCUCUCCUAGCCUCAAAAUUUUCACUAGCCCUUUAAAAAAUUAAUUGUGUCAUCCAGUUUGGUCUUUAUUCUUUUGAUUGCUAUUUGUUUUUUCAAUUUUAUUCCUCAUCAUUUUAUCUUGUUUAAUUUUUGUGUCCAAUUUUGGUCCUCAUGCUUUGAUUGCUAUUUUUUUAAUCAUUUUCUUAAUUUAUUUUAAAUUUUAAUUUAGUCCCUCAUUGUUUUAUUUCAUUUAAUUUUUAUGCCAAAUUUAAUCUUUAUGUUUUUUAUUGCUAUUUGUUUUGUUUAUCUAAUUUUGGAUGAUUAGGGAUUUUUCUUGGUAUUUUUUAGAGUUUGCCUUAAAUGGUUUAAUCUUGAUCUCAUAACUCAAGUCACUAGUUUUGAGAAUUAGCCCGAUUUAACUUCAAUAUUUUUUAUGCCGUUUUCUUAAAAUUGAUUAUUUUUUAAUUUUAUCAUUUCAUUUUAGGUUAUUGGAUCUUGAGUUUCAUGGUUUUUUCCACUUUUCUUUUUCUAUUUUAUCCUAGGUCAUGGGUUUGUUGGGUGAACCCAGAUUCAUUCAAGUUUUAAUUUUUAUUCAGUCUUGAGUUUCAUGGUUUUUAUUUAAUUUUUUUAUUUCAUCAUUCGACAUUGAGUUAUUGGGUCAUUUGAAAUUCAUUAUUAUGCCUUAAGCUUUGUGAUUUUAUUUUUUUUUCAUUUUUCUUUUUGUGGGGUUAACCUAGGUUGACUUCGGAUUUUUUUGGUAUUUCUUUUAUUUUUCUUUGAUCUUUUUUUCUAGGUCAUUUUUAUUUUGAAUAAUUUUUUAUCCCGAUCACAUUAUGUGGAUUGCGAGUUAGUUGAGUGAAUCUUAGCUAUCUCAAUUUGUUUUACGUUGCUUUUUUUUAAUGAUUUUUUUAUUUCAAUUUAAUUCUUUGACAUUAGAUUGUUGGGUCAUGAUCUUAGUGAUUUUUUCCACUUUCCUUUAUAUGAAGUUGGCCCAAGUUACAAGUUAAUCAAAUUAACCCGGUUUAUAUGAGUGGGGCACAAGUUACAAGUUAAUCAAAUUAACUCGGGUGGACUCAAUUGUUUUCUUGACAUUGACUUCGAUCUUUUUAUUUAAGUUUAUUUUUUAAUUUAUUUUUUUUAUUUUGAUCUCAUAUUGAGGGUAGUGGGUAGUUAGGUGAGCCCAGGUUGACUCGUGUUGAUGUGAAUCUCGUGAUCACGUAGUCACGCAACCCACAAUCAAAAUUAAGAUCUAAUCCCGGAAAGCCGAAAUAGAUCUGAUAGGAGUCUGACACAAUGGAAACUUGCCCCAAGGCACCAACACUAUUGGAAUGAGUAGAAUGACGCCACGAAGCCAAUUAAUCUUCGAUAAAUCAGAUUCAAUUCGUUCAAGAACUAAAGAAUGCAAGAAUCACUCUCACACAUUAAAACUGAAAAAUUCAGAAGUAAUAAUCAUCAAAGCUCCCAAAAUUUUGGCUUGCAUGAGUUUAAAUAGUUCUUGAAAAAUUAACCCUAAUGGACCCCUUAUAUGGACUUAUAUGAGGUCCACUCAAAACUGAUGCAAAAUCCUAAACUGAAAAGCCCAUAACUUAAUCCAAACAAGCCUUGGAUCCUAGCUGAAAACAAAGUAUUAAUUAAGCUCAAACAUAAAAGAAAAUAAUAAAAAUAACUAACUUGUCAUUAAAUACCACCAGCCCUUCUUUCUUUGUGUAGUUAGGAUGAAUAAGGGAAUCCUUAUAAGAAAAUUAUUCUAAAACAUUAAUGAAUCAUUGCCACACUUGGAGAAUAUUAUAUUGCAGCUCAUUAAAGAUCCUUAAGGAACUAGGAAAUUCCCAAAACAAGCUCCCACAUCCUUGUAGGAAAAUGAUCCUUGCUGAACAGGAAGUCCACAAGUUAAAAGGAAGUAAAUAAUAGAAUUCGCAUAACCUGUUCGGACCUAUAUUGCAAGUCUUUUCCGAACAUGGAUUCUUCUAAAAAUGUACCCCAACAUAGAAAAACAUUUUUGAAAUCUUCUAGUAAAGUUUCAGCUCGAUCCAACGGUUGGAUUUGAAGUUAUGCUCAAUAAUGUAAAACUGAACGGUAGAAACUUUUACGCCAAAAUCCAAAUCUGACAUUGCUUGGUUCGUAUCACAAGGCUGAACUGUAUCACGUGUUUUUUCUUCGAUGUUUUUAUUUUUAAAUUUUAUUUUUCAAGUUUUAUCUUUUGAUAUUAGGUUAUUGGGUUUUACUUAAAGGAUAAAGGGGGGGUUCAUUGGAAUCUAAAAGUAAGUUUGACAUAUUCAUGAUGAAUAAAAGUACAAAAGUAGAUUAAUUGAAAUAUUAUUAGUUUAAUUAUAUAAAUAUUAUGUAAAGUUCGAUGUCAUUUAUCCACACACAAAAACAAAUUGCAAUAUUAACCCGGAGGUAAGAAGUCUAGGGUAUCUUGAGAAGAGUGAUCAUGGAUCCAAGGUUAAUUUUGAGAAUUUGUUUCAAAGAUGUAAGUAGAGAAAAUAACUUUUUGAUUGGGAUAAAUAUAAUAUUGAAAUUAAAAUUUUGAUAAUUCUAGUUUUUUUGUGAAUCGGAAUCAAAUACCAAAAUUUGAUAAGGAUGAUGAAAAUGAUGGUAAAGAAAAAGAUUUAAAUGCAAAAUUUUUAAUUAGUGAUAUCCACGAGAAGAUAACAAAAAUAGAUGUGGUUACGAUGCAUAGCGUGAAGGAUGUGUGUUUGAGAAAAAAAAUUAGAAUUAAUGAGGUGAAAGCUGAUGCUAUUGCAAUCCAGCUCAUGCAAGACUUCCAAGUCGUUGGCAGUAUCCAAUUCGAAUAUUAUAGACUUCGUCUAAGGUAGUUUACGAAGAAAGUACCCGUAAGACAUGGUUAUAAUAAAAAGUCGUUGGCAGUAUCCAAUCGAAUAUUAUAGACUUCGUCUACGGUAGUUUACAAAGAAAGUACCCAUAAGCAUGAUUACAAUAAAAAGUAUACAUUUCCUGAAAAAAAGAAAUGAAAAACACUACAAAGCUGAGAAAGGCAGACAAUAUCAAUUGUCAAAAUCUAAGGAUACUCAAAUGAGUUUCGGAAGGAAAACCUGAAAAUGUACGAGAGAACACAACCCCAUCAUUGAAGCUGCUAUUUAUAUAUAUAUAUAUAGACAUGAUCUAAUGCUAGCAAGCUGCGAAUCAUAUAUUUUAAGCAGCACACAUUGAGAAAUGAUUUCAGUCUCAUCUUGCCUUUGGGUCAAUUAUUUUAGAAAACACACCCCUUGCUCUUUGAUCUGGAUCACUUUGGGUGACACUUUCACGAGUGCUGAUAAGCCACGAUCUGAAGAAUCUCAAAGUCCACGUCAUUCUAAGAGGAUCCAUAAACCAAAUCCCAAAUAUCUGGGAUGAGCUGAUCGUGAGUUAAUGCAUGCAUAACGGAAGAAGCCAUUAAACAGGGGUCGUGGCUAUCAAGGAGUAAUGGAAGGAGGGGUUACACCCGUUAUAUCACCAUUUAUGGUCAUCAGUUAUAUCUUAAUUAAUUCCAAGUUAUUAGUAGCUUUAUUGUUCCCUUUGUAUUUCAGUUUUAUUUGUAAUUCACUUUGGCUAUUUAAGCAGCUAAAGUUUUAAUAAGAAGAUAUAAUUUCAGUAAAAAAGUGUGGUUUAGUUCUCACCCGAAGAGAACCUUUAUAAUUUGUGCUGGGACCUAACAUUGGUAUCAGAGCACGUUAUGGGAACCAACAAGGAGCGUAUUGAGCACCUGGAAUCUGGACUUGGGAUAGUUCAAGAUGGUCUUCAGAGAAUGGAGUUGGGAGUGAAUGAUAAACUCCAACAUUUGGAAGACACUCUUACUCGACUUGCCAAUAUGUUGAGGCAAAUCAAGAGAAUCCUAACCGCGACAAUUAUCAUAGAGAAGGCAACAAUGGGGGUCGGCAGAUUAUCUCCUCCAAAACAGCAAAACUGGACUUCCACGAUUUUCAGGGGAUGACCCAACCGAAUGGUUCAACCGUGUGGAACAAUUCUUUGAAUACUUGGGCACAGUUGAAAACCAAAAGGUAGCCAUGGCUGCUUACCAUCUUGAAGGGGAGGCCAACCAGUGGUGGCAAUGGCUUCAAAGGACGUUGCAGGGAGAAGGGCAAGUGAUUUCAUGGGCAAAUUUCAAGAAGAGUUAUGGGCUCGUUUCGGACCAUCAGGCUGUGAAGAUUUUGAUGAAGCUCUCUCAAAAAUCAAACAGGAGGGACAUUGAGGGAUUACCAACGGGAGUUCGAGAAGCUUGGAAAUAAGGUACAAGGUUGGACACAGAAAGCAUUAGUGGGAACAUUCAUGGGGGUCUGAAGACAGAAAUUUCUGAAGGGAUUCGGAUGUUUAACCACAAUCCCUCAAGGAGGUCAUUAAUCUAGCAAGAAUGAGAGAUGAGCAACUUACAAGACAGAGGCGGUUCUACGACCAGCACCUCCAAAAAUUCCUCUAGCUCUUCCACCACCCAAUCGGGUAACUCCUGCUAGUCGGUCUACUCCGCUUAGGCGUUUGUCAUGGGAGGAGAUGCAAAGAAGAAGAGUGCAAGGCCUUUGUUUCAAUUGUAAUGAAAGGUUUACAGCCGGGCACAAAUGUCAACAACCUCAGCUACUACUCUUGGAAGGUUACAUAGAUGCUGGUAAUAUGUCCUAUGAAGAUAUUACUUAUCCACAAACCAGGGGGUUUGUACAAGGAGAAGAUACAGUAGAGGCAUGCGAACCAGAAUUGGAACCUGAAAUCACUCUGCAUGCAUUAACAGGGUGGACAGCCCCAAGAACAAUGCGAGUGACAGCGAAGGUGGGCUCUCAUACGGUGAUGGUGUUGAUAGACAGUGGAUCCACACACAACUUCAUCAGUGAUCGCUUAGCAAACACACUACAUCUACCAGUGAAACCAACCAAGUCGUUCACUGUUCGGGUUGCUAAUGGCCAGCGUCUACAUUGCCAAGGACAAUUUGAUAAGGUACCCGUGAAUUUACAAGGCACUGAAUUUUAUCUCACACUCUUCUCUCUGCCAUUAUCAGGGCUUGAUCUAGUGUUGGGCAUCCAAUGGUUAGAAUUGUUGGGAUCAGUGGUUUGUAACUGGAAAGACUUAACUAUGGACUUCAUUUGGAAUAAUCAAGCUCGAAGGUUGCAAGGAGUGGGGAGCAAUCUAUUCAAGAGGCUACUUUAAAACAAGUCUCAAAAGAUUGUCGACAGCAACAGAUGUUAUUUGCAGUAUGUUUCCUUUCAACCACGAGGACAAAAUUCUGAAGGCAGACUAUGGCAAUCAAGACAUACAGCAGUGAUAAAGGAGUAUCAGGAUGUAUUCCAAGAACCCUCAUGCUUACCACCUGUGCGGAGGUGACCAUUGCAUUGCACUUAAGGAGGGCACUGAGCCGGUUAAUGUACGACCCUACGAUAUGCUCACUUUCAGAAAGAAGAAAUUGAAAAGCAAGUGCAGGAGAUGCUGAAAUCAGGACAUAUACGUACUAGCACCAGUCCUUUUUCUUCACCAGUGUACUCGUACGAAAAAAAUGGUAGUUGGAGAUUUUGCACGGAUUAUCGCGCACUAAAUAAUGCAACUAUCAAGGAUCGGUUCCCCAUUCCAACCGUGGAGGAUAUGCUUGACGAAUUAUAUGGAGCGGCAUAUUUUACGAAACUGGAUUUACGAGCUGGAUAUCACCAAGUAAGGGUCAAUCCUUCUGAUAUUUCUAAGACUGCUUUUCGUACUCAUAAUGGCCAUUAUGAAUACCUCGUUAUGCCUUUUGGCCUAUGUAAUGCACCUUCCACAUUUCAGGCCAUCAUGAACACUAUUUUUCGACCUCACCUUCGAAAAUUCAUUCUAGUUUUCUUCGAUGAUAUCCUUAUCUAUAGUACUACAUGGGACAAACAUGUGGAACACAUUGCACAAACUCUGCAGAUUUUAAGACAACAUCAGUUUUUUGCUAAAGCUAGCAAAUGUGUUAUCGGCCAACAAGAAUUGGAGUAUCUGGGGCAUAUCAUUACACCGCAAGGAGUGAAAGUUGAUGACCAAAAGAUUACAGCCAUGCUUGCAUGGCCUCGACCUACUAAUAUUUCUGAAUUGCGUGGUUUUUUAGGAUUAACAGGUUAUUACAGGAAGUUCGUCCAAAAUUACGGCAUCAUUGCUCGACCCCUUACCAAUCUAUUAAAGAAGGGGAAAUUUGGAUGGCAUGAUGAGGCAGAGGCAGCCUUCUCAGCUCUCAAGCAAGCCAUGACAACCACUCCCACUUUAGCCAUGCCUAAUUUCAAUGAUUCAUUCACAAUUGAAACAGAUGCUUCAGGAGAUGGUAUUGGUGCGGUUCUAACACAGCAAGGCAAACCCAUCGCCUACAUGAGUCGGGCACUGGGAGUCACAAAAAAAUCCUGGUCCACCUACGCCAGAGAAAUGCUUGCAAUUGUAGAAGCCAUCCGUUUAUGGCGUCCUUAUAUACUGGGAAGAAAAUUCUUCAUUGAAACCGACCAGCGUAGCUUGAAGUAUCUACUGGAUCAACGAAUAGCAACACCAGAACAGCAAAAGUGGGUAGCCAAACUACUGGGUUAUGACUAUGAAAUUCGUUAUCGUCCAGGCCGCGAAAACUCAGCUGCAGAUGCACUCUCCCGCAGGCCAAACAGCCCCACACUUCAUCAUUUGCACGUGGCCACCGUAACCUUGUGGGAUGAAAUCAAAGAAGCAUACAUUGGGAAUAAAUACAUUCAGUCAGUAGAGCGGGUAGCCAAGGCUCAACCCAAUGGACCAUAUUCACAACGCCAAGGAUUGUGGCUAUUCAAGCACAGAGUGAUAAUUCCUACAUGUGAACUGCUACGCACCAAGUUAUUGUAUGAAGCACACAAUACCAAGAUUGGCGGACACUCUGGAGUCUUACGAACAGUCAAACGACUAGCUCAUCAAUUUUACUGGCCUAAGAUGCAACAAGAUGUCCAAGAAUAUGUCCGACGCUGUGAAGUAUGCCAAAGAAUGAAAUCAGACACUCUUUCCCCUGCUGGACUCCUACAGCCUUUACCCGUUCCGUGUCAAGUUUGGGAUGAUAUUACUCUUGAUUUCGUUGAAGGAUUGCCAACCUCCCAUGGAAAAGAUACAAUCUUAGUAGUGGUUGACAGGUUAAGCAAAUUUGCCCAUUUCUUGCCCUUAUCCCAUCCAUUUACUACAAAAGGAGUAGCUGAAAGAUUUGUGGAAGGAAUUAUUAAGCUACAUGGCAUUCCUAAAUCAAUCAUUAGCGAUCGAGAUCCCAUCUUUAUCAGCCAAUUUUGGCAACAGUUAUUUCGCUUGUCAGGGACACAACUAAAACUCAGCUCUGCCUAUCAUCCACAAACAGACGGCCAAACCGAGGUGGUAAAUCGAUGUGUUGAACAAUAUCUUCGCUGCUUUGUUCAUCAAUGGCCGCGCAAGUGGAGCACCUAUAUUCCUUGGGCUGAGCUCUGGUAUAACACCACAUUCCAUGCCUCUACUAAAAUGACUCCAUUUCAGGCAUUGUAUGGUCGACUGCCUCCUCUCCUUCCCAAUUACCAGGGUGGUGAUGCGUCGGUGCAUGAGGUGGACAAGAAUCUCAUGUCUAGAGAUGAGUUACUAAGUCACCUAAAGACAAAUUUGGAGAAAUCCAGCAAUCGUAUGAAGCAGACAGCAGACAAAAAAAGAAGGGAGGUGACUUUUGCAGUAGGUGAUAUGGUGUUUCUCAAGUUACACCCCUAUCGACAACAAUCGGUUUUUAAACGUGUGCACCAAAAGCUUGCAAGUCGAUUUUACGGCCCUUAUCCAGUAGUUCAAAAAAUCGGCGCAGUUGCUUACAAACUUCAACUACCAGAGGGCAGUCGUAUUCACCCGGUCUUCCACGUCUCUCUACUCAAGAAAUAUGUGGGCGACCUAGUGGUGUCAUCUACAGAAUUACCACCAGUGAAUGAUGAAGGCCUAAUUAUACUGGAACCACAACAGAUUUUGGACACUCGCUGGGUCAAACAGGGAAACAAAUUUGAAGAGGAGAGCUUGAUUCAGUGGCAACGACUACCAGCAGAGGAGGCCACAUGGGAACUAACUAAGUCGUUGCUUGAGCAAUUUCCACACAUCAACCUUGAGGACAAGGUUUUGCUUGGUGGGGGAGGUAUUGAUAAGCCACGAUCUGAAGAAUCUCAAAGUCCACGUCAUUCUAAGAGGAUCCAUAAACCAAAUCCCAAAUAUCUGGGAUGAGCUGAUCGUGAGUUAAUGCAUGCAUAACGGAAGAAGCCAUUAAACAGGGGUCGUGGCUAUCAAGGAGUAAUGGAAGGAGGGGUUACACCCGUUAUAUCACCAUUUAUGGUCAUCAGUUAUAUCUUAAUUAAUUCCAAGUUAUUAGUAGCUUUAUUGUUCCCUUUGUAUUUCAGUUUUAUUUGUAAUUCACUUUGGCUAUUUAAGCAGCUAAAGUUUUAAUAAGAAAAGAUAUAUAAUUUCAGUAAAAAAGUGUGGUUUAGUUCUCACCCGAAGAGAACCUUUAUAAUAUUGUGAUGGGACCUAACAUUGGUAUCAGAGCACGUUAUGGGAACCAACAAGGAGCGUAUUGAGCACCUGGAAUCUGGACUUGGGAUAGUUCAAGAUGGUCUUCAGAGAAUGGAGUUGGGAGUGAAUGAUAAACUCCAACAUUUGGAAGACACUCUUACUCGACUUGCCAAUAUGUUGAGGGCAAAUCUACGAGAGAAACAAAAUGUACGAGAGAACACAACCCCAUCAUUGAAGCUGCUAUUUAUAUAUAUAUAUAUAGACAUGAUCUAAUGCUAGCAAGCUGCGAAUCAUAUAUUUUAAGCAGCACACAUUGAGAAAUGAUUUCAGUCUCAUCUUGCCUUUGGGUCAAUUAUUUCAGAAAACACACCCCUUGCUCUUUGAUCUGGAUCACUUUGGGUGACACUUUCACGAGUGCUAACAGUGCUCCUUGAAUGUGACUCCGCUCCACUAAACAUGUCAUCGUCAUCAGUGGUCAUGGCAUCUCGAUGUGGUGAAAAUGAGCUUUUAUUUUCCAUAUUGAUCCCUUCUACACUGUUGGCAUUUUUCUCAGCAGAUUGUUGAAGCUGCAAUGCAAAUUCAAGGCCCCAAACGACAUCACCCAUUUUAGGGCGUUCAAUUCCUUGACCAUGUAAGCAACUGUUAGCAAUCUCUGCGAACUUAUUUAAAGAGACGGGGGCAACCUCGCCCUUUAAAUGUGGAUCCACGAUCUGAUCAAGGGUUCCUCUUUGGUAACAUUUUCGUGCCCAGUCAGCUAAGCUUGCUUGAUCUUUCGGUGAACUUGGAAUCACUGGUGGCCUUGCACAUAGCACCUCAAACAAAACCACACCGAAUGAAUAAACAUCAGAUUUUCUGUCAGGUGUUGCCUACGGUAGUACUCUGGAUCCACAUAUCCAAUGCUACCUCUAACUACAGUGCUAACAUGGGUUUGGGAUGUACUAGUGGGACCCAAUCUGGACAGCCCAAAAUCUGAAACCUUAGCCACCCAAUUCUCAUCUAACAAUAUGUUUGUUGACUUCACAUCACGGUGAAUGAUUGUGUGCUUUGCUCCUGAAUGAAGAUAAUGCAACCCUUUUGCAGCACCGAUGCAUAUUUCUAGCCUUUGCUUCCAUGGAAGAGGAGAGUUCUUUGUUUUGUAUAGAUGUUCUCUAAGAGUGCCUCUUGACAUGUAAUCGUAUACAAGGAUCAUCUCGCCAUGAUCAUCACAGUAUCCAAUCAGCGACACUAGAUGGAGGUGGCGCAGAUUGGAUAACAUCUCAAUCUCUGUCUGGAACUCACGUGUCCCUUGCUUUGAUGAUGAAUCUAGUCGUUUGAUGGCUACUGCACCGUAUUCAAUGUAUCCUUUAUACACAGUACCAAAUCCCCCUGAACCAAUAAUAUUUUGAUCAUCAAAGUGUCCUGUUGCUUCGUUGAUUUCGAAAAAUGUAAACCGUCGGCAAAGAUCAGUAGGAGUGAUGAAGAGAUUGUAGUCGUGGACCUAGAUGUUUGUGAUAUUAGAGUCCAGGAGGAUUUUUCCUCACUCUUGCUAGGGUCCUUGACUCGCUUCUGCUUGAAAGCAAAGAAAUAAAGAAUAAGAGAGCAAGCAAACACUGCACCUAUGGAACCUCCAACGAUGGCUAUAACCGUAAGUAUUGAUGAUCUUUUGCCCGUUCUUCUGUCUUGUAGACUUGGAUGUUGUUCUGCUGGUGGAGGAGCCACUGUUGGCUCAGGGUUGAAUCCUGCAAGAUUUCCGUCUGUUGUAUUCAGCUUGAAUAUUUCCAAGCCAUUCAAGAUUGCAUCAGCAUAAGUAGGUUUCAGUUCCAUGUUAGGGUGUAGUUCGAGCCACAAGCCCUGCUUGCUCUGGCUCCCUGAGGGACCAGCACGAUGUAGUCUUUGUAAACUGGAAUGCCGUUGCCACCGCUCAUAUGGAUCACAUCUGCAUCAUGGCUGUGCUAUUUGAUUGUUGAUGAAUAUUAAAAAUACCUGUUGAUUUUCAGUUUUGAACUCCAUUCGAGUCUCACAAAAGUGGAGUCUAAGGAGAUAAUUGAAACCAGCAUCAACUGGGAAGAUCCAUGUGAGAUUGUAAUUCAUGUUAAGAAGUGGUUCAGGACCCAUAGAACGCAUAGUACUAUAUACCAUAACAGGUGCGGAGUAAGCUGGCGUUUUGGUUGUGUACUCUAUCUUGACGCCUGAGUGAUAUGGAGUGUUUCCAGCUUUUCCAAAGAGAUACCCUGAAUCUUGAUGCCAUGUCCUGUACAUUCCAGUCUUGUCUCCAGUGCUGCUGAUAUCUUGCCCCCCAACAUUCAGUCGAUAAACUGUCUCAAGCGCAGUUGUGUUACCCAGAUAGAAGGGGGCGGUGCCCACAUAGGUCGGUGGAUUAUCAUCGCCACGAGCAUAGAAGCUGUCUGGCAUGGAAACGAUUUCGAUACCAUUAACGAAGGCAAAAGAUGCUGGAGACGGAAUGAAGGUUAAUUCAAGCUUCUGGUUGUCCCACACGGUGAUGAUGAACUCUUUGGUGAAGUAGUCAACUGGAGGUCUUAUAGCAGAAACUGUAAGAGAGGCACUAAAGUUGUUUAGUAGCUUGUAGUUGUUGGCACUAAGCGAAAAAUAGGAUUUGGAUAUAUCAAGAUUUGAGUAAGAAGAUGGAUAAAAGUAGAGACGCACAAAUUUUGGGCCAGGCAAGACUGGAAUUGUGUAAGUGAAUUUAGAGUGAAGAAUACGGGCUGUCAUGUAUGGGACUUGGUCGACAGAGGGGUCUUGAGUGGAGGCUUCAAACACAGAUGAGGCUUCUGGGGGGUUAGAGGCAGCAAACUUAGACUGGGAAUCACCAUCCCAACUGCGACCAUCUGGAGAUGACAAAUUAGAGGAUGCACCACAGUUAAGGAGUAUUAGAUCAGUGGGGCUGUAUGGCAGCAAGUAAUCUUCAGUAGCAGUAGCAUAGAGGAAGAGAUGGAGGGGAGGGAGAAGGUAGAGAGCGAUGAAGAUGGACAUUAUGCUAUUUCUUUUGUGGAAUAAGUUGGAGUAAGAAAACCUAUGCAUUAAAUGCAAAGAUUUUGAUUUAAGGGAAGAUGAUCAGUGGCGUUUUUGUCUCCAUACAGUAUUUUUGCUCAGUUGAGAAUAAUCCAAUAAUAUAUUUGAAGCCCGGGGAGUUGAAAAUUCGACGAUAUGGCUAAUGGGACAUAUUGGUCGCUGUACUUAGUCAGCUUUGGAUGGCUGCUUUCCAUUGUGUGGUUCUGAAUUCUGCAAUAAAGACGCCAUGAAUAGUCUAUGAAACUUAUUUUUCUUUUCUUUUUUCCUUAACUUUUUCAUUGUUGGAUUAAGAUCACACACACCACUUAAUUUCUUAUUUGAUUAAUAUUCUUAACGAGGUUGAAUGUAUUUCAGGUUGGUGUUCACCAUAACAAAUGCAGUAAUCACAGCUCCGAGAUUAGGAUUCAAAAGGUGCAAAGCUUCUUUUUCCUUAUGGCCACCGCCUUGAUACAAUGAUUGUCGCAAGUGCAAGGUCUAUAUAAUCCUCACCGAUGCCUUCUGUCCAAUACACACACAUCCUCAUUAUAGGCUGGCCUUGCUUCAGUCUUCAAUAAGAAACAUCGUUCUUGUUCCUCAUGAGUAGCCCUUUCACUCGCCUCAGAUCCAUGAAGUCUCAUUUACUCCUUUCUAUUAUUCUUCUUCAAUGCUGUCUUACUGAUAAAAUGCUCUUGUUUUUGGUGUUAUAUAUUCUUCAAUGCUGUCUUACUGAUAAAAUGCUCAAAUGAGACUUCAUGGAUCUGAGGCGAGUGAAAGGGCUACUCAUGAGGAACAAGAACGAUGUUUCUUAUUGAAGACUGAAGUAUAUAUAUAUAUAUAUAUAUAUAUAUAUAAAAUUUUACACAGGCUCAAAGGAUCGACCUAUUUCUUUUUGGUUCAUGAGUGUGCCUUUUUGGGCUGAGUUUAAAACCAAAAAUCUUCUCAUCUGGUAUAGUAAUCGCUUAAUUACUACAAAACUUGGUGGUAAUGAGAAAUCUUUCUUCCCAUUAAUCGAAGAAUAAUGGAUUUACCUCUCGACAUACUUGGUGCCGAAUAAAAUCAUUAGCACUAGUGAAGAAGAGGCAAGCUGUCCUCUCUUCCCUGGAGAUGGCAAUUUGUUCUCUCUCAUCCUGUUAAGCUUGAUUUCCAUAAUUGAGGGGAAAUGAAUGGAGUUCUCGGUGGAUGAAAAAUAAUUGGAAUAAUAAAUGAAAUGAAAUUGUGUUUCAUUGUUGAAACAAUCAUGCUGAAAUCACUUCAAUCCAAGUCUCUACAUUGAAUAGGUCUAGCAAAUGUUCUUAUCUUGUACAAACAGGACACCUUAAGCAAACCUGUGAACAUUCCAAGAUCUUUUUUUCAACUUCAUAGCUUGCAAUAGAUUAAUGAGGAAGCUUCUCCAUUAAUUAGUGCACGAGAAAGACAAUCACUAGACAUCGUAUCGACAAAGCAAUUGCUUGCUAUUUUCUUCAAUUAUUAAUCAUCAUAAAGUACAUACAAAUUUUAUUGCUAUACUCAUCGGAAGCAUGAGUAGAAAGAAAGAAGAAAGAUUCAGACAGUCACCCUAGACGUAGAGCAAACUGAUCCCACCCAUCUUGGUGGAGCUCACAUAGACGGACUGGUUCACCUUGCGCUUUAUGGGUGGCUAUUCAAAUCGAAACCCACACAGACAGAUAAAGAACUGACCCCUUUGUCUCCUCUUCCUCGAUCAACUACCACGUUUGCACCGAUUGUAGUAAGUGCAGGGCCGAGUGUUAGGAUUGAUCGGUUUUGCACAGUCGCCAUAUAUUUGUGCAUUGCAAAUUGGUUGUCGUUCUAAACUAUCAUAGCUAAGAUAGUUACCCUGAGAGGCCAGUAGUCUCUGAUGCACUUCAGAUUCCAUAGAGAACUCCUCUUCAUUACCUUCACCGAUUGUGGCAUUGAAAAUGGGACUCGAGUUGCUUUCAAGAAAGGCAGCUGUAGAAGCAGAUGUGAUCACAAAAACCAGCAGGAUAGUUAAAGAGAGCCACCGGAGGAAUUCAAUACUUACGCUAGGCCUCAUCUCUUUCUGUCUGUACCCUUCUGUUACAGAGUUUGAAGAGCACUAAAUAGACGUCACUGCUAAGAAGGCUUCAAACUCUGGAUAUGGAGUGAAAGGCCAGCUUUUUUCCAUUGACUUGCUUUUUUGUGAAGACUUGGGUCUUCACAUGACUGUGAUUUUGACAUUGUGCGCUCUAAUUGCUUACAGCUGGCAAACUGGUUGGAUAAUGGUCCUUGCCAAUUCAAUCGUUUCCUCAUUGUUCGUUUGCAACCAUGAACAUUUAUUUUAGUGUUUGAUAGUGGUUUUUUAUAAUAUUUUUUAUUUAGAAAAAUAUUAAAAUAAUAUUUUUUAAAAUAUAUUUUUAAUAUCAAUAAUGCAAACACUCAUCAUGCAGCGUUUUCCGAGGGACAUCUAAUAGUUGUCGGAAACCAUGUGCGCGUCAAGUCCAUGGGCCAUCAGCUGAUGCUAAGUUUUGAAAAAAUUGCAAUUAUUUUUUUAUGGGAUCCUGCUAACAAACACUAGCAUUUCUCUUACUUUUAUGUAAUUAAAUGGUAGGGUAUAGCAGUUCUUACAAAGGGACCAUAGAAAUGUCUUUUGAACUGGUGCUAUUGGCAUACCCAUAAAUCUAUUGGCGUAACAUUUUGGAAAUGGAAUGUCAAGGUUUUUUCUUCUCUAACAUGAAAGCUUUCUCCUUUUUUUUUCGUUUAUUAAUAUUCAUAAAUUAAGAGAAAAUGUUGAUUUUUCAAUUGAAUAUACGUAAGGUAUGAAUUUGCUAUGCGUUUAGAGUACAUGAAAGACUUAUUUAUAUUAGGCUUUUUGAACUUUAAAACUAAUUAAAUUCUGCUUGAAGUUGAAAAUAUGUCAUGGAUGACGUGAUAACGUGAUAAGCACUUUUUGAAUAAUUGAAGGGGAUGGAUGUUUUGUUAAGGAUGACGUCAAUAUACACCCACACACUAUGAAGUUGAUUCAAAGAAUCAGGAUUAUAAUCUGGAUCUUCGUUAGUGAAUUUAUCCUCAUCAAAACUUGAUAUUUCGUACGAGGUUUCUUCGAGUGUUUCUUGUAUUCUGCCUUUGACCUUGAUGAUGCUAAGGUUUACUUGAAUUCGAUUUUAAGAGGUUAGAAAUGUAAAUUGUCUUUUUUAAGUUGGAGAUGAUAGGAAUUCUUGUAGCUAUGGAGUUUGUUGAGAUUGUAGCAAUAAGCUUGAGUUUCUCUGAAUUGGAUCCAUCAUUUGACUUUGAUGUAUCCCAUGAGAUCUGAAGAGUAACUAAUAUCUUUAUUUACAUCAUGCAUUGUAAUGAAAUUCCAAGAUAGCAUGAGACACCAAAGGUAGAGAUGAAAUUAUACAAAGAAACGGGAAUUGAAUUCGAAGGCAUUUUUACUAUAAACAAUUCCAAUUAUUGUGUGAUUUUUUAUGGGAGGAUUUCACUUAUAGAAGAAAAAUAUUUCCACCAAUUGUUUGAGAACCAAGUUGGUAAAUUUUUUGGACAAAUGUUUUAUCAAAAUGGAUGAACCAUAAAUGAUCAUGGUUUUAGAAAAAGAAAAUCAAACCAAGCUCGUUGAUAAUCAAAAUAAUUAUAUCUUUGAGAUUAGUAGUUUCAAGAAAAUCUUUCAAGGUGUAGGGACUUUGACUCAAUUAAGUCUUGAAAGGUUAAAACCUUUUAAAUUUUUAUUUUUGAAAAAAAUGGAUUAUUUACAUCUUCAUUAUGAGUCACUUCAGCAGAGUUAAUGUCAAACCAGAACAAACUCAUAAAAUUAUCUUGUUUUCAAUAGUUUUUCUAUAAUGAACUAAAAUUGAAAGGGGAAGAUAUAAAAAAUGAUCUUAUUUAGGUUUUCAUUGUAAAAUUAUUUUUUAAUUGGACAAAUAUGAAGAUUUAUAGUUUCUUGACUUGGAAGGUUUAAUAAGUUAAUUUUUUCAGGGAAGAUUUGGAGGGUAAUUAACACAAGUGGAAGCACAAGCAAAUACACAAUAACAAGUAGGGUAUAAAAGUUGUUACAAGGGACCAUAUAUAUUGUGUUUUGAACUGGUGCUAUUGGCAUACCCAUAAAUCUAUUGGAACAAUAUUUUGGAAAUAAAAUGUCAAAGUUUUUUUUUCUUCUUUAACAUGAAAACUUUCUUUUUUCCAUUUAUUAAUAUUCAUAAACCAGAGAGAAUGUGAUUUUUCAAUUGAAUAUAUAUAAGGUAUGAAUUUCCUAUGCCUUGAGAAUGCACCAGAGUGGUGGCCCGCGCGACACCACGGAUCGGACCAAACAUGUUUUUCAAUAUGAAAAAAAUCUUUAGGAGAUAGUUGGGUUUUUAAAAUAAAAAAAAAAUAGAUAAUAAUGUUAAACCUUGAUUAAUUUUAUAAUAUAAUAAAAAAAUUAAGCAACAAUAACAAAGAAAUAAAAAAUAAUUACAUACAAAACUGGAUUAACACACGAAACUCGUGACCUAACACAUGAGAUCAGGAUAACCCUAUAGGAAUAUGAUACCAGUAAAAAUCCAUUGUUGAAAAAGGACAUGGAAAAAAAAAUCAAAGGCAAUAAAAUAUUGAAGGAUGAAAUUAAGAAAAAAAGUUCAAAUAAAAAUAAAUCAAAAAAAUAAAAAUCAAAUCUAACAUAAAACAAAAUUAACUAAAAUAUUGAGAGAUACAAUUAAAAAAAACAAUUCAAUUAAGAGAAAGAUAUAAAAUAUUGAGGGAUACAAUUGAAAAGAUAAUUUAGUUAAGAGAAUAAUUAAAAAUCAAAAUAAAAAUAAUAGGGAUCAAAUCUAAAAUGUAAACAAACCAAAUGAGAAUUAAAUUGAAAGAAAAUUUUAAAUGCAUGCAUAAUCUAAAAUAAAUGAAAUAACAAUAAAAAAAAAGAAAUCAAAUCUAAAAGAAAAAUAAAUUGAAGUGCUAUAUAAAAUCUUACUUUUUGUUACCACACAAGCUCUCUAGAAAUUGAUCGGCAAUAUCACAAGGAUAAAAACACAAUUAUAAAAGCUAGAGCUUGGCUGUCAAACGAUACCUCAUGUGUUGUCUAAUCAAAACAAAAGUACUAACCCGUGACCGUAUAAAUUGCAUGUGCAACUGUUUUUUUUUUUAAAUAAAUUAAUAUAAUAUAUACCUAAAUACUAAAGUGCAUUUUAUCGAACUUGAUAAUCACAAAAAAACCAAAAACAAGAGACAAAAACAAAACCCCUUGACCAAGGGCAAAGACAAUUCAAAUGCAAGGACACUUCAGUUUUUCACUGUGCAUGUGAAAAGGAAUACUUGAAAGUGACCCUCUCCACUAGUCCAUUACUUUUUAUUUAGAAGGAUAUAAUGGUUAUUUUACCAUGAAAAUAAAAAAAAAAAAUUAAUAUACCCUACUUCCAAAGCCAGCAAAAUCAUUAUCUCACUAUUCCAAUCGACAUUAACAAUGAGUUUGGCUGUACAAUAAUAAACCUAUACUAAAAUGGGAGCUCUUUUAGUCUCUUCUAAUGAAAGACUUAUUUACAGGAGGCUUUUUUAACUUUAAAUCUAAUUAAAUUAUGCUUGAAGUUGAGAAUAUAUCUUGGAUAACGUGAUAUAUACACUUUUUUAAUAAUUGAAGUGGCUGAAUGUUUUGUCAAAUAUUAUUGAAUAAUUAAAUUAGGUGGAUUUUCAUAAAGGAUGACGUCCACAUAUAUAAAAGAUUCUUUUAUAUCCAUGUGUGUGUGUAACUCAGAAGAUUAGGACCAUAAUCUGGAUUUUCAUUAGCGAAUUCAUCCUCAUGAGAACUUGAUAUUUAUACAAGGCUUUUUGGAGUUUUUUCUUGUUCUGACUUUGAGCUUGAUGAUGCAAGGCUUUCUUGAAUUCGACUUUUAGAGGUGAGAAUUGUAAAUUGUCGUUCUUGAGAUGGAGUCGAUGGGGAAUGCUUGCAGCUAUGGAGUUUGAUGAGAUUGUAGCCGAGCAUGCACAACUUGAGAACAAGCUUGAGUUUUUCUGAAUUGGGUCCAUCGUUUGACUUCGAUUUUCCUCAUGAGAUCUAAAGAGUAACCAAUACCUUCAUCUACAUCAUUUAUUAUAAUGAAGUCCCAAGAUAGCAUGGGACACCAAAGGUUGAGAUGAAAUAAAAAGAGGCAUGAAUUGAAUUCAAAGGUAUUUUUGUUGUCAACAAUUCCUAUCUUUAUAUGAAUUUUUAGGGAGAAUCUUACUUAUUGAAGAAAAAUAUUACCACCAAUUGUUUGAGAACUAAGUUGGAAAAUUCUUUGGACAAUGUUUUAUCAAAAUGGAUGAAUGAUGAAUGGUCAUAGUUUUUUAGAAAAAGAAAUUAAACCAAGCUUGUUAAUAAUCAAAAUUACUGAUUGGUAGUUUUGAGAAAAUCUUUCAAGGUGCAGGGGUUUUGAUUCAUGUCUUGAAAGGUUAAAACCUUUUAAAUUUUUAUUUUUAUUUAAAAAAAAAAAAAACAGGAUUGUUUACAUCUUAAUUAUGAGUUAUUUCAACAAAGUUAAUGUCAACCAGAAUAAACUUAUAGAAUUGUCUUGUUUUCAACAUAUUUUCUAAAAUAAAUUGAAAUUGAGAGGGGGGAAUAUAAAGAAUGAUCUUAUUUGGGUCUUCAUUGUAAAAUUAUUUUUUAAUUGGACAAAUAUGAAGAUAAUAGUUUCUUGACUUGAAAGGGUUAAUGCAUUUUUUAGGGAGGAUUUAGAGAGUAAUUAACAUAAGUGGAAGUACAGCAAAAAACCAAUAGCAAGAGAAAGAAAUAAUAGUUGAAAGAGGAUGAGUAAAAGAAUCCUAAUUUAUAGUUUUAUUGAUGAAGAGAAAAAUCCACUAUUUUUUUUUGCCCCUUUAAGAUAUUUAGAAUCUUUAAAAAGUUAAAACCAAACUAAACAAAUUAAAAAAUCCCAAAGAAAAGUAACAAAAUUCCUAAACAAACUAAGAGAAAUAAAAUUAUCAUUCUCAAUAUUUAAUUUCCUGAACUAGAUAGAAAAAAAUAAAAUCACCAUAAAGAAAAUAUUUUUCUAAACUAAAUAGAAAAUAAUAAUAAUAAUAACUAAGAAAUUUUAUUUUCAUAAAAAUCCUGGCAUCAACAAUAAUGUUGUUGAAGGUGCAUUUUAAGAUUAAACAAACAAGGGUGUUUUGAGAGAUUAAAAAUAAUUUAAGUGAGGUGUUUGGACUGAGUGAUGUUGAUGAAAGGAUUCAAAAUUGAUUAUUUGAGACAAAAACUAGCCUCACAAUAGGAGGCCAUACCCUCCUUAAAGUAUCUUGAAUGCUUGAUGUUGUUGCUUGAAUUGGUUUUAAUGGUGUAAGAGUAUUUGAUUCUUUUAACUUCUUGACCGGGAUGCUCAUUUUGAGCCUAGUAAAGACUCUUUGACUUUUAUGAAUUCAAUCUUGUAAAAGUAUCUAAGAUUUGUAAAAAUAUCUAAAACAUAAUUCAGGCAUCUCAUAAACCUUUAAAGCUGGGUUUUAUCCUUGGUUUUUUCUACGGAUUUAUCAAUAAAUUUUAGUGAUCUAGUGAUUAGAGUUAUUGAUUCUUGAUACAUGUUGUAUCCUAAAAAAUAUAUUUUUAAUUAACAUCUUUAAGGUUGAGACAACUAAUCUAUUUUGUUUGAUAAUAUUGAGAAGCUUUUGUAAGUUUUCGAAAUGUUUGGUUAUUAAUUUUAAAAAUAAAAAGUCAUCAUCUAUGUAUAUAAUCAUAAAUUUUAAAUACAGAUUAAAGAUGUCAUUUAUAAUGGUCUGAAGUUUUAAAUGAGUAGUUCAAAAGGCAUUACAUCUCAUUUGUAAUGAAUAAAUGUAACAAUGAAUGUUGUUUAGUAAUGAUUUUAUUAUUAUUAUUAAAUUAGACUUGCUAGAAUCCUGACCUUAUGUCAGAUUUUGAAUAUAUUGAAGCAUUUUAAAGUCUCAUCUCUCUUAUCAUCGUGUAUUGGAUAUCUAAUAUAUUGAAGCACUUUGUUGAGAGGCUUGUAAUUGAUGACAUGUCUUAGUGCACACUAUACCAUUAAACAAUUUUAUUGACAGAUUAAUUUCGUCGGUGUAAGGCAUGACAUCUGUCGGUAAAAUUAUUACCGAUGGUCUCAUCGAUGAAAUUCGUCCGUCGGUAUACUAAUCGCCGGUAAUUUCCUAUUCCGUCGCUAAUGUUGUCGGAAUUAAAAAAAAAAACCAACCACCGCCGGUCUUACAAACGGUGACACGCUGCAAAAACAAAAUUUCCCACGAGAACAUUACCGACGGAAUAUAUCGGUCUACAUUUUUAACGGUAAUCAUCAACGGAAUAUCCAUCGGUGAUGGUGGCAUGACGGUAAAUAUUUUAGAACUCUGUAAAAUACCAACAGAAAUAUUCCGUCGGUAAUAGUAAUGGUAAACACUGACGAAAUAUGUCCAUCGGUGAUUAUGGCAUGGGUGGUAAUUGUUUGGCAACUCUCGGUAAAAUACCGACGGCCAGGAUCCGUCGGGAAAGUCGUCGGCAUGUAUUUAUAAUAUAUAUAAAAAAUAAUUUAUUAAUAGUAAAAAAGCUUAAUAAACAAAUAAAAUUGUAUUAAACAUUAAAAAUAUAAAAAUAAUGUUAAAUAUUAUUCAUCCAAAUAUUCAUUACAAAUUUAAUGUGUUUAAAAAACAAAAUUAAACUAGAAUAGCGGUAGAGCUAGAGGAGGAGGAGGAGGAGGAGGAGGAGGAGGAGGAGGAGGAGGAGGAGUUGGUUGUUCCCGGGACCGUACGACCAAAAAGGAGCUGCACAUGUAUCAUCACCCAUCCUUGAUAAUUACUCCAUGACCAUUUGAUGGAGUUGAUCAUAAUUCAUCGAGAGUUGUUCAUAUUGUUGUUUCAAGGCCAUGAACUUCUCAGACUGGGUGCUCGAUGCUGAUGGAGAGCUCCUAACGGUUGAGACACUACGGGUUGAUCGCAAUUUUUCGGUCGUAGUGUUGGAGAGCCUGUGGACUCAAUUUUUUUUGGGACCACUAGACGAUCCCACCUCCAUCCACUAAUCCGAAUCAAAAUCCGGAUAGAUCGAAGGAUCGUCCCCAUAUCUCUCCCUCAACCGUCUAUUAUAGGUCUCCUGAAAUUUUUUAAAAAAUCAUCAUAUUCAAUUCAAGAAAAUAAUAACUUACUAAAUAAAAUGAUUGAACGAACAUACUACGAAGUGCUGAGCACGGUUGUCCACAAACUACUGCACCCCUUUUUGGCGAUCUUGACUCCGCACAUGCAUCUCUACAAACAACUCCAUUGGACGUAGCUUAUAAGGAAAAAAUAGGUUGCAAUUAAGUUAAAUAUAUUUAUAAGCAACGACAAAUUAAUUAAUGAUAUAUCUCAUUAAAAUUAAUCUUACCAUCCGCUUUGCAUGUGUGCUGAACGGGACGGAGCCGUCGGUGUGCAUGGUCACCAAACCAUGAAUUUACCAGUUCCGGUUGUGGGCGCCGAAUUGUGAGCACCAUGAUAACCACUCUAAGGUCACGUGCUCAAUAUAUGUUGUCCAUAUAUCUCUCGAGAUGAAUGGCAGUUUGAAUUCCCGCCAAACCGCUACCUCAUUCCAUCCUUUAAGACCGUUAUCCCUCGCAUGUCUUUUUGAUUUUUUUUAUUGAACCAACCAGUUUAACUCGGUUUUUUUGGUUUGGCUAAGUUUUUUAUUCUGACUUGGCUCAGUUUUUUCGGUUUUAGGCUUAUAAACAUAACCGAACCAAUCAGUUUUUUAAAAUUCUAAUCGGUUUAAUAAGUUUUUUUUACAGUUCGGUUUUUUCGGUUAUUUUUUUUAUGGUUCUCUCGGUUUAAUCAAUUUUUUUAUUUUCUUGCUUACCCUUACAUAUAGGUAGUGAAAGGGAAAUUACGAAUUAUACAGAAUUGAACAAAAAAAUAGAAGGUCAAUUUUUAAAAUAGAAUGCCCACUCCGGCGUGAAAAAUGGAAUAUUAAAGGCAAAUACAUGUUGUUGGCAAAGUUCCAAGCCUGGGGUCCAGUUUCAUGCAAACAUCUAAUGCACGUUAUGAGGCAACAAAUAAAGCAGGAAGAGAAUAGACUAAAAAGAAAUCUAUAAUGUUAAAUCUAUGAUGAAAUUUAUUGGUCUAAGAUGCUAAAAAAUUAACAUGUAUUUAAACUUAUAUAUAUUAUAAUACCUCGAAAAUAUAGAGUUGAUCAAGUUCAGAAUAUGUGGACAUGCUUUUUAUAAAUUCAAAACUAGUAGAGGAAAGACUCAUAUCGUAUAUAGAAAACUUAGAUAUUUUUCAAUUAUACCUAGAAUGCAAUGACAUCAUCAUUCACAAGAUUUUGUGGAUGUUUUAUUAUAUGAUAACAUCAAAAUAUAUUGAAAGAUUAUGUAUAUAUCAUUAUGAAUAGUGGAGAUAUGAUACAAUUAAAUGAGAAUUUUAUAUAACUAGAUAAAAAUAUGAAAUAAAAAGACUAUGUGGAUGAUCUAAUAUAUAUUUUUAUAUACCAUUGAGACAUUCUAGAUCUAAAAAGAGGUCUUGUCGUGUCAAAUUAGACGAACAUCUUAGGACCAUGUCUUUUAUCAAAUUGUUAGAUUUCCCGGAUUAGGUAUCAAAACUGAAUAUUGUUAUUUGGGUUAAUUUUUUUUUUAAUUUUUUCAAGGUUUUUUUUUUUGGAUUUAUUAUUUAAUUUGAUUUAUUAUUUUAAUUUCUUUUGCUUUUUUGUAUUUCUAGUUGUUUUCUAAUAGAUGUAGGGCUUUUUUGAUCUAUUUAUAGGUCUUAUAAACCUUUUAAAAGAUAAACUUAUUAGGUUUAUUUUUAGAUAAAUAAAUCAUAAAUUUGUGUUUCACAUAUAUAAUUUUUUUUGUUCAUUAAAUUUUAUUGUGUUUUAUGUAUUGUUACUAUUCUUAUAGGUCUCUGCUGCAUCAACCAUGCUUUGAGUUGGCUAAUUGUUAUUUUUUAUUUCAUAUUAAGUAUAAACAGGUAGUGAAAGGGAAAUUAAGAAUUAUACAGAAUUGAACAAAAAAAUAAAAGUUCAAUUUUUAAAAUAGUAUGCCCACUCCGGCGUGAAAAAUGGAAUAUUUCACAUCUAAUGCACGUUGUGAGGCAACAAAUAAAGUGGACCAAUUGGAAAUGAAAGAAGUGACCUUUGAACAAAGACUUCCAAGUCGUUGGCAUUAUGCAAUCAAUAAUUCAACAUUAAAAAAUCCCAAGUUGUUGCCUUUGAAAUGUCUAAUGCACGUUAUGAGGCAACAAAUAGAGUGGACCCAUUGGAAAUGCAAGAAGACCUUUGACAGGUCGUCUGUGCUGUGUAGCAGUGACCUCUGAAAGACAUCAAAGACUUCCAAGUCGUUGGCAUUAUGCAAUCAAUAAUUCAUCAUUAAAAAUUUUGGUAACUUUCUGGAAAUGAGACGUGAGAUUUUUCGUCCUUAACAUGUGGACCUUUCUUUAUUGACUUUCAUAAAUUUAGAUAUAACUAGUAAAUUUAAGUUGUUUUAUCUUAUUAAUUUAUACACUCAUUUUAAUUCUGUACCUCCUCGAUUCCUCUGGCAUGCAUCAUCACUCCGUAAUCAUUGUAUAUGGGAACCCCAUUUCCAUCAGCCCAAGAAAUUAUAUCUGCGUAAAGCUCGGCAGUUUGAUUAGCGAUAUAUAUUUGAAAGAUCAUAUCGCCUUCCCGCAAUAUAAUCGGUAUAAACUGACAGAAAUGAAGCCUAAAAAGAUAGGUGAAUGUGGAUUGGACCGGAAACUGCCAAGUCAUAUUGUAUUCCUUAUUUACAGUAGAAUUGGGUCCCAUGGUCCUAGCAGUUCGAUAGAGUACAUCAGGUGCAGCAUAGCGAGUGAGGUUAUUAUACUGAAGUUGAAUAGUGCCAUUAUAUUGAUAAACGCUCGGUCUAGCAUCCGUCAAGUAAUCGUCGUCGUUUAGCCAACUUUGAAUAGUGCCGUUAUUUUGAUGUUGUGGAUGUUUUGUUAUGAAUAUUUGGUGAAGAUAAGAUACAACUAAAUAAGAAUUUUAUACAACUAGAUAAGGAUUGAAACAGAAAAACUAUAUUGAUAAUUUAAUAUAUAUAUUUAUAUACCAAUAAAACAUGUUUAGACCUAAAAAAAAGGUCUUGUCCCUCAAAUUGGAUAAACAUCUUAAAAUUGCAUCUCUUAUCAAAUUAUUAGAUCUCCAGGAAUUAUGCACCAAACCAAAAUAUUGUUGUUUGGGUCAAAUUUAUUUAUUUUUCCUAGUUUUUUUAUUUAUUAUUUAAUUUGGUUCUUUAUUUUAUUUUAUUAUGUUCUUUUGUAUUUCUAGUUGUUUUCUAAUAGAUGUAGGAUUUUUUUUUAAUCUAUUUAUAGGUUUUAUAAACCUCUAAAAAAAUAAACUUCAUUAGUUUUAUUUCCAUAUAAAUAAAUCAUUAAUUUAUAAUUUACAUUGUAAUCUUUUUCGCUCAUUAAAUUUUAUUGUGUUUUUGUAUUGUUACUAUCCAUAUAGGUCUAGGCUGCAUCAACCAUGCUUUGAGUUGUCUAAUUGUUUUUUUUUUUUUUUCAUAUUAAGCAUAAACAAAAAAAUAAAAUAAAAGGUCAAUUUUUAAAAUAGGAUGCCCCAUCCGGAGUGGAAACUGGAAUAUGAAAGGCAAAUACAUGUUGGUGGCAAAGUUCCAAGCCUUUGGGCCCAGUUUCAUGUAAACAUUAGGCAACAAAUAGAGGGGACCAAUUGGAAAUGGAAGAAGACCUUUGACAGGUCGUCUCGUCUGUGCUGUGUAGCAGUGACCUUUGAAAGGCAUCAAACACUUCCAAGUCGUUGGCGUUAUGCAUCAAUAAUUCAACAUUCAAAAAAAAAUCCGCACUUUCCAAGAAAAUUAACUUUCAAGACAUCAUAAUCAGACUUCUGCAUAUUUCCGUGGAAUUUUAUUUUUUAUUUUUUUUAAAAUAUGGAAAUAUAUUGGUAACGUUUUAGAAAUGAGACGCCAGAUAUUUUUCGUCCUUAACAUGUGGACCUUUCUAUAUUGAUUUUCAUAAAUUUAGAUAUAACUAGUAAAUUCACGUUGUUUUAUCUUAUUAAUUUAUACAUUCAUUUAAUUAUUAUUUAAUAUUUGUUUUUCUUAUUUUCUCUACAAUAUCACUUGAUAAGUUGGCAAGGAUAAUGAUGUCCAAUAUAUUUCAGAAAAUAAUACAUGAAAGUCUUACAAUGUUGUUAUCAAUUUACUAUUUUACUAAUACCAUACAUCUACAUGCAAUAAAUAUAUUUUUCAUUUUUUCUUAUUGUGUGGAAUUUUUUUUUUAUAAUACUCAGAAAAAAAUAAUAAUUAAAAGAAUAAGGACCAAACUAGAACAAUUUUAUUUUUGUUUUUAAUGCUUUUUUAACUUAAUUGUUUUCAAUUUUAUCCAUAUAUAUUUUAUUUAAUUUAAUUAUUUAAUCUAGUUUGGUCCUCAUUCUUUUUAUUACUAUUUUUUUUAAAUUUUAUUUCUCAUCAUUUUAUUUCGUUUAAUUUUUGUGUCCAAUUUUGGUACUCAUUCUUUGAUUGCUUUAUAUAUAUACUAAAUAUAUAUAUCAUUUUCUUAAUUUAUUUUAAUUUUCAAUUUAGUCUCUUAUUGUUUUCUUUUAUUUAAUUUUUAUGUCAGAUUUGGUCCUUAUUUUUUAUUGUUAUUUAUUUAUUUCUUAUCUAAUUUUGGAUGAUUAGGGAUUUUGCUUGGUAUUUUUUAGAGUUUGCCUUUUAUGAUUUAAUCCUGAUUUCAUUACUCAAGUCACUAGUUUCGAGGAUUAGCCCGAUUUAAAUUUGAUAUUUUUUAUACCUUUUUUUUAAAAUUGAUUAUUUUUUAAUUUUAUCAUUUAAUUUAGGUUAUUAUGUCUUGAGUUUCAUAAUUUUUUCUACUUUUCUUUUUCUAUAUCAUCCUAUGUCAUGGGUUUGCUGGGUGAACUCAGGGUCAUUCAAGUUUUAAUUUCAUUUAGUCUUGAGUUUCAUGGUUUUUAUUUAAUUCUUUUAUUUUAUCAUUCCACAUUAAAUUAUUGGGUUUUGAGCUUCAUGGUUUUUUCCUCAUUCUUUUAUGUGAGUUUAUCUUGAUCUCAUAUCAUAGGCUUAGAUUUUUUAUUGCGUUUUUAUUUCAUCAUUUGAAAUUACAUUAUUGGGUUUUAAGCUUUGUGAUUUUUUUUAAUUUUUUUUUAUGGGGUUAUCCUGAGUCGCAGGUUUGUCAAGUUAACCCGAGUUGACUUCGAGUUUUUUUUUUAUAAUCCUUUUAUUUUUCUUCGGUCUUUUUUUCUUGGUCCUUUUUAUUUUAAAUAAUUUUUUAUCCCGAUCACAUUUUGCGGGUUGCGAAUUAGUCGAGUGAACCUUGGCUCACUCAAAUUUUUUUACAUUGUUUCUUUUUAAAUUAUUUUUUAUUUCAAUUUAAUUUUUUGAUAUUAGAUUGUUAGGUCAUGAUCUUAGUGAUUUUUUCCACUUUCCUUUAUACGAGGUUGACUCGAGUUACGAGUUAAUCAAGUUAACCAGGGUGGCCUCAUUUAUUUUCUUGAUAUUUUAUUUAUUGAUUUAACUUCAAUCUUUUUUAUUUAAGUCUUUUUUUUAAAAAAAUAUUUUUUUAAUUCUAAUCUCAUAUUGAGGGAAGCGGGUAGUUAAGUGAUUUCGAGUUGACUUGUGUUUUUUUUUGAUGUUUCUAUUUUUAAAUUUUAUUUUCGAGUUUCAUUUUUUAACAUUAGGCUAUUAGGCUUGGAGCAUUAUUUUUUUUUUCGUUUUCCUUUUAUAGAAUUAUAUUAAUUUUUUAUCCUAGAUCAGAGGUUACUCAAAUUAACCUAACUUAACAUAAGUGAUCAAUGCCUUAACAUUUUUUUUUCUGUAACAUGGAUCACCAUACCAGUAAUAUAAAAAAGAGAAAUGGGGACCAAAUUCUUUUAUCUCUCUCUCUCUCUAGAGAGAGAGAGAGAUCAUUGGAGUCUAAAAGUAAAUUUGAUAUCUUCAUGAUGAAUAAAAGUACAAAAUUAGAUUAAUUGAAAUAUUAUUAGUUUAGUUAUAUAAAUAUAAAUAUUACGUAAAGUUUAUGUCAUUUAUCUACACAUAAAGAAAAUCUAAAAUCUUGGUAGAUUAAAAAUCUUUUUUCUCUUGUGAGCAUAAACUCUCUUUUUUUGUUUUUGUUUUAGCUAGAAGUGGUAAAAAAGAGAUAUACAGAGGAUAUGAGAUUGAUCAGCUCUUUUUAAUAUGCAGAGAGAUUCAAACCAUUGACGUAAUCAAGAUUUUACUAAUUAAAGGUUUUGAGCAUUUAGCUAAAUAUAUGAUACAAUAAAAUAAGAAUUUUAUACAACUAGAUAGAGAUUUGAUCUAGACAAACUAUAUAGAUGGCCUAAUAUAUAUUUUUAUUUAUCAAUGAGAUAUGUCUAGGUCUAAAAGAAGGUUAUGUAGUGUCAGAUUAAGUUAACACCUUAAAACUGCAUCUCUUAUGAGACUAUCGGAUUUUCAGAAAACACACCCCUUGCUCUUUGAUCUGGAUCACUUUGGGUGACACUUUCGCGAGUGCUAACAGUGCUCCUUGAAUGCGACUCCGCUCCACUAAACAUGUCAUCGUCAUCAGUGGUCGUGACAUCUUGAUGUGGUGAAAAUGAGCUUUUAUUUUCCAUAUUGAUCCCGUCUACACUGUUGGCAUUUUCCUCAGCAGAUUGUUGAAGCUGCAAUGCAAAUUCAAGGCCCCAAACGACAUCACCCAUUUUAGGGCGUUCAAUUCCUGAAACAUGUAAGCAACUGUUAGCAAUCUCUGCCAACUUAUUUAAAGAGACAGGGGAAACCUCGCCCUUUAAAUGUGGAUCCACGAUCUGAUCAAGGGUUCCUCUUUGGUAACACUUUCUUGCCCAGUCAGCUAAGCUUGCUUGAUCUUUCGGUGAACUUGGAAUCACUGGUGGCCUUGCACAUAGCACCUCAAACAAAACCACACCGAAUGAAUAAACAUCAGAUUUCUCUGUCAGGUGUUGCCUACGGUAGUACUCUGGAUCCACAUAUCCAAUGCUACCUCUAACUACAGUGCUAACAUGGGUUUGGGAUGUACUAGUGGGACCCAAUCUGGACAGCCCAAAAUCUGAAACCUUAGCCACCCAAUUCUCAUCUAACAAUAUGUUUGUUGACUUCACAUCACGGUGAAUGACUGUGUGCUUUGCUCCUGAAUGAAGAUAAUGCAACCCUUUAGCAGCACCGAUGCAUAUUUCUAGCCUUUGCUUCCAUGGAAGAGGAGAGUUCUUUGUUUUGUAUAGAUGUUCUCUAAGAGUGCCUCUUGACAUGUAAUCGUAUACAAGAAUCAUCUCGCCAUGAUCAUCACAGUAUCCAAUCAGCGACACUAGAUGGAGGUGGCGCAGAUUGGAUAACAUCUCAAUCUCUGUCUGGAACUCACGUGUCCCUUGCUUUGAUGAUGAAUCUAGUCGUUUGAUGGCUACUGCACCGUAUUCAAUGUAUCCUUUAUACACAGUACCAAAUCCCCCUGAACCAAUAAUAUUUUGAUCAUCAAAGUGUCCUGUUGCUUCGUUGAUUUCGAAAAAUGUAAACCGUCGGCAAAGAUCAGUAGGGAGUGAUGAAGAGAUUGUAGUCGUGGACCUAGAUGUUUGUGAUAUUAGAGUCCAGGAGGAUUUUUCCUCACUCUUGCUAGGGUCCUUGACUCGCUUCUGCUUGAAAGCAAAGAAAUAAAGAAUAAGAGAGCAAGCAAACACUGCACCUAUGGAACCUCCAACGAUGGCUAUAACCGUAAGUAUUGAUGAUCUUUUGCCCGUUCUUCUGUCUUGUAGACUUGGAUGUUGUUCUGCUGGUGGAGGAGCCACUGUUGGCUCAGGGUUGGAUCCUGCAAGAUUUCCGUCUGUUGUAUUCAGCUUGAAUAUUUCCAAGCCAUUCAAGAUUGCAUCAGCAUAAGUAGGUUUCAGUUCCAUGUUAGGGUGUAGUUGGAGCCACAAGUUCCUGCUUGCUCUGGCUACCUUGAGGGACCAGCACGAUGUAGUCUUUGUAAACUGGAAUGCCGUUGCCACCGCUCAUAUGGAUCACAUCUGCAUCAUGCUCCGCUAUUUGAUUGUUGAUGAAUAUUAAAAAUACCUGUU
Molecule: long non-coding RNA, 122506 nt
Filed under: Populus tremula
Lineage: Eukaryota; Viridiplantae; Streptophyta; Magnoliopsida; Malpighiales; Salicaceae
Description: long non-coding RNA (PTRE_LNC001349)
Source: RNAcentral